Molecule: long non-coding RNA, 122367 nt
Filed under: Lathyrus oleraceus (garden pea)
Lineage: Eukaryota; Viridiplantae; Streptophyta; Magnoliopsida; Fabales; Fabaceae
Description: Pisum sativum (pea) long non-coding RNA (PSAT_LNC009683)
Source: RNAcentral
ACAUUGGCAAUUGGCUAACUCCAAUUUUAAUAUUUUAGGAAUUACAAAUUGGACUAAAAUCAUCAAAGAAGGCAAAGAAAUAAAGAAAAUCAAAAGUUUUCAACUUUAUUAGUAACAUGAAAACUGAAAAAGGUCAGAAAAAAAACUUUAAGAAAAGGAAGAGAAUAUAAGACCUUAAAUAAUUUACAUAACCUAAAACAUGAGAACUAGUACAAGGUUGUCUUGUCUCAUUCAAAAAAAGUGUCUUUGAGUUCUAUUCUUCAUCUUCAUCUUCUUCAUCAAUCCAAACCAUAUAAGAAAGUGGGUUUGAUGACAAUUUAGAUUUGUUAUUGUCAACAACAUCAAGAGAUUGUGUCUUGUGGGUAUAUACCAAAGAAGAAGUUGAAGGGGUGGGUUUGAUCAUGGUAGUAGCUGAUUGUUGUUGUUGAUUCUGAGAAUGAUCUUCAGUGUUUGGCGUUUGGAGAGGAAGCACGGUGGGAGAAGCAGUGGAUGGUUGUGGUUGUGGACGAGGGUAGAAGAGAUCAGUGGGAAAAAAGUUGUAUUGUUGAAGACCAGCCAUGAAAGAGUGAAACUAAUAAUGAUUUUUGGUUUGUUGCAAACCAGAGAAAAGAAAUUGAAGGAGAAGUUUUAGGAGUAUUUUAUUUUUUUUCUUAGUAAAAGUGACUAUGUGAAGAGGUGUAUUUAUAGAGAAAAAAAAAUAAAAGGAAAAGUGGGUUCUAAACUUUUCUGUUUGGUGGCUUGGGAUUCAAAGGUUUUCUUUUUCUUAUGUCGAUAUUUACAAUUACGGCUUACUUUGUCCGGUUUUCACUCUUGAUAUACUGCGGCUAGAGCGUAAAAUGGGCAAACUUCUCUUGAUAUACUGCGGCUAGAGCGUUAAAAUGGGUAAACUUAUAUGGGUCGGUUUCGUUAAGACCAAAAAAUCAUAGGAUUUGGAUUUUAUAAAUAAAGGUGUAAAUUUUUAAAUUUUUUUAAUCCAAUUUUAAAAAAUCAACUAUCCAUUAAAUUAGUGCGAGUAAUUGUUAAACCCGUAUAAUUGUAAAUUAAAAAAAAUUAUGAUAAUUUUUAUUUUGUCUCACUUAAAAAAAAUACAUUAAUUUUUAACUCUUUAAAUUUUAUUUUUAUUUUAUUCAAUUUUUAUAAAAAAAAUUAUAUUUAAUUUAUAAUUUUCUAAUAUUCUAUUAUUUUUUAUUAUUUUAAAUAUUUGAGUAUUAUUAUAUAUAAUUUAGAUAUGUGUUAUAUUUAAAAACAUAUUAUAGUAUUUAUAAGAAAUAAUUUAAUAUUUAAAAAUAUAUUAUGUUUAAAAUAGUAUAAUUUUUAAUAUAUUUAUAAUAAAUAUUAUAUAGUUUUGAUUUUAAUUUUUAUAUAAAAAAAUAAUUUAAAAAAAAAAUAGAGUUGGAUAGUCCGAAAUCUGUAUAAAGUCGGAUUCGGCUAAUAAUUUUUUAGUCCAUAUUAUAAUAAAAUUAUUUUGGUCUAACCCAAAAAAACUCGAGAUUCAUUAAUACCGACCCGUUUAUGACCAAAUAACCUGUUUUAACCGCUCUAACUACGAUAAUCAGAAAUUAGUUACACUUUAAAUUUGUUUGGUUAUUAAUAUUAAUUAUUUAUAAGAUUAACUUUUUCUCUAGUUAAUUUAUAAAUAUUAAUUCCUCUUUUCAUAUUUAUAAUAAAAGGUUUGAGUUUUAUAUUCAAGCAAAAACUAAUAAAUUUAGUCUAUAAACUUUUGUUAUUAAAUAAAUUUAAAAACUAACUUUUUUUUAUAAGUAGGACUAGAGAGAAUAAUAUUUUAUUUAUAUCAAUGUUUUAUAAGAAAUUAUAAACAAAUAUCAUUAGUAGAUGUUGAACUUUAUACCAAUAAUUCACGACCAUUGAUAUAGGUUCUAUCUUUUUAUUUUAUUGGCUUCAAUUUUAAAGUGUUAAUCUUAUAAAUGCGUCACUCUGAAUAUCAAAGACAUUUAACACAGUAUUAAAAUCUUUUUUGUAAUGAUUAUCUUAAAUCUAUUAUUUAUAUUUAGUUCUAAUACGAAAUAUCAGAGUAACUUAUGGAAACCGUCUUCCGAUUCUCAAAAAUUAUGAUAAUGUUUUCUUGAUCUCUUCCAUUGGGCCACUGUAACCGUUUCAGUUAGCUAGUCUAGGAGUUGUAACUGUUUUUCCUUCAUCACAUCAACCUCAUCUUGCAUCGCCAUUCAAUUCUUUUGGACUAGAUUUCUCACACAACCUCAACAACUCCAAGCAACACUAAUAAUACAAAAUUCUAAUGAACCCGUGGCAAGCAUCUACAACAUAAUUCAACAAUAAAAUAUGAAUCUUUUCAGUAAAAGAAUCAUUUGCAUACAAUAAAAUAAACAAAAAAUUCCUUCUUAGCUCGCAACUCAACUAGAGAUAUUGCAACACAACCACUCUGAAGCAACCUAGAGGGACGUUCUCGUCGAUGCCAUUUCACAAUCAAAAAAGCGCCAAAGUUACCAGAAAGACAUCAUCGUCUUCGCCAUGAUCUCAAUAGUCAUCCUCAUGACUCUGGAUGUGGUGAUAGCAACCAUAUACCACUCGAAAACCACCAUGUUGGGAAGUGUCCCUUACACCAUUCUCAAAGUGGAAACAAGCACGAUGUAAGCAUAUUAUUGACUACAGGAUACCUAAGUCACUAGAAAACCACUAAAUCUAGAUAGUUACAACGAGACUAGGGAUAAUGACAAAUACAUUGGGCAUGAAGACAUUAUACUUGAUCACCAUCGGGCCAAGACUGUAGUGAAAUGCAAAUUGUUUUUACUAACCUUCAAAUGAGUCGUUAUGACAUGGAUCAAGACCUUGGAGGACAAUCCCAUUAGUUCUUCAAUAGAUUUAUGUGAUGAAUUCAUUUCAUAAUUCAUAAAAAGGUUUGUUUGCAGAUGGUUUAGAUGGUGAUCUGAACUGACAAAAUUCAUGGAACCACAAACAAUAGGUUGACAACAAGAGGUCAAAGGACAAAUUGCAUGAAAAAGGUUUCAUUCUCUUUAAAUGAUUUAUUCAUGAUUAAUGUCUGACUAUCUGUGAAAUAUAACAUGAUAAUGAAUUUCUUGCUUCAUUUAAAGUUUGAUUUUCUACUGUCUAGAGAAAGCAUGUUGACAUAAGUCAAGAAUCAUAAGCCUACCCAAGGGAGAUGUGUACAAAUUCGUGUUUUGGUUAAAUAUUGAGAGAAGACAUGCAUACUAACUAUGUAGACUUUGCAUCAGUCUUGCUAUUACUUGAUAUGUUUGAAUGUCAUGGAUAUGAUCAAGACAUUAUUUGUUAUUGAGUGAAAAACUACUUGACCUAAAAAGUCUACCUUGUGAGGGUGCGAAACCUUUGAAAAACCCAUUUGAAUUGUAAAAUGAAAGUUUUCAUUCUUUCAAAGUUACAACCCUUAGCCGAUUUAAAAGAAAAACAAUGUUCACUACCUUAUCUUAAGGAUAGAAGAACAGGUAAAAGCAAUGGUAUUGCAAAAACAAAAGUUGGGGAAGGAAAUAUUUUUAAAAUAGAAAAUUCAAAUAGUACUAGUUUAAAGAAAAAGAAAAGUGUUUUGACAAAAAUAAGUCAAAACUCAAAAGUCAGGCAUCCGUAGAAAAAGACACCAAAAGAAAAUGGUGUAAGAAAAUGGAAAUAAAGAAAGAUAAAUUUUUGAAAAUAAAUACUUUAUGCUUUCUUAUCUUUAGGUUUUUGAAUCCAAAGAAAAACCAAUAUAUUUAUAAGCCCAACCACAUUACAACCUAAAUAAAGACCUUAGUGAUCAAUGAAUGAUGAUAUAUCUUUUCAUAUUGUUAGAUGAAGUGCAAAGUGUUUCAAUAGUUCAUGUAUUGUCUAAAUUUUUAGGGAAACACUAACCAUUGAGAGAUACUCAGUGAGAUCAUGAUCUUGGUAAAUGAUUAAUUGUUAAUAUAGACAUAUUUUAAAAAUAUUACUCUGGUCAAGCAAAUGGUUCAUCUAUUAUGGUUCAUGGAUAGUUAUUGUAUUUAUUAUGAACUUUCAUUGAAAAGAAUAUCAUUUCAUAAAAUAAAAUUCAAAGUUCUUGACUUGAGUCAGUCAACCCUGUUAGUGAAACAUGCAUACAAAAUAUUUUCGAACCAUUUGAUUGAUUUUGUUUGAGAAUAAAAAAAAAGAUAAGUUGGGGAGGGUUGAUAAGUGUCAUAUUUACAUAAAAUACGUAGGAACUUGUUAACUUAUGUUACAAGAAAUAGUUACAAAAACUCCUAAUUUAUCUAUGAAAAGUGAGAAAAUACCUAUUUGGACUUUUCUAUUAUUAAUUAAUAAAAAGACAGGAAAAGAGGAUUGGAAAACCACGAUUCAUCGCGCAAAGGACAAUCUAGAGCAAAACCUUAGAAAUCCAGGCUCGCUAGGCCCAACCAUAAGUGCACUAAGCGCAGAUAGCAGGCCAGAUGGCAUGUCCAUCUUCAAGUACUUCAAGUUGAAGCAGGGCUUGUGCUCUAAGCAUAAAGAAAAUACACUUAGCAAGGAAAGAAGGCUAUGGACACCUUUUAUACAUCCAACACUUCUUAGUGAGGAAGAAAGUAGACUCUUUAGGCACAAGGGUGGUACACCUAGAGAGAGGUCCGAAAUUUUGCUUAUAAAUAGAGGCUUCCAGUUCAUUGCAAAUGGGGUUUUGGUGGAGUGAGGUAGUACAAAAUUAGAGUAUGCUCACCUUGGUCUAAAAUAGGAGAAUAAGAGAGGGGGUUUGGAGGAGGAAGCCCUGCUCAAGUGACACGGAAGAUAAACUUCCAAGAUUAGCUUCGCGUGAUUACUGGCAAUUACGAUGAAUAAGCAUAGCUAAAAUAUUUUUGUUGGGUGUCAGAUGUAUUCAUUAUAUUCAUUUACUAAAUAGGUCAUGGAGUUGUAUGUAAUUCUACUCAUGCUUUUAUAUAGAUAACUCUUUAAUAUUAGUGUUUGUUUUAGCUUUGCUACCUAAAACUUGUUUUCAUGGUGUAACUUGACAUUGAAAUGUGAUUGUCAUUACUAGAUCUAAGAUAAUCAUAUAUUGGAUACUAAUUCCUAGAGAUAGGGUUAGGUUCAAAUUUCACAUGCAUUGUAUUAUGGAUUGACAUGGAGUCUAGAUGGUUUAUAAUUGUUGGAACUUAAUGCUCUUCGUUGGCUAAUAGACCGAGAUAUCAAUUAUUAGGUACUGCACUGAUGACACGAAGUUAAGACGAAAAAGAGAUAUGAAUGAUAAAAACAUGUGAUUAUAUUAUAGAUGAGUAGAGGAGAAUAUUAUUGACCUAUUGAUGUGCAUGAUAAAUACAUAAUACCGAAAUCUACCCCCAACAAGUUUUCUUACUGUUUACACCAAAAUAUCGAUUUUACUCUAUAUAAUCUAUUUUAUGUUAUUUACUUUAAUGCAUCACAACAAAUAUAAACCUCUUCUCUACUUAAGAUCGUAAAAAUGGUUGAACGUUCUUUUGAAAACCACCAGUCUUUUUGGAUAUGAUAAUUAUAAAAUUGACUUUCGUCUCACAACGAACAAUUGGUUGGGUCCUAUAUUUCCCGAUCCUCAUCUAACCCCAGAGGACAAGAGUUUUUAUUUGUAGCUGAUACAGGGUUGCAAUUUAGUCAACAACUACUCAAGAUUAUGGAUCUCUUUGCGUCCUAAUUUUUCUCGAAACACACAGUCCAACCUUAGGCCCCUUUCAAAGAUCCAGCACUUCAAGCUUUCAUAUGAGUCAUCAAUAGCCAAAACCACUUUCGUGAAGCGGUCAAUAUAUCCGUGCAUGUUUUCAUUCUUACCUUGUGUAAUUCCUCUAAGAACGACCAUGGUAGUCAGUUUCCUCUUCCUGGUAGUGAAGUUGGCGGUGAAAAAUUGGCACAGGUCACUCUAAAAGUCUAUACUUCAAUCUGGAAGAUAUUUUGUACCUAGCCACGACUUAUCUGAUCUGAUAUGAAAAAACUUUUAGGGUUUAAAGUUUUUUUUUAUUUGGAAUCAAUAAAAAUAUAUUGAUAAGAAACUAAAAUGAUACAAGCAAGGCGAUCCUCUAGAUCCAUCCCACCAACAAACUAAAACAGCCAAAUCCUAUAAGUUAAGGCAUUAAUGAAUUGGCUAUAUGGUGCCUUGACUUAGGUUUGGUCCAUAAUCUAUUUACAAUGUAUUUAAAAUAUAUCUCCUAUAGUAUUGGUGCUAUGUGUAUUACCAAAAUAGUGAGAAUUCCUAUAUUUCUAAGUCUCAUAUACGAUUUCAACAAACACACACUUGAGAUGUUGUGCUCUCCAACCUUUCCAUUUACAUCUACUCAAGAUCCAAAGAAGUUCCUUAUGCCAGCCAACUGGCUUUCGCUGAAUUUGCAGCCAAGUUAGCACAUGGUUCCAAAUAACCAUCAUAUCUUCACAUUCAAUCUUUCCUUUGUAUCCAGACUAUCUUGGCAAGCCAUCCAAAGCACAAAUAUUGCUCUAGGCCUCUCAAAGUUGUCAUACACCAGCUUCCUCCAUGGGACAACAUGCUUAGGCCCUUUAAGAACACGAUACACCAUGUUGGUUUUAUAAGUGUUAGCUUGUUGCGGUUUGCUCCAUAUAUUUUGUUGCUGCAGAAUUUGUCUCUGUUUGAGAAUAGCUUUCAGCAGCCAAGAACAUGACUUCCUUAUUGGCACAGUCCCGAUGUCACCAUCUUUUACAUGGUAGCUAUGAACCCAUAUAAUCAAUCAUCUAUCUUGUUUUCCACUAAGGUUCCAUAAGAGCUUAAUCAUGCAAGCUUGGUUCAACUCCUUAAUAGAGAUAAUUUUUAGCCCGCCUUGAUUCUUAGGAACACAAACAUUAUGCCAAGUAACAUGGGACUUUCAAUUGAUGGUUUCCUCUCCAUUCUAGAGGAAAUACCUAUAGAUUGCCUCAAUGUUAUGAAUGAAUUUUUUUAGAAAAGGGGAUACAUUUCCCUCAAAAGUUAGUAACAACAAAGAGAACACACUUAAUCAGUUGAACUCUACCCGCAAAACUAAGGACCCUGGCACUCUAAUGUCUAAUUCUAGCUAUAGUUUUAUCAACAAGAGUGAGACAUUGAUGGAUAGUAAGUUUCUUACUGGUAAAAAGUAUUCCAAGAUAUCUGAAUGGGAUAGUCCCUUCUGAGAAAUUUGUCAUAUCUUGAAUUUCCUGCUUAGUGUGCAUAUCUACAUUGCCAAAGUAGAUCUUAUACUUGACUGAAUUAACUCAAACUAGUGGACUUAGAGAACUCUUCAAAAGUAUCCAUGAGAAGACUGAUGAAUGUUGUGUCACCCCUGGCAAAGAGCAACAGGUCAUCUGUAAAACUCAAAUUUUCAUAUUUGGAGUGAAAAUUAAAGUUUGGAAUUAACUUCAAUCUUUGCAUAAUUCUGUUGAAGUACUCCAUAAUAAUUACAAAGAGUAAUAGGGAGGGUGGAUCCCAUUUCCUGAGGCCCCUUUUGGACUUAAGGAUUCUAGUGCACUCCCCAUUGACCUUAAAUCUAUACGAAACUAUGGACAUAGUAAGCAUAAUCCAAUUUAUGAAUUAGUUGGGAAAGUUGAGCUCCUUCAAAAUAGAUUCAAAAGUAGACCACUCAACUAUAUCAUAUGCUUUCUAGAGGUUCAUUUGUAACACACAUCUAGGAACACCACCUUUGGUAUAAUAUCCUUGAUAAGUUCAUAGGCAAGCAGGAUGUGAUCUUGGAUGUGUUGGCCAGGGACAAAAGAAGCUUGACUCUGGGGGAUGAUUCUAUUAAGCACUUUGCCUAAUCUGGUAGCCAUAAUCUUAGCUAUGAUCUUAUACAUGGUUGAGCAGCAAGAGAUUUUCCUAUAGUCUUUGAUAGUAUUAGCUGAAGCAUAUUUGGGAAUCAGGGUAACCAUAGUUCUAUUGACAACACUAUACAUUUGAUCUUUCUAAAAAAAACUCGUUGACAACUUGAAUGACAUCAGUUUUUAUGAAGCUCCAAGUUGCUUAGGAAAAUUUGGCUCCAUAACCAUCAGUCCCAGGGGCUGUGAAGUCAUUUAUGCUUUUCAAAGCUUGAAGGAUCUCCUCAUCUUUCACUUGGGCUAUAAGGCUUUGUCUUUGUUCCAUGGACAGUUGACUACCUUAUCUCAUGGAGGGUUUAAAGUUGUCUUUUUAAACAUGAAAAGUGCCUAAAUUAACUAUUUUAUAAUAGUAUUAGUAGGUCAUUUAUUGACUUAUUUUAUAAGAAGUUAUGAUAAAAAGUUCAAGUUAUUGCACAUAUUUAUAUUAGUUAAGUUUUAAUUAUGAUAUAAUAUUUAUGAAAUUUUUCAACAUUUUUUUGGUAGGAAUAUACACAUAAAAUUAUCUAAGAUCAAAGACACUGAUUUGAAGAAUAUAAGCAAAUAUCUAGACGAAAACAUCAAUAGCCUAGAGAGAAAAGUGAGAGAGUCUAAAAGAUUUUAGGUCAAGGAAGCUUGCAAAGAGAAUAAUAUAGUUUGCUUAGAGAGUCAAUGAUAGAGAUUUUUGGAGAUUUUGCAAGAGCACAUUCACGAUGUGAGUAAGGUUUCCCUCCUCUCAUCUAUCAGAAGGGUGACUAAGAGUCGAUGUUCUUGUACGAAGGUGUAGGAGUCAACAUGUGCAGAUAAUUUAUUGAACUAGUACAACAAGAAAAUGUGGUGUUCUUUGUUAAUGAUUAUGCUCUAGGAUUUUAGAUGAAAGGAUAAAACUUUUGAACAACCAGAUGUGUUCUUGGAAAUGUUGAUGCUUGACUGAGGAAUAGAAAUGUCAUGAAUGAAUGGUGCCUCCCUUCUAGGAAUCAGAUGACUAAUAAUGGUUGCCAUGUCAAGAAAAGUGGGUGAUAAUGCCUCAUAAGAAAAUAAAGGCAUUGAUGCUAACGAUCUAGUAAUCGAGAAACCCAAAUAUGUGUUCCAUACCAAACCUUAUAUCUUGAUCAUAAUGUUUUAUCAUGUCAAUACUCUCCAUUUAUUCCAAUUUCCCCCCUAGAUAUUUGCGUCAAAGUUAAUCGGGCUUGAUAGUUGACAGUUGGAUGAGGGAAGGGUUUGAAAUCACCUGAUAUCCUUUCAAAGGAUAACCAAUCCUUGAUAAUCAGUGUAAUGUUCGGAAGAUGGUAAAAUAAGACCUCAAGAAUAUUUUGCCACCAUAUACACUCAAGGAAGAAGGAUAUAGUAUGGAUUUAUGUGCUUGUAGGUACAAAGUAGAAAAACCCGCAGAAGAUUCAUUUGAAGUUUUGAUAGUGACAAUGAUUAUUAAAGUCGGUGCCAAACAACUUUUCAAACUUAAUGAUGGUGAUCUAACUAAAAGAAACAUCACGUACCUCAUCAAUAAAAGGAGACUCAAGAUCAAAGUGUUUAUAUGAUCAUAAGCAUUCAUCAAUAAAAGGAGACUCAAGAUCAAAGUGUUUAUAUGAUCAUAAGCAUUUAGCAAAGAAUAUUGAAGUCGUGUGAAAGCUUGUCAAGUCAUGUAUAUCCGUCUGUUAGAAUGAAAUGAGUAUUGUAAAAGUAAGGGAGUAACUUAGAAGUACUAAGGCAACUCACACGCACACCUAAAAAUAUCUUUUCAAAUGUUUUUAUCGUAGUAAUUACUUUUCUAAGGCAAACCAAGUUAUUAAAGAGUUGUCUAAACCUUUUCAAAACUAUUUUUGAACUAACCAAUCGAUUGGUAAGUAGUGUAAAUCGAUUGACAUAAUUUUAUGAGUCAGCCAAGCGAUUGGAGAAGUGUCAAUCGAUUGGAGAAGAGAUAAUCGAUUAAUCUAGAACUUAUGACAAUAUAUUAAUGCCUUGCAACGACUUUAUAUCCAAUAUUUCCGUUUAGGGCUUGCUAAUCGGUUAAAAAUGAGAUGGUCAUAAGCAUUUAGAAAAGAAUCUUGAAGUCGUAUGAAAGCUCGUCAAGUUAUAUAUGUUUGUCUGUACAAGUGACCUAAGCAUUGUAAAAGUAAGGGAGUAACUUAGAAGUACUAAGGCAACUCUCUCUCUCUCUCUCUCUCUCUCUCUCUCUCUCUCUCUCACACACACACACACACACACACACACACAAAGUACUAAGGCAACUCUCUCUCUCUCUCUCUCUCUCUCUCUCUCUCUCUCUCUCACACACACACACACACACACACACACACACACCUAAAAAUAUAUUUUCAAAUGUUUUUAUCGUAUAACUUUUUUCUAAGGCAAACCAAAUGAUUAAAGACAUAUUCAAACCUUUUCUAAACUAUUUUUGAACCAACCAAUCGAUUGGUAAGUAGUAUCAAUCGAUCGACAAAACAUUUAUGAGUCAGCCAAGCGAUUGGAGAAGUAUCAAUCGAUUAAUGUAGAACUUAUGACAACAUAUUAAUGACUUGCAACGACUCUAUAUCGAAUAUUUCCUUUUAGGGCUUGCUAAUCGAUUAAAAAUGAGAUGGUCAAUGAUUGGAGAAGUGUCAAUCAAUUGGCUCAUUAACUUGGCCCAUGAAUUAUUUCCGUUCUUGGAUUUCUAAUUCCUAUAUAUUUUUGUUUUUGGAUUAUAGUCCAAAUCUCAAGAAGACUUCUUGGGUACAGGACUAGGCCAACAUUCGGUCAAACCUGGAUGACUCUCUGGUGUAAUCUCUCUAACUCUUACUCUCUUUAAAUUUUUACUAUUUGUUUUAAUUCAACUGCGUUUUACUCUUAAGAAACCACUAACACAAACUAAAUUGAGAAAAAUAUAAAAUUAAUUACGAAUUUCAAAAACCACUUACACGAACAGAAUUAAUAUAGUUUAAGACUUUUUUAUGUUUAUUUAAAAAAUCAAUUUAAUUAAAUUUCUAAAAUUAUAAAGGGUUAAAUAUGUUUGUGGUCUCUAUAAAUAAUUUAAAAUAUGGUUUUAAUCCUUAUAAAUUUUUUUUUCAAAGGAUGGUCUCUCUAAAGUUUUUCGUCCACACUUUUGGUUUCUGCUAUCUAUUUAAUCUAAUAGAGGUUGGAGUUGCACGCCACAUCAUUUGAAGUCAACAUUAUAAUUGACUAUAGAAAAACACGUUGAAUUUCAAACUUCCCUAAAUUCCUUCAAAUAUGGUGAAGUGUUGUUCAUGUGCUUGCAAAAUAUUCUCAAGUGAUCUCAAUCAUUAACUUUAAUAGAAAUGAAAUUAAAUCAUCAUAUUCAUAGCUAGGAAGUACACUUUCUUUUUCAUGUAUUUGUUGUAAGGGCAAGCAAAUAGAAAUUGCCACAGUUUUCAUGAAAAAUAUAUUGUCAAAGUUCUCAUCCAUGGCCAUGUUUAGAUUACCUCAUACCCAAUAUCUUACUUCUCCUGGAUUUCCUUCAAAAAUCCAUUUGCAAAAUGAUAACUUUUUUUAUAACAAUCAACGACUUGCCACCUUGUGUUCCAAAGGUCGCAUAAAAGAAGCCUUCGAGAGCUUUGUAUACGAGUUAUGGUCAGAAUCUCGUUUGUUCUUAAAUUUUGAUGAAUUAAGAGUGAUAUCUAAUUCCAAGGUUUCACCGGUCACAAUUGGGUUAUUCUAUGGUGCAAAAGUAUUGAUAACUGAGAAAGAUUUGAGGGGUGAUAAUCUGAACCAUAAGAGUAAUGUUAUUGUUCCUUCUGAUUGCACAACAAGGUCUUCUCCUAAGGAAGCUUGUGAUGUUAAAAUUUGAGUUGAUCAAAAUGAAUCAAACAAGUUUCACCAAUGGGGAAAAUUAUGGAAUAAAUUGGGAUUAGUACAAAAGAGAAAGGAAGAUAAGUUGGGAGAGGAAGAAUGUGCUUAUGAGGGUUGUUAAUGGACAAGGGAGUGAAUCGAUUAGUGGGAAGCAUAUUCGUAGUCGCGACUGCGUGCUGCUGCAAAGCCACUGACUACUCGUGACCGUUUCAAGUUGUAGUAGGAGUCUAUGACACACAAACGACCAGGAAAACAAGUUGAAACCUUAGAUGCUCUUCAAAAUGCCAAAAUGUAUAAAAAGAAGCUGAAUUUAUUAACAUCUGGAUGAUGAUGAAAUCAAGAUUUCCACUUCAUGGUGCAAAGUCCUCCUUUGUUCAAGCUUUUAGUAUUUCCUUCUUUUUAUUAGUUUAAUUUGUGGAUAUUCAUUGAAGAAUGACUAAAAGGCACUAUGUUAUGUUCAUAACUAUUGAUGAAUAUACACACACGAGGCCAUUCAUAAGUUUCCAUUUUUUUGAUGAAAAUUAUAAAUGUUGUUCUAAACAUGAAAAUAAUGAAUUUGGUAUAUGUUUAUUACGGUGUUUUUAAAUAAGGAAAUAUCUACAAGCUGGUGUAUUACAGGAAUCCCAUUAUGCCACCAUUCAGAUGACAUAUACUUUCUUCGCCAUAUGCAAGCAGAUACAUUGUCACGUUAAUUUUUUAUUGUUUUUUCAGUUAUUUAAAGGAGGUUUGUAACCCCCGUUAUCUAUCUCGUUUUUUUUAAUGUUGACCUUAAAUGGCGUGUCAUGUCACGUCAACUUCCGUUAGUGGAAAUACACGGUAGAGACUAAAAUUGUGGAUGAAAAAAUUUAAAAAGACCAUUGUUAGAAAGAAUUUUAUAGAGAGACUAAAAUUGAAUUUUUGAUUAUUUAGAGGGACGAAAAACAUAUUUAACCCAAUUUUAUAUUAUGAAGUUUAGUCUAAGUUUUAGAAUUUUCAUUAAAAAAUAGUUUUAUAAAACUGUAAUGUCGUAAUUGCAAAAGGCCCCAUCUAGGGCGGUCCUUUAGACCGCCCCCAUAAGAGGCGACGUUGGAAGGUUUCCCAAAGGGAGGUAUCGCCUCACCUCGUAAAUGUCCUAUUGCUAGGUAGUGAGAAAUAUGGAAUAAGCCAUUUUUGAAACAGAGAGAAAUCAGGGUCAAUAACGGACCCACGACUUCCUAGGAAAUAGAGAUUCAACGGUCUACCAUUGACUGAGUGGAUGAUGACCCUUUAGAGAAUCCUAGGCCCUAAAAGACCUCUAUAAAUACAUCUCCUAUAGAAAAUAAAGGACAGGUCCUAAGCCAUGUGGAUAAUUAUGCCCUAAAGUAUAGCGCUUACCAAAGAUCAUCUCUCAUAUGAUCACACCCCUCAGAAGCUUAUACCUAAGGACAUUGUCCAUCAACAGGGCCUCUCACCUCACAUUAUAAGAAUCCCUAAACCUAUAUAAAACACCACCAUACAUGGCUUUUCACCAUUAUGGAAAAACCCUAACUACCCACAAUUGUUUUAAAUCUACUAAGGCCUCUAAGUCCCCAUGUCCUUGCAAGGGGAACAUGUACACAUGUACUUUUUGACUAGUAUGGUGGAGUCAUCCGCGUAGCCCUAGUAAAACUAACUUAUGCCACACACUUACUCCAACUCCCUCCAUCUUCCCUCCAUAUAUGGCCAAUAAAGCCAUAACCUGCAACACAAACACCAUCAUCGGAGGUUUCACCAGUGGAGGUAACUCUAGAUUUCUAGGAGAAAAUACGUAAGGCGGGUGUUUGAGGCAAAUGUAAUAUCCCCUCGCUUCCCUAGAAUCUCUCAAAGGAAGACAAAGGUUAACAUCAAAUUUCCCGAGGAGGACGCCAUCUGCUUCAACCCUCACUUUGAUGAUCCUCUGGUCUGUUGGUGUAAGCCCUAAAGGCCAAUACUUUUGGUACUUGUAUCAAAUUAUUUAUUAAUAAUAAAAGGCUUUUUCUUUAUUAUGUUUGUUUAAUAAAGUCCCUAGAAUAGCUAGUCCGUUUAAUGUAUCAAGUGUGACUUAAUCAUGAGAUCCCAUUAAACAUAAGGACAUUAUUCUUAAAGUAUCCGUAGUCGAGCUUUGUUGUGAAGUGGGAUAACAUUAAAGCAUUAAGAUUAUUAUGUAUAUAGACUGAUGAUGACAUCUCAUGGAUCAUGGAUAUGGAGUUAUCAAGUCUUAAACAUAAGUAUGAAUAUUGAGAGUAAUAUGUAUACUAGAUUGACCCGCUAUGAGAAUACUAUAUAGAAUGUUAUGCUAAGUGUCAUAAGUUAUUAUCAUGGUGAUAAUGGUGUAUACCACCCUUUGACCUGAAACCACUAUGUAUCCUAGAUGUAGAGUCAAGUGCCUUAUUGCUAAUCAAACAUUGUCCGUAACUGGAUGACCAUAAAGACAGUUGAUGGGUACUCCACGAAGCAUGAUGAGGGACAUGAGUGACCUAGAUGUAAUUUGCCCAUCCUGCGUAACAGGAUAAAUGUCUACAGGCCCAAUAUUGAACUGGACAAGGAUGACACGGUCUAUGCCUUGUGUUCAAUAUAGACAUAAGGGCAAAAAGGAUAAUUAUACACACAAGUAUUAUCACAAAAAGGAUUUGUCAGAUCACAUGAUAUUUUCGUGUCUUGAGUAGCAGUGAUGUGUUGUUAGAUACGGCUCACUGUUUAUUAUGUUAAAUAUGUGAUUUAAUAUAAUUGCUAAUGUCUCCAAAACCUAUAGGGUCACACACAAAAGAAUGAAUUGAUGAGAGAUAGAGUAACUAAGGAACACCGUAAGGUACGGUGCACUUAAGUGAAUUGUAGAACAUCGUAAGGUACGGUGUACUUAAGUAGAAUACGAAAUAUGGUAAGGUACCACACGCUUAUUUUGGCAUAUCAUAAGCAUAUGGGCCACAAUAUCACUUAAGUGGGCUUUUUAGCUUACAACCCACGCAAGUGUUUAUAAAUAGAACCCUUGUGCAUAAGCAUUGAGGUAGUUGUUCUCUCUCUCUCUCUCUCUCUCUCUCUCUCUCUCUCCCUCACUCAAAGCCUUCAUUCGUAGCAGCUAGCACUAAGAUUGAAGGAAUCCGUUCGUGUGGACUGGGUAGAGGUGUUGUCACCAUUCAACGUUCGUGAUCGCUCCGUGGAUCUGCAUCAAAGUUUUCAAUCGCCACAAGAGGUAACGAUUCUAUCACUGAUCGUGCCCAUUCGUAAGGAUCACUAAAGGAGAAAUUUUAAAAUUUCGCUGCGUUUUUGGAUAGUCAUUCUCCUUCAUGGUCAUCAUUAUGAAAUAGGGGAAAUAGGACAUCAAGUGCAUUCUAAUAGACCCUGGCAGUUUUGUUGACGUCUUGUUUUAGGACGCCUUCCAGAAACAGCAACUCAACUCGAGCGACAUAAAAAUGUCAAGUGGCCCUUUGACGGGGUUAUUAGGCGAGCAUGUGCAAAUACUGGGCCACAUAACUCUAGAAACCAUAUGUGGUAAGGUAGAGGGCGCCAAAGUAAUUAACAUUAGCUACCUCAUUGUGGAUGUCUUAUCUCCAUACAACCUCAUUCUAGGGCAACCAAAUAUCAACUCCUUGGGAGAACUCGUGUCCACACUGUACCUAACCUUAAAAUAUAUGCUCCCUGAUGGGGGAGUCGGUAUAAUCCGAGGAGACCAACAAAUAUAUCAAGAGUGCUAUCAAAGUAGCAUGGAGAAAGCCAGAGAAGAGCCCACCCUUGUUGAUGUCCCUCAUUUAGAAUUUCCAAAUAUUGGCUUCGAGUGUUAGGAUCUUAGAUUGGCCACAGAGGAAGAAAGUAUCACUCUCACUGAAGAUUUGAAGGAGGUAUAGAUAGGUCCUCAUGCCCAUUAGGUAGUGAUGAUAGGUACUUCGUUGUCCAUAGAGGAGCAAUAAAAACUAAUCGACCAAAUCAUUAAGAAUGUCGACCUGUUUUCCUAGACCCCCUAUGACAUGCCAGGGAUAAACAAUAAAGUGGUAAUCCAUCGCCUCGCCUUCCACCCUUCCUCUAUAAAAAUGGCACAAAAGAAGCAAAAAUUUGGCGAGGCAAAGAGGGUUGUCGUUGAUGAAGAGAUGGGAGCCUCCAGAUUGAAGGCCAAAAGUGACUCCAAAUUAGUCCCCAACCAAGUUCUUGGGCAGUACCAAACCAAUGAGCCCCAACUGUUAAGGUAUCUGCAAAAAGUUUAAAACCUAUCUUCUCGCUUCUCAUCCUUUGAAAUAGAGCAUGUCCCCUACGAGCAAAAUUUCAUAGCAAACCUUUUGUCCAAGCUAUCUACUUCAAAUAUGGCGGGGUUCAACAUAACAUUUAUCCAGAAGACCCUUGCCUCCCCCAACAUUGAGGUAGACGAGGUGAACUCCCUGGAAAUUAUCCCAAAACCUAGCUGGAUGUUGCCCAUACUAAGUUAUCUACAGACUAGCAAACUUCCACUAAAUGAGUGAAAAGAAAAAAGGAUCCCGAAAUAGGAUUCCAAGUACACCCUACUCUUUGGAAGACUAUAGAAAAUGGGGAAGGCUUAUCCCAUGUUACGAUGUCUGUUGAGAUCACCCUAGUUCUUGCGGAGGUAGACAAGGGUGCUUGUAGUAGCCACAAUGGAAAAAAAAUUCCUCACAUACAAGUUGUUAAGGGUAGGGUAUUAUUGGCCUACCCUAAUGAAAGAUAGAAUCGCCUUUUCUAAGAGGUGCGAUCAAUGUCAGAGACAUGUUAGCCUUCACCACGCCCCAACAAAACUUCUCAAUUUGAUGACUUCUUAUUAGCCUUUCUAUCAAUGGGCUUGGACAUUCUAGACAUGUUCCCCUUGGCGUUGGGCCAACUGUAAUUCCUCAUAGUAGGAGUUGAUUACUUCACCAAACAGAAAGAAGUAGAGGUUGUUGCCAAAUUCGUAGUUGAUAGAGUGUGCUAUUUCUAUUGGUAGAAGAUUAUGUGAAGAUACAUAAUCCAGAAGGUAUAACUCCAAAUUCAAUCCAAGAGAAAUGCAAGAGAGCGACUUGGUAUUGAAAUAAGUAGUUCUACCUACCCAACAGGGAAAGUUACAACCUAAUUGAGAGAGACUGUACUGCAUAUUUAAGAAACCUCCUCACGGAGCAUACAAGCUACAUGAACUGGAAAGCUCACUAUUAUUCAAACCCUGGAAUGCCCUUCAUCUUAGAUAUUAUUACAGUUAAAUUAUUUUUAAUUCUCUAAUAAAUAUCAUGUUUAUGUACAUGUAAACAAUUAUUAAGUUAUGUAUUUCCCACAUGGAUGUUUUCUUCUGACUAUUUUAUAUGUUGGACUUCAUGGUGAAGAUCCUGUCUGCCCCUUGUAACACCUCAAAAUUUGCCCUCCUCUCUUGGGACUAGUUUAGCAUAUUGCAUUUCAUUUUGUAGGUCAUUAGGCAUUGCGUCUUUGCAUAUCAUGUGGCAGCAUAAGCAAGUCAUCCUCCUAGGUCUUGAUCAGAAGAUAAAGAGGUUGGGAUUCAAGCUGAGGGUUUCAUUGAACUGAUCACUAAUCAUCUGAGGGUUGGUGCAUCAAUUAGGGUUUCUUGAUUCCUCAAGGAGGUUGAGCUUUAUCUUGGUUGAAAUGGUACAUCAUCAUCAUCAUGGUCUUGUCAUCACCAAGAGGAUUCUUCAUGCUUGAUCAGAUACCUUGGGAUUAGGGUUUUGACUUCUGGUCAACCCUAAUUAGUUGAAUUGUGUCAAUCGGGGCUUGUCAAGGAGAAGAGGCUUGCAAUGGAUAUGGGGAUCCUCAUAUGGUUAUAUUGAGCUUAUGGAAGCUAGGGUUUCAUCAUUGAGCCAUUUCAUCAGGAGUUUGGAGCUCAAGUUGAUCAGUGCAUGGCCAGUUCAUCUAUCAGUCAGAAAAAGUCAACCAAAGGUCAACUGAUGGAUUUGGAGGUGGGAGAGGGUUAGAGACACUUAAUUCAUGUCUAAACAAGUUUCAUUUGACAUUUCAAACAUCAACAAUGAAGAAAAUAAAGUCAGAUGAAAACUUUCCAAAAAUAGAAAGUGACUUGUAAUUCAAAACUGCCAAAAAUGGAAAGGUUUUCUCCUCAAAAUUACAUGUCGCAAAAUGCUUCAAAUUAAAUUUUGUCCAACAUGAAAGUUGUAGAUCUUUCUCUCACUUUUCAAAAGUCCAAGAACAUGUAUUUCUCAUUUGGUUGGCAAGUUAUGAUCAAAUCAUUGUCAGAAAAGUGAACUUCAAGGAGGCAUAACUUUGAUUCACAAGGCCAAAUGAAGUGAGACUUUUGGAGCAAAUUUCUUUUGAAUGUCCUCUAUCCAAAACAAGCAUUACAUUUCAUGAAUUUUGCUCACACAAAAAGUGCAUUUUCAAGUGAACCAAUUUGAAAAAGUGGAGGGAAAAGGUCAUUUUGCAAAAUAUCAUUGUUUCACUCCAUCCACCUUGCAUUAGCUCACAAACAUGUUUUAAAAACUGCUCAAACCAGAAAUUGGCACGUUAAAUUGCUUGCACAUGUGUGGGUGAAUUGACCAAAUUACAUUUAGCAUGAAAUGCAUUUUCACUAAUCACUUUGGUUUUGGCUAAUUAGUGAUUAAGGAAAUGAUUAAGCCAUGCUAUAUUGCCUAAUCCUAACUGUUUUUCAGAUUAACACUUCAUUCUAACAGAUCUAGAUCUGAAAAUCACAAAAUUCUUCAACUUCUUCUCUCACUUUUUUUUGCAAUUUUCUUCAAAAGCCUUGCCAAGAUCUUCAUCAAUCCUUCAUCUACAUGCAUAAUGGAAGCUAUUUGAAGCAAAAUUUUGGAGAAAUCUUGAGGAAUUUGGAACUGUCAAAGUGAGCUUCAUCCAUGGCAAAUCGAAUUUCUGAGCAAAUCAAGCACUAUUGAGCCAAGGCCUUGCAUUCAUUCAUCUUCCUUAUCAUUAUUGAGUUGCUGUUUUGCACUUCCAUAGCUUGAAACAUACGAAUCAACAUCUGCAAUUCCAAGAAGGUUAGUUUUCGACCUUAACAAUUCGUGCAAUUAGGAUAGGUGUUUGAUAGAUCUUUUCAUGUGGAGAAUACUGCAAGUUGAAUCACUUAAUUUGGUUGAGGAACAAGAGAGUUAUGUUGAUUUUCGUUUUGAUGCACAAAUAUGUUUUGAUUCGAAUCUUUGAAAUUAGGAUGAAUUAGGUCAAAAUAAUUUGAGAUUGUGAAUGUGCAUUGAGAGAUCUUUCUAAUGGUAUGCGUUUUGUUGAAUUUGAUGAACAUUUGUUCAUGAGCUGGGUUUGAGUGGAUGAACACGCGAUGAACUUCAUAGAAAAUUUUCCAGGAAAUGCGUUUGAUCCGUUUCUCCGCUUGCAUGCAUGUUUUUGUUGUUAUAGCGUGUGCGAUUGAGCCACGUGUCCUGGCCGGUAGAGUGAGCGCGCGCAGAGUUUCAAAUCCCUACCCCCUUCGAUUCCUUGUUCAGCCAUUUUAUGUUGCCAUUUGCUUUUUAUUCCAAUUAUGCCUUACAUAUGCAUGCUCCUUGGUUCAUCUUUUUUUAAAUUUUUUUUCAACAUGAAAAAAUCAUAUCUCCUAAACCAGUAGUCCAAAUUGACUGAAAUUUUUUGUGCUAUGAUCCUUGCCAUGUCCUCUUUUUUUUGGUGAUUUUUGUGGAAAUGGUGCACGUGUGGUUUUUGGAAUGGCCUAGGGUUUGUUCACAUGUAUUCUUUCAUGCACAUUGCUUGGUAUUUUGAUCAUGAAAUGAUGAUGCUUAAUUGGAUGGAGCUGAAAUUUUGCAUGCUCAAUCUAGACACCUUGAGGAGCAUUUUGGUAUAUAGUUUGUGAUUUUUGCAUUCCUGGAUUGUGAGAUAUGCUCUGAUCAUUAGAGGUGUGACAAUUUGUGUCACACCAUUUCAUGUCCAACUUCUUGAUUUUUGUUACCAUGCCAUAUGAACUCAAAAUGACCUGAAUUUUUGCAUGUUGAUACUUCUGUAUGUUAAGUCUGAAUGUGAAUUUUUGUGGGUUUUUUGAGUACAUUUCCAAUUUGAUUGAGAUUUUCUCCCCUGUUUGAACAAUUGUUGACUUCUUGUGAGUCAUGAUUUUAUUUGAUUUGUGAAAUUCUUGUUGUGUAUUGGAUGAGCCUGAAAUUUUACACAUGUAUUUUAGACAUCUUGAAGUGUUCCAUGGCUUUGAUUUGGUUCAUUUAUCUUAUGCCAAUUCUGUUUUAUGCUUGCUUGAAGUGGAUACAUGAUUUGGUGCCUUGUAUGAGCUUGUUUGAAUAUGCUUUGACUUGAUGAAUUUAAUUGACUUGCUUCCCUUUGUCCAAAUGGCCUGAAAUUUGGUGUGUAGAUCAUGUUGUUAAUGCUGUUUAGACAUGAAUUUUUUGGGAAUUUAUUGAAAUGUUUGUGAAUUGAUUUGAAUUGGAUCUUUCUGUUUGGUCCUUUGAGGUUCUAAAUUGCAUGCUUUGCACUAUUUCUUUCAUGAAAUGAUAAUGGUUGAUGAUAUGAAUGUGAGACCACCUGGAUUUGAUUCUUAUUUGAUUGAUCUUGAUUUUUGAUAAGUGUCAUGUUCUGUUUUGACUUGUUGAUCCUAUUUUGACCCUAGUCUUGUACUAGUGGUUUGUGUUCUCACAUUUGAGCUUUGUUUCAGGUCAAAGAGCACAAUUGCUUAUGCUUGAUGAUGUGCACUCAAUUGGAGUUGGUUUAUUGAUUGUUUAUGACUAACCUUGAGUUUGUUUUGUAGGCAUUGAGACUUAUGCUUAGGCCUUGUGGCUUGCACCUUUGUGCAUUGAUGCUUGUUAUCUGUUUGUGCUGUGGACUUGUAAUUUUCUGUUUGACUUUUGUUUGUCUGGUAUACUGAUUAUGUUGGAUUGAUUUCAGGUACCUUAGUUGCUAUAGUUCCCUUGUGAACUUGUGUUUGCUUUGCUUGCUAGCUUGAGCAUUGAGGUAUAAUGAUCUCUUCUCCAUGUAGUCUGGAAGACCUGGCCUGUUACUUGGCCAGGCACCUGUCUGAAGUCCUCCUUAAGAGGCAAUGCUUGUGCUUGUUUAUUUUUGUCCCCAAGCAGGAAAAGACCUUUGAUAAGGCAAUUGGCAGAUAAAAGAGAUGUGCAAUCCAUCUCCUGCUAUUCUGUUGAGUCGUCCCUUAGCUCACAUCACAUGUUGAUGCCUUGUGGACAUUAACCCCAAGAUCUAUGUUGAGUCAGUGUCAUAAGUGUAGAAGGGUUCCCACUUUCUGAACCCACACUUCUUUGUCUGAAGCUCUCCCAGGCCAGGGAUAAGAGCUGUGAGGCACACCCCUCACUUCCACUUCAUCUUGCUUCACCCUAACUCUCAAUGUUAGGGUUAAGAGCUAACAUCACCUGAUACAGUUGGUUUGCUUUUGCAGCCUAACCCUUUGUUUGAGCCCACUUUGUCUGGAUAUAGUGUGUGCUAAUUGUGAAUGUUUGCUUUGUUUUGAUUAUGCUUGCAUGCUUUGCUUUGCCUGUUUAGGAUUAGCUUGCUGCCUGAGCAAGUUAGGAUAGAAACCAUAACUUAGGGAUGAUAUGCAUGAUAACAUCUAGGCUCGAGUACAGCUCCCUAGUAAUGUGUCUCCCUUUGUAUCUGGUUAGGUGAGAAUUUCUUUCCCGUUCAGGGGAACUACGUUGCCCUGAUCCUCAUACCAGAUGAGGUACGUAGGCAGGAGACCGUGUGAGAUCUCUCCGGGCACCCUUUUUCUUUUUGUGUGUGUUUGCUUGACAGUUGCUAGGCUCGAGUUCCUGACUCCUUAGUAACUUGUUGCUUGUUUCUUCUUGUGUGUGAGUUAGGAGACGGAUGUAAGCCCAGCCAUUGGCAUUUCGUAUCCUCUUGUUAUGUGCUUGGAGUCCAGUAUAAGUCCAUCAAGUGGCAUCUGGCUUCCAGUGUGGGUUUGUUUGGUUCGAAAGCUGAUGUAAGUCCAGCGAUUGGCGUUCGGGUUCUAUGUUUGCCUUUUUGUGCGUGUGUUUUGUUUCGGCGUGCGUGAGCCGAACUACGGUAGCUCCGAUUCUCGUUCCAGACGAGAUACGUAGGCAUAGGAUGCGAUAUCCUAGCGAGCCCUCUCCCCUCUUCCUCCACCUGUGUUGUUUCAAUGUGUGUGUGUGAUGUUUGUUUUAGCAACCUUUUCCUAUCUUUGAGCGUGGAUCCCGUCGAGUACGACGGAUGCGUAGGGGUGCUAAUACCUUCCCUUCGCAUAACCGACUCCCGAUCCCAUUCUCUUUGGUUGCGAGACCAUGCUUUUCCCAGGUUUACUUCGAGCGUUUCCUUUCCCUCUUUGGGAUAAAUAACGCACGGUGGCGGCUCUGUGUUGUUUUGUUUCAGCCCGCCGGUUGUUUUUCGCGGAUGCGACACCCCUCGAUGCAAUAUUUUCUACGAUGGACCUUCAUGGUGAAGAUCCUUGCUUCCCUUUGAGGAAAUUUUCUUAUGAUGGACUUCAUGGUGAAGAUUAUUUCCGCCCCUCGAGAAAAUAGUUUUUAUGUUGGACUUCAUGGUGAAGAUCCUUGCCACCCCUCGAGGAAAUAUUUCUUACCCUAGAAGUCGAGGAGCUUAGUGUUUCCUCGGGCAGAUGAAACUCAAGAAUCAUACCCAAGAGGUGUUACAAAUAUUAAUUUGAGAGACUUAACCACACGUCUUGCAUGAUGGGUUGAUGUAAGUCUCGUACAAGCAGGUCAAACGCCUCACUUGAGGGACUCAUAGUCUCAUCAUCCAUGUUAUAUACAAUUCUUCCUGAAAGACUUGGAUUAUCCAUGAUACACUCUCGCCUAAGGGACUUAGCGUUUCCUCAAGAGGGACAAGAAUCAAGAAUCAUGUCUGAGAGGCGCGACAGAUGUACAACUUGAGAAACUUGAUCAAAAGUCUUUCCUGAGGGCUCGAUGGAAGUCUCGCCCAAGUAGGUCAAACGCCUCUCUUGAAAGACUCAUAGUAUCAUCAGUCGGGCUAUAUACAGUCAUGCCUGAAAGACGUAAAUUCUUCAAGAAAACUAAACUUUUUCUUGAGGGACUUAGUGUUACCUCAGGUGAGACAAGACUCAAGAAUCACACCUGAGAGGCGCAAUAGAUGUCCAUCUUGAGGGACUUGAUCACAAGUCAAGCCUAACGGCUCGAUAGAAAUCUCUCCCAAGCGGGUCAAAUGCCUCGCUUAAGGGACUCAUAGUCUCAUCGGCUGGACUAUAUACAAAUCUGCCUAAAAGACCUAGAUUCUCCAAGAUAAACUCUCUCUUGAGGGACUUAGUGUUUCCUCAGGCAUGACAAGACUCAAGAAUCACACCCGAGAGGCACGACAAAUGUCCAACUUGAGAGACUUGAUCAUAAAUCUUGUCUCAGGGGUCGAUGGAAGUUCCGCCCAAGAAGGCCAAACGCCUCACCUGAGGGACUAUAGUAUCAUUAGUCGGGCUAUAUACAAUUGUGCCUGAACGAAUUAGAUUCUCCAGGCCAAACUCUGGCCUGAGGGAAUUAGCGUUUCCUAGGACAGGGCAAGACUCAAGAGUCACGCCCGAGAGGCACGACAAAUAUCCAUCUUGAGAGACUUGAUCAUAUUUCUUGCUUGAGGACUUGAUGGAAGUCCCUCCCAAGUAGGUCAAAUGUAUCGCCUGAGGGACUCAUAGUCUCGUCAACUGGCUAUAUACAAUUCUGCCUGAAAGACUUAGAUUCUCCAGGCUAACUAAACUUUUGCCUGAGGAACUUAGUGUUUUCUUGGGUGGGACAAGACUCAAGAAUCACGCUUGAGAGACGCAACAUAUAUUAUCUUGAGAGACUUGAUCGUAUGUCUUUCCUAAGGGCUUGAUGGGAGUCCCACCCAACUAACUCAUAUGCCUCGCCUAAGAGACUCAUAGUCUCAUCAACCGGGUUGUAUACAAUUCUUCCUAAAAGACUUAAAUUCUCCAGGAUAACUAAAAUCUCGCAUGAGGGGCUUAGUGUUUCCUCAGGUAAGAGAAAACUGAAGAAUCAUGCCUGAGAGGCGCAAAAAAUAUCUAGCUUGAGAGACUUACUCACAAGUCUUGUCUAAGGGCUCGAUGAAAAUUUCGCCCAAGUAGGUCAAACGCCUGGCUUGGGGAACUUAUAGUCUCAUCAGUCAGGCUAAAUACAAAUCUGCUCGGGGGGCUAAUAGUCUUAAGUCGAUAAAAAACUUCAAUAAAGGAAAUAUAUCCUCGAGAAGCCCAAGUCCUCGAGAUACUACCCUAAGUCUCGAUCUAAAAACACGUUGUCUUUUAUCAAAGGUCUUAUGCUUGAGGAGCUAUGUAGUGUUAUAAUUGCAAAAGAGCCCACCAAGAGAUACGACAUUUUUGGGACAAAGAGAAGUCAAGGUCAAUAACUAACCCACGACUUCCUAAGAAAUAGGGAUUCAACGGUCCAUCAUUGAAUGAGUGGACGGUGACCCUUCCCAAGAGAAUCAUAGGCCCUAUAAGACAUAUAUAAAUACAUCUCAUGUGGAGGAGAAAUGAUAGAUCUUAUGUCAUACACAUAAUUAAACAAUAAAGCAUAGAGGUUACCAAAUAUCAUCUCUCAUAUGACCACACCCCUCGGAAGCUAUACUUAAGCACAUUGUCCAUCAAAAGGGUCUCUCGCCUUACGUGAGCAGAACUCCUAAACCAACAUACAACACCACCUCAUGGGACUUAUCGCCGUCAUGGACAAGUCCUAACCAGCCACAAUUAUUAUAAACCUACUAAGACCUUUGAGUCUCUCUGCCCCUACAAAGGAAACAAACACACAUUUACUUUUAACUAGUAACAAUAAAUAUAUAUAUAAUAUAUAUAUAUAUAUAUAUUAAUAGUAUAUAUAUAUAAUAUAUAUAUAUAAAUAUAAUAUAAUAUAUAUAUAUAUAUAUAUAUAUAUAUAAUAUAUAUAUAUAUAUAUAUAAUAUACCAAAUUACCCGACCUAAACCAACACAUACAUCACUGGGCUGGGUUAGUUUGAAUUUAUUGUAAAAAUAUUUUUUUGACUCAAAAGAAUUUAUUUUAUCUUAACUUUUAAUAAUAUAAUUUAUAAACCGUGUGAAUAUAUACUUUCUCAUAAUUUAUCAUUUAAAUGAAACUAACUAUUCUAAAUUUACUCUUUUCUUUUAAUAUAAUAUUCUAAAUUUACUUCUAAAAUAUCAUUAUCAAACACCACAGUUUUUAACCUAAGUUGUUUUUUUUAAUUUAAUUAUUUAUUAAACACCAAUAACUUUCAAAUGGUAAUUGAGAAAAAACAUAAAAUCUCUUUUGAUCUUUAAAAACUGAGUAGUAUAAUUUUAAAAAAUACUAUCAAGUUAAUUUUUUAUAAGAUGGUUUUUUGAGGUAUUUUAGUCGUAUAGAUACUACUUUAACCAACAUUUGAAAUUUAUUAAGAAAUUGAUAGUUUUUGUUUUCACAUAACAACUAUAACAACUUUGAAUUUAUAAGGGAGAGAAUAUGGAUGUGUGUGAAUGAAUGAUACAAAAUGAAAUACUUGAAUGGUAAAUUUUUCACUCUAAAAUACUGUGUAUUUGGUUCUACUGCAGAGAAAUUUAAUUUUGAGUAAAUCGAUUAGAUAAAAGUGAUUUUGAUUAAAAGUAAGUUGAAGAUAAAAUGAUAUAAAUUUGAAUAAAUUUUUUGUAAAAGUGAAUUAAAUAAUAAAUUUUAACAUAAAAACUACAUUAACUCAAAAAUAAUUAGAUAUGUAAAAAUUAAUUUUUUUAUAUCAAUAAUCAAUUAUGAUUGCUCAAAUACACGUAAUUUUAAGAAUUUUAGUGUGUAUGCGUGUUUAUCCAACAAUUCUUUGUAUUUCAUGUAUUUUUUUUUCAAAAGAUUUAUUAAAGUUUUUGAGCUCUUUAAUCCUCAUACACUCAAUGAACUUUAACUCCCUUUGAUGUUCUAUACUCGACAUAUGCUUCUUCAUUUUGUUAUUUGUAUCUUUUACUGAAACAAUUUUUUUAAUUACCUCUUUCCCACACUCGACUUGUUCCACUUCUGUUUGAUUCCUCUAAGGUCUCAUUUCGCUGGCCUCUAGAAUGCAGUGAGUUUAUAAAUUCAAAUAUAAGACAUUUAAACCACGAUAUUGCCCUGUCUUACAACAUAAGGACAAAUAUCUUAUAUUUUUGUGACUCUUUGGCCCCUUAGAGAGUAAAGAUGGUGUCCACAAUUUUGUUAUGGCUUUCGGACUCUGUCGUUCUGUUAUGGGAUCAGUUCUUUAAAGUUUCUGGAGGUACAUAAAGAUAAAGAUGUGAUAUCUAUUGACUCAAGAAGUGAAAGUAUUUCACCUUAGGGUAUCUUCUUCCCCUAAGAUUAUUACGAAGAGGUUGACAAUGCUUAGCAUAUCUCAUGAUUGUCGUGCAUUUAAUUAUCCCGAGAAGGCUUCGAUGAUAAAUACAUUUGUGGCGAUGAACGCGUAAGUUAAUAUGGAAUAUGUAUGUUGUUGUUAGAUCUAGAGGGAUCAUAACGUCUUAGAUGUGUUUGUUAGUCGUCAUAAGUGAAACAAAGUAUUUUUCAUGUCCAAUUGAGUUACAUCAAAACCUAUCUUCAGGGUCUCACUCACUAUCCUAAUCCGUGAUAUUUUCCUAUGAAAGCAAAAUGCCUCUUAGUAAAUUAUUAUUUUUGUUUCAUCGUUGAAACCUUGUGGACCUCUUCCUCUUGGGGAGGACCCUUAUGUUUCUCCGAGUAUACCGAUACUCCAUAAGAUGACGAUGAAGCAGUUAAUUUGCCUUCAGGCUCCUUGUUCAACCUCACAAUCUUAUUAGCAAUAAUAAAGCAAGACUAUAAGUUCUUCCUAAUUAUGAUAGUAGUUGAUCCUUUUUUUAUUCACCAUUAUAAAAAAUGUUAAAAAAUGUUAAAAUAUUGGAUGACAAAGUGACAUUCUAAAAUUUAUUAAAUUACUUAACUUGUGUGAAAUUAUAACUUAUAUUUUAAAUCAAAGUGAAUACUAACUCACUUAAACUUUAUUCAAUAAAAAAAAACAAAGUGAUUGCAUUCUAUUGAGACGAUUACAUGGAUGUCAGCUAGAGAUGCCUCAUAGCAUAAUUAAUUAUUUUAUUCUAUAUCUCUUUUCUUUGGCGCAUGGGUAAAUUCGUUGACGUGUUGUUAAAAUUAUUUUUCAUAAUAAUAUUUUUAAUCUUUAACAUAGCAUUAAGUGUACAUGUGAAUAAGAUCCAAAGAAAUUUUAGAAAAGUUUUCGGAAUCUUAAUAAUUGAUUAUUAGUAAUCGUCGUCCCUUUGGCACGACAAAAAGCCGCCACAGCUGAACAUAGAUUAUAAUUGAAUAUCCCUGUCAACAAAAUUAAGUUAAAUAUGAUUAACAUUGACAUAAUAGAAUAUAUAAAUAUUUAAUUAAUUAAUGAUAAGUGUUUUAGUUUUUAAAAAAACUAAUGAUAAGUAGACGUACACCACGAAAAUUGGAAAGGUAGGUUUGGUUUUCAAACUAACUUAUUUUCUAUAAGUUGGUUUUGUUAGGUACUUGUUAGUUACUAUUAACACCCACCACAUGAUGAAAGCAUGCAAUAUUUUUUAGUGGAAGUAAUGGACCCUAUUCAUUAUUCUUUCAACUCUUGAAACUACUAUUAUCAAUUUAUUCUUAGGUAUAUGAGGCUGAUUCUAAUUUUCUAUUGGAAUUAAAUUUGGUCGGCUAAAGAUUCUAAUUCGUUACAAAGUGCUUUUCAAUAUCAUACCACUUGGCUCACAUGUGGUUGGAGGAAGUGAUAAGAAAGUCUCAAAUGACUUAAUAGUAAUACUUCCUGGUUAGAAAUAAGGAAAUUCAAUCAAAGAUUUUUUAUAUCAAAAGAGUAAUUUUUUCUCCUUUUUUGUUUUUGAUUUUUGUUAUAGGAUAAUAUUUUUAUGAAAAAUUAAAACAUAAUAAUAGAUUAAUAUGUAGUGAUAUAGAAUUCUUCACAUUUAUAUGAAUCUUGAGAAUUAAAAAAAAUGAUAAAUCGAACAAAUAUACACACAAAAGAACACUGAUAUUUUAACGUGAAAAAUUCUUCAAUAUAAGAGUAAAAAAUAUGAGACGUCCAGACCAAAGAGAUAACUCUACUAUCAUCAAUUAAGGGUACAAGAGAAUCUUAAAAUGAUUCACAAACUAGUGUUAACAAUCGCAAACACAAAACAAACUAACUUACAAAUAAGAAUCAAAAUGCUGUAAAAAUUUCUUAAAUCUACAGCUUCAGUGCGAAGCAGAUAUCUCUUACCUCAUACCUUGUUUUGAAAUUUUGAACUGUCAAAAGUUAGAUACAUGUGUUACGAAUCUGCCCUCCAAAUUUGAGCUCGAUCCGACAGUUAAUGAAUCGAGGAUCGUCGAUUUAGUGAGAAUGGUUUUAGAAAAACAAGAAUAAAUUUCUCUUUUUUGAAUCCUUAUUUUCUCUCUAUCUCUCUCAAUCCUAAAUUGAUCAUCUCUAUUUAAAUAAGUGAGACGAAUAAGCUAAUUAUAUUUGGGGAUUAAUUACUAUGCACUGUUAGUGUAAAAAAAUUUACACGGUUGAUUCAUACUAGGGGUGGCAAAACGGGCUCGGCCCGCGGGGCAUGCCCGUUUUGCCCGCACUUUUGUGCGGGGCGGGCCAAGGAUUUAGGCCCUCACCCUCAAAUGUGUCCACCCCGCCCCGCCCCGUUUUUUUCGCGGGCUUUUGCGGGCACGUGUAUUUACAUAAAUUUUUGUAUUUUUAGGCUUAAAGAGUGCAGUGCCCGCGGGCUUUCCCCGCCCCGCCAUCACUUUUUUGCGGGGCGGGUCUAAGUUUUAGGCUCGCAUCCUCAACUAUUACCGCCCCGCCCCGCCCCGUUUUUUUGCGGGCUUUUGCGGGGCGGGCCUAAACGGGGCGGGCAUGCCCGUUUGCCACCCCUAAUUCAUACCAUCACCCGUUUGCAUUACUUUAUACUCCCUCCGUUCCUUUUUAAGUGUCACUUUUUUUUUUAAAAUUGUUUCUUUUUAAGUGUCGUUUCAAAGUUCAAUGUAGUAUUAAUUGUUGUAUUGUCAAAAUUAUCCCUAAUCAUUUAUUAUAUAUAGAGAAAAAGAUUAAAUAAAUUACUAAAAAGUUAAGGAUAUUGAAGGAAAAAACAUAAUCAUUGUUUAAAAAGUAAUAACAAUUAUUAAUUGUCUUGGUACGUGUAAAAUGUCAAAAAAACGACACUUAAAAAGGAACGAGGGGAGUAAGUUUUUAAAAUAAAAGUCAAACUUGUUUUAAUAUUCAAUGUUAUGAUUAACUGAUGGUGUAAAAUCUUUUUACACUAUCAGUGUAUUUCAAUUAAAUUCUUAUAUUUGGGUUUUUCUCCACAUAGGAAUGAAGCUCAAACUCAACACCACAUUCCCACAAUAUUUAAGGAGAUCCACAAACAUCAAAUCUUAAAUUUUAUAAAAAAUGUGUUUUGAUUAAAACUAUGACACUAAUAUGUUAUUGGUAUUUUUUUAUAAGAUUGGGUACUUGAAUAGUGAAACGAUACAAUGAAACAAAAUAAUAAAAUAAUUAUUGUGUAUCAUUGUCCACUGAUUAGUCUCAUUUUCUAAUAUAUAUAUNUAAGUUAAAUAAUAUGGUCGGGUUCAGGAAAUCUGCAAGACGAUGAGUACUUCCACGAUCUCCGGCCUGAAUUGUCAUCGCUAUACCUUUUUCUUCCAUUCCCAUUUAUCCACGGGAAAAAAUUUCUGAAUUCGGAGCCUCAAAAAGAUAAUUCUCACGGGAUCCCCAUUAACAUAUGCAAAUAGAUAUUCCUAGUUAAUAGAACAAAUAACUAGUUUUUAGAGAGAGAGAAUUCUAUUCAAUUAAAAUAUUUCUAAUAUAAUGCUAAUUGUGAUUAAAUAACACAAUUACUUCUUCCAAAUUGAUUUACCUUCUAAUUUAGUAAAUUAAUAAAAUUACUUAAGUAUAACUAACUUAUAACUACUCAUCCAUCUAGAUAACAAUCAAAUAAGGCUCGUUGGUUAGACUGUGCAACGAACCUUGAUUGAUUCUAGGAUAACAUUGAUCAACAUUGAUUACUAAUCCUAAAAUAAAUCAAAUGUGACAAUUUCAGUUUCUCUUCUAAAAUUUAGGAAUUAGUCUUUCUUGAAAACUGAAGGUGAGAAAAACAAGAAAGGGGGGUUUGAAUUGUUUUGGAAAAUAAGCGCUUUUUCAAAAUAAAAACCACAUAAGGAAUUUAUACUGGUUCGCUUAUAACACAAAGCUACUCCAGUCCACCCGGCCAAGGUGAUUUCGCCUUCAACAAGGACUUAAUCCACUAAUCUUGAAAGAUUGUUUACAACCAACGUCUAAGAGAAAUAUCCUCUUAGUCCGUCUCAAGUAUAUUCAGACCUGCGCAGUAUGCACUUGAGGAAAUAAAACAACUUAGAUAAAAUAGAGUUUGUAAUCUAGAGUGCUUCUAGGAUAAAGCAAAUAUUACAAUGGUGAUAGCAAAAAGAAUGUUUCACGUAUGAGCAAAAACUCGUGAAAGAUUUGGAGAGAGAGAUUGAUAAUUUCAGUGUACUUGCGUGUCUCUCAAUGAUGAUUGUUGUCCUUUAUAUAGAGGUGAAAGGACCGUUGAAAUUGAUGGCUGAUAAUAUGUCUUGAAUAAGAAUUAAUGUCAUAACUUCUGUUGUUUCUUGCCAAAACAACUUUGUCUCCCUGAGUAACUUCUUUCCAAAUAUAGUUCCUUCCCAUUUGAAUUUGAAGUUAACGUUACUUUUUCUGAAAUAGGAAACCCACUAUCAAAGUCUGCGUGACUCUGGGAAUCUUGCAAUCUUGCUGUGUUGAUUCGGAGCUUCUGAUGUUUAUCUUAAGGAGUUCUGACGAUGUCUACAGAUGACGCUGAGAGCUUCUGGAAUGAUAUACCGUUGUUCAGAGUCAGAACUUCUAGAGUGCACUUCUUCUUCAGAUGCUUCUGAUGUUCUGCUGUUUUGUAUCUGAUAUGGUUCUGUAUCUGAUAACGUCAUCAGAUUUCUUCCUUCUUUCUUUAGAACCCUGCACACUUAGAAACUUUUCGUUAGGGUGCCAUUUUUGGUUUCAUCCUUUGUUAUCAUCAAAAUCAUGGAAUCUGAUGAAGAACAAUUUUUGUUCUUACAAGAAAACUUUGUUGAACAUGUCAGCUAAUUGAUCUUGAGUAUAACAACACUCCACUAUAAGUUUAUCUUGAUUUACUUUUUCUUAAUGAAAAUCAAACAUUGCCACAAUGAGCUUGUUUUUCCCAUGGAAAUGAUAUUUCUUACUAGAUUGAUGGUUUACUUGUUAUCUAUCUUCAAAUUUAUUACAAUGUUAGCACUCAUCUUUAACGUAUUCAUGAGAUAUUUAUGAAGGAAAAUUGUGAUCCAAGACGUAGCGAUUUUUUUUAGUGAUCCUUACGAAUGGGCAUGAUCAGUGAUAGAAACCGUUACCUCUUGUGGGGAUUGAAACCUUUGAGGCAGAUCUAAAGAGUAAUCACGAGCGUUGAAUGGUGACAAUGUCUCUACUCAGUCCAUACGAACAGAUUCCUUCAGUCUCAGUGCUAGCUGCUACGAAUGAAGGUUUUGAGUUAGUGAGUGAGAGAGAGAGAGAGAGAGUGUGUGUGAGAAACGAAAUUUCAUCUAGUCGAAUGAUUCUACACAAGGGUUCUAUUUAUAGAACCACAUGUGUGAGCUGCAAGCUAAAAAGGCCAUUUUAGUCUAUGUGGCCCAUAUCUUAUAGUAUACCGAAAACCACUUAAGUGUGUAGUACCUUACCACAUUUCGUGUUUUAUUUAAGUGCACCGUAUCUUAUGAUGUUCUACAAUUUACUUAUGUGCACUGUACCUUACGGUGUUCCUUAUUUACUCUUUCUCUCAUCAAUCUGUCCUUUUGUGUGUGACCCUGUAGGUUUUCGUGACAUUGACAAUUAUAUUAAAUCACAUACUUAACAUAAUAAAUAGUGAGCGGUAUCUAGAAACACAUCACUGCUACUCAAGACACGAAAAUGUCAUGUGAUAUGAUAAAUCCUUUUUGUGAUAAUACAUGUGUGUACAAUUACCUUUUUUGCCGUUAUGUCUAUAUUGAACAUAAGGCAUAGACCAUGUCAUCCUUGUCCAGUUCAAUAUUUGGCCCUUAGACAUUUAUCAUGUUAUGCAGGAUGGGAAAAUUCCAUCUAGGUCACUCAUGUCCCUCAACAUGCUUCGUGGAAUACCCCAUCAGUUGUCUUUAUGGUCAUCCAGUUACGAACAACGUUUGAUCAACAAUAAAGCACUCGACUCUACAUCUAGGGUCCAUAGUGGUUUCAGGUCGAAGGGUGGUAUACACCACUAUCACCAUGAGAAUAACUUAUGACACUUUACAUAACAUUCUAUGUAGUAUUCUCAUAGUGAGUCAAUCCAGUAUAAAUAUUACUCAUAAUAUUCAUACCUAUGUUUAAAACUUGAUAACUCCUUAUCCAUGAUCCAUGAUAUGUGAUCACCAGUCUAUAUACAUAAUAGUCUUAAUGCUUUAAUGUUAUCCCACUUUACAACAAAGCUCGACUACAGAUACUUUAAGAAUAAUGUCCUUAUGUUUAAUGAGAUCUCAUGAUUAAGUCACACUUGAUACAUUAAACGGACUAGCUAUUCUAGGGACUUUAUUAAACAAACAUAAUAAAGAAAGCCUUUUAUUAUUAAUAAAUAAUUCGAUACAAGUACCAAAAGUAUUGGCCUCUAGGGCUUACACCAACAAUCUCCCACUAGCACUAGAGCCAAUCAGGCAUACCUCUAAUACCCAUAGAUCUAGUAUGAUCAUCAUGUUUCUGCUGCGCAAGAGGCUUUGUCAGUAGGUCAGUAAUAUUGUCAAGUGUAGGUACUCUGCAUAUUUUCACAUCUCCUAUAUCUAUUAUCUCUCGAAUGAGGUGAUAAUGCCUAAGUAUGUGUUUGGAUCGUUGGUGAGAUCUAGGCUCCUUAGCUUGUGCGAUAGCACCAUUGUUAUCACAAUAGAGAUAAAUGGGAUCCACAAUGCUAGGAACUAUGCCAGUGUUUGGAUCGUUGGUGAGAUCUAGGCUCCUUAGCUUGUGCGAUAGCACCAUUGUUAUCACAAUAGAGAUAAAUGGGAUCCACAAUGCUAGGAACUAUGCCAAGUUCACUAAUGAACUUUUUGAUCGAAACAACUUCCUUUGCUGCACUUGAGGAAGCAUUAUCCUCGGCCUCGGUUGUAGAAUCAAUAAUUGUAUCUUGCUUUGAAUUUUUCCAGCUCAUAGUGCCACCGUUUAAGCAGAACACUUAACUAGAUUGCGAUCUAAAGUCAUUCGUAUCUGUUUGGAAGCUAGCAUCGGUGUAUCCAAUUACAACAAGAUCUUCCUGACCUCUAUAUAUCAAGAAUGAGUCCUUAGUCCUUCUCAAAUACUUAAGGAUAUUCUUGACAGCUACCCAAUGAGCAUCACCGGGAUCAGAUUGAUACCUACUCGUUGCACUUAAAGCAUACAAGACAUUUGGUCGAGUACAUAACACGACAUACAUGAUAGAUCAUAUUGCAGAUGCAUAUGGAAUCUUAUUCAUGUGAUCCCUUUCUUCCUUAGUUGAAAGGGAUUAUAUUUUUGAUAGACACGAGCCAUUUUGCAUAGGUAUGAAUCCUUUCUUAGAAUCAUGCCUAUUAAAGCGUCUCAACACUUUGUCUAUGUAUGUGCUCUGACUUAGGCCAAGCAGUUUUUGUGAUCUAUCUCUAGAUCCCGAUUCCUAAUAUAUAGGCUGCUUCACCUAGGUCCUUCAUAAAAAACAUUUCCCUAAUUGAGUCUUUACUUGUUCCAGGUUAGGGACAUUAUUUCCAAUGAGUAAUAUGUCAUCUACAUAUAAUACCAGGAAGACGAUCAUGCUCCCACGAACCUUCUUGUAGACACAAGGCUCAUCUUCAUUCUUGAUGAAUCCAUAUUACUUUUCUGUUUCAUCAAAAUGAAGAUUCUAACUUCUGGAAGCUUGCUUCAAUCCAUAGAUUGAUCUCUGUAACUUGCAUAUCUUUUGGGCUUCUUCUGGUAUGUCAAAUCCUCCAGGUUGUGUCAUGUACACAUCCUCAAGAAGAUUCCAUUUAAGGGAAGCAAUUUUGACAUCCACCUUCCAUAUUUCAUAAUCAUGAUAUGCAACGAUAACAAGUAAAAUCCGAAUAGAUUUAAGCAUUGCAACUGGUGAAAAGGUUUCAUCACAGUCAACCCCAUGAAUUUGUUUAUAUCCUUUUGCAACCAGUCUUGCCUUAUAGGUAUGUACCUUACCAUCCAUGCCAGCCUUCUUUUUAAAGACCCACUUGCAUCCUAUAGGGUUAACUCCUACAGAAGGCUCUACCAAGGUCUAAACCUGGUUUGUGUACAUGGAAUCCAUUUCAGAUUUCAUGACCUCUAGCCACUUCUCAGACUCAGGACCAGUCAUGGCAUCUUGGUAGGUCACAGACUCAUCUAGAUCCAUGAGUAAUACAUCACCUUGAUCAUUUAUGAGAUAUCCAUAUCUCUCAGGUAGGUGACGUAUCCUGCUUGACCUACAAUGGUCUUGUUCUACUUGAGUAGGUUGCUCUUCCACAACUACUUGUGUUUCCUGCUCUAAUUCCUCCAUAGGUGUAUCAAUGCUUUGUGAUUUUUGAAUUUCUUAAAGCUCUACUUUCCUCCCACUUAUUCCUUUGGAAAUAAAAUCCGUUUCUAGGAAAACUCCAGUUCGAGCGACAAACACUUUGCCCUCAGAAGGAUUGUAGAACUAAUACCCUCUUGUUUCUUUAGGAUACCUCACAAAUAAGCAUUUGUCAGAUUUGGGAUCAAGCUUAGUUGAAAUUUGUCGUUUCACAUAAACUUCGCAACCCAACUCUUCAUGUAAGACAUAUGUGGUUUCUUACCACUCCAUAUCUCAUAUGGUGUCUUCUCAACCUUUUGGAUGGAACAUAGUUAAGUGUGUAAGUUGUUGUCAAUAGUGCAUGUCCCCAAAAGGAGUUUGGAAGAUUGACGUGACUCAUCAUGAAUUGAACCAUGUCUAACAUGGUUUGAUUUCUUCUCUCAGAUACACCGUUCCAUAGGGGUGUUCCAGGAGGAGUAAGUUGGGAUAGAAUCCCACACUCUUUGAGAUGGUCAUCAAACUCUAGGCUUAAAUAUUCACCAUCUCGAUCUGAUCGAAGAGUUUUAAUAUUCUAACCUAGUUGGUUUUGUACUUCAUUCUUGAAUUCCUUGAACUUUUCAAAGGACUCUGAUUUGUGUUUCAUUAAAUGCACAUAACCAUAUCUACAUAAAUCAUCAGUAAAUGUGAUGAAGUACUGAAAACCUCAUCUUGUUGGUAUGUUCAGUGGUCCACAUACAUCCGUAUGUAUGAGGUUCAAAAGAUCAUUAGCUCUUUCACCUUUUCUUGUGAAUGGAGACUUUGUCAUCUUUCCAAUUAAACAAGAUAUGCAUGUCUCAUAUGAUUCAUAAUCAAAAGAGUCUAAGAGUCCAUCUUUAUGGAGUUUGGAAAUGUGUUUCUCAUUUAUGUGGCCUAAUCGAUAAUGCCAAAGGUAAGUUGGAUUUAACUCACUAGGUUUCAUCCUUUUAGUAUUAAUUUUAUAAAUAGGCAUUUCAAGAUCAACGACAUAUAGUCCAUUGUUCAUUUGUGCAUUGGCAUAGAAUAUAUCAUUCAAAUAAAUGGAGCAACAAUUGUUCUUUAUUAUGAAUAAAAAACCGAACUUAUUCAAACAAGAAACGAAAAUAACAUUCCUGCUAAUUACAGGUACAUAAUAAUAGUUCUCUAACUGAAUUAUUAAACCACUAGGUAAAGUCAAUACAUAAGUUCCUACGGCUAAAGCAGCAACCUUUGCUCCAUUACCAACUCGUAGGUCAACUUUGUAACACCCCGAUUAAAAUAAGAGAAUUAUUUAAUUGAGUUAAUAUUAUUUUAUUAAUUUAAUUAAAUAAACUUGAAUUAUUGGAUUAUUUUUAUUAUUACUAUAGAUGUUAUUUAUUUUAAUAAUAAUUAAAUAAAUAAAAUAAAUGGAAUAUGAAGAGUGGAAGGGUAAAAGUGGAAAUUGGAUAAAAGAGGCCGCGAAGUGAGGACUCAGGUUGUUUUCACGUGUUUUGCCUCAGAGUCAGAAAGGGGGAGAAACGCUGAAGAGAAGAGAAGGAAGAGGAAAAGGAAAGAUUGCUCAGAGCUUCCUUCAAUCCAAGAGGUAAGGGGUCUGAACCUUAUUAAACAAUAAUAUGCUGAAAUUGGUGAAAUAUUGGAUGAACGAAAAUGGGUUUUAAUCAAAGGAAUUCGUAGAAAUUAAUUGCAAUGAUGUUAGGAUUUGUGAAAUCGAAUAGGGGACUAUUUGUAUUAGAUGAUAUGAGUGAUUUGUGUGAAAUUUGGACUGUGGAAGGAUGAAUUGGAUAGUCUCGUAGCAGAAAAGCCAUUGCAGAUCUGGAAAUCUGGUUUCUGGUCAUACGCGUAUGGCACUAGGCAAUACGCGUAUGAGAUUGCUGGUACGCGUAUGGCACUAGGCAAUACGCGUAUGGAUGAGGAAGAUGAUGUUUGAACGUGUUUUGGUCUCUGUUGUACGCGUAUGGGAAUGUGAUACGCGUAGCAUACGCGUAUGGACAAUGGGCAAUACGCGUAUGAAUUUGGUCAGGGCGUGGGUAAUACGCGUAUGAGCAUAGGCAAUACGCGUAUGGGCAGACUUGUGGUCUUUCCUGGGCUGUUGUUGUGCAGUUUUUGGUUGUUUAGGCUGAGCGAGGUAACUUAGCUGAUGCAUGGUAUACGAGGGAUCAUUUCCCGUUGCUUUGAGUGGUAUAGAUAUUAGUAGAGUGUGAUAAUACUGUGUUUGAUUAUGUGGCAUGAUGUAUAUGCUUUUGUGAUAGAAUGUGUUAAUGAUGAUGAUAACAUGACUAUAUGAUGCUGUUGUUGCUAUGUUGAUUAUGAUGCAUGCUUGUGUGCAUGCAUUCAUGAAAGGCCGAUGCCUAGUGAUGAACGGACUGAGUUCCAAUGAUGUUGUUGACUCCGGCUUGUUGAGGGCUUGGUUCUUGGCGGGACUCGGAUUCUAUGGUGGUGAAUCUGGGAGUGGGUGUCCUGUAGUUGGUCACAAAUGGGUAUACCGAGUCGUGUUGAGUCUAGCAUGGGUGUGUGCAUUGCCAUUUGAUAUGUUGUUUGUUGAUGUCAUGACUAUGUUGAUUAUGAUGAUUAUGAUGAGCUGUGUUGGCAUAUGUGAAAUAUAUUUAUGUUUAUAUUUCUGUCGUUAUAUUAUUAUUUUAAUAAUGUAAUUCUCACCCCUUCUGCAUGUGUUUAUGUUCAUCUAUGAUGAGCAAUGUGCAGAUAAAGAGGAGUAGCUAUUGUGAGGUUUGAAGAAUAAGUGUAGAGUUAUUCUACAGAGUCGAGUCAAAUGCUCUGGUCAUGUGCACCGGGUUAUGGGAUUCGAUAGAUAAUUGAUUAUAUUUACGUGUUUAUGAUGACUAACAUGUUGAGAUGUUUGUUGAGAUAAUGUUGAACCAUUAUUAUGAAUUGUUAUAUGAUGAAUGAUAAUAUUAAUAUUGUUUGUCCGCUGCGAAGUUUAAUAAAAUAAUAUAUGUUUUAUUGUUGUGAUGCGAUAAUUGUUAUGUUGUAAGAAAUGUACACUCUUCUACAUGUUGUACUCUGAUAAUCUAUUUAAAUAUGUCGUUUGGGUAGAAGGGUGUUACAUUAGUGGUAUCAGAGCAUGGUCAGUCCAGUCGAGUCAUAUGUGAUGUUUUCCCUGUUGGUCGAUUAGUGUAAAUGACACUGUCGAUAUUUAACGUUGUAGUUGUGUCGUGCAGAGAUAUGGCUGGAGAAAAUGACCGUGGCGAUUGCUGAGGCUUGGCUACUAUGGCGCAGCUAUGCAGGCGCAGCAGAAUCCGCGGUCGACGAGUUUAGGAAUUUGGGAAGGUUUCUGAAGAACAACCCUCCUACAUUCAAGGGCGCUAUGAUCCAGAUGGUGCUCAGAUUUGCUGAAGGAUAAUUGAGAGAUUUCCGGGUGAUGACGUGUACUGAAGCACAGAAGGUGCAGUUUGGUACGCAUAUGUUAUCUGAAGAGGCUGAAAACUGGUGGGAUAACAACUCGACAGAGGGUUGAAGUACCAGGUGCUGAGAUGACUUGGGAAAGAUUCAAGACGGCCUUUCUGGAGAAAUAUUUUCCUGCUGAUGGCGAGUAAGAAGAGAAUGGAAUUUCUGGGACUGAAGCAGGGUAACAUGUCUGUUGCUGAUUACGCUUCGAAGUUUGAGGAGCUGUGCAGUAUUGUCCUCAUUAUAAUAAUGCUGAGUGGAGGAAUCCAGAUGUGUCAAGUUUGAGAACGGGUUGCGUCCCGAGAUCAAACAAGGCAUUGGUUACCAGGAGAUUCGUAGGUUUCCUACACUGGUUAACAAGUGCAGGAUAUUUGAUGAGAGGCAAGGCUAGGACUGCUCACUACAAGAGUCUUAGUGAGAAGAAGAAUAAGGAUCGUGGUAGUCCUUAUGCAUCUCCGAAUGUAAAGGUAAGCAGAAAGUGGUAGAUGCGAAGAAGCCAAGUGGGGAGGAUCCGCCCUAAGCUGGUAAAUGUUUCAAGUGUGGCGAGGCCAGGCCACCGUGCUGAUAGCGUUACCAAGAAAGUGCUGAGAUGUUUCGAUGCGGUCAGGCUGGUCAUAGAGUUACGGAAUGUAAGGAUGCUGGUCCGACAUGUUUUAAUUGUGGCGAGAAGGCCAUAUCAGUUCGCAUGUGCUCGAAACCGAAGAAGGCGGCUACUGCAGCUCAUACUACUGGUAGGGUGUUUGCUCUGAGUGGGGCUGAAGCUCCUAAGAAGAUAAUCUGAUUAAAGGUACUUGCUUGAUUAAUAAUGUUGAAUUGCUUGCUAUUGUUGACACUGUGCUACUCAUUCGUUUAUUUCGUAUGAGUUGCGGCCAGGAUUGGUGUGAUUAUGUCGUCCCUAGGCGGAAGUAUGGUGAUGAUACUCCCUGCUAAUGGUUCUGUGAAGACUUCUGUUGUCUGUCGAGGGUUUGUCAGUUGACGAUCUUUGAGAGAGAGUUCGGGUUGAUUUGGUGUGCUUACCCUAGCACCAAAUUGAUAUUAUUCUGGGAAUGAAUUGGCUAGAAUUCUAUGGCGUGUUUAUCAACUGCUAUAGGAGAACGGUGGCGAUUUCUGAAGUUGGUGAGAAUGAUGAGCAAGAUUUCUAUCUGCUAAGCAGGUGGGGGGAUUUUGUGAAAAAUGAAGCUCAGAUAUUCGCUUUAUUUGCGCUCUGCAAUCGGAUAAGAAAGUGGUGAGUGUAGAUUUGCCUGUUGUCUGUGAAUUUCAAGAUGUUGUUCGGAGGAUGUAAGUGAAUUACCUCCAGAACGUGAAGUCGAAUUUGCCAUUGACUUAGUACCAGGUACGAGUCCAGUGUCGUGUCUCCUUAUAAGAAUGUCGGCAACUGAAUUAGUUAAUUGAAGAAGCAACUUGAAGAAUUGCUUGAGAAGAAGUUUGUGGCGUCCAAGUGUUUCUCCUUGGGGUGCACCAGUAUUGUUAUGAAGAAAGAAAAAGAAGGUACGAUGAGGUUGUGUGUCGAUUACCGGCAGUUGAAUAGGGUGACUAUCAGAAUCGGUAUCCAUUGCCGAGAUUGAUGAUUUGAUGGACGCAGUUGGUUGCAGCCCAUUUUUCAGUAGAUUGAUUGGCGUCGGGUUAUCAUCAGAUCCGAGUGAAGUCAGACGAUAUUGCGAAGACUGCUUUCCGUACGAGGUAUGGUCACUAUGAAUACACUGUGAUGCCGUUCGUGUAUCUAAUGCUCCAGGUGUGUUUUAUGGAAUAUAGAAUCGUAUAUAUUCAUCCGUACCUUGAUAAUUUGUGUGGUGUUCAUAGAUGAUAUAUUGAUAUAUCCUAAGACGGAAGAAGAGCAUGCAGGAACUCUGAGAAUUGUUUUGCAGGUGUUAAGAGAAAAGAAAUUAUAUGCAAAGUUAUCUAAAUGUGAGUUCUGUUGAAGGAAGUGAGUUUCUCUUGGCCAUGUGAUUUCGAGUGGUGGAUUUCUGUUGAUCCUGCUAAAGUUGAUGCCGUAUUUACAGUGGGGACUCGAAGUCUGCUAGUGAUACGCAGUUUUCUGGGGUUAGCUGGUUAUUAUCGCAGAUUUAUGAGGGCUUCUCUAGGUUGGCAUUGCGUUGACGCAGUUGACAAAGAAGGGUCAAGUGUAUGUGUGGGAUGCAGCUUGUGAAGCGAGUUUUGUUGAGUUGAGAGGCGGUUGCCAGUGCUCCAGUGUUGAUCUUGCUAAUCCUGGUGAGUCCUUCGUUGUUUAUUGGGAUGCUUCUUUUGAUGGUCUUGGUGGUGUUUUGAUGGCAGAAUGGCAAAGUUGUAGCUUAUGCUUCUAAGCAGUUGAAAGUUCAUGAGAGGAAUUAUCCUACGCAUGAUCUAGAACUUUGCAGCUGUUGUAUUUGUGUUGAAAAUGUGGAGGCAUUAUCUGUAUGGUUCCAGAUUCGAAGUGUUUAGUGAUCACAAGAGUCUGAAGUAUCUGUUUGAUCAGAAAGAGUUAAAUAUGAGGCAGAGAAGGUGGUUAGAAUUACUGAAGGAUUUGACUUUGAAUUGAGUUCAUCCUGGUAAGGCUAAUGUAGUUGCAGAUGCGCUGAGUAGAAAGUCUCUACAUAUGUCUAUGAUGAUGGUUCGGGAGCUUGAGUUAAUUGAACAGUUCCGUGAUAUGAGUUUGGGUUGUGAAGUUUCCGCUGAUAGUGUAAAGUUGGGUAUGCUGAAGUUGACUAGUGAAUUCUGGAAGUAUUCGGAAUGGUCAACAAGUUGAUGUCGCUCUAGUUGAUCAUAUUACUAUGGUUAACCAGGGUAAUGGUGGUAAUUUUGAGAUUUAUGAAAUGGCAUCACUGGCGAUUUAAAGUAGAGUUUGUGUUCCUGAGGUGUCUGAAUUGAAAAGGUAUUCUUGAAGAGGGCCAUAGGAGGUGGAUUGAGUAUCCUCCAGGUGCAACUAAAAAUGUAUCAAAUUUGAAGAAGUUGUUUUGGUGGGCUGGUAUGAAAGAUGGUUGCUAAGUUGUGUAUGCCUGUUUGACUUGUAGAAUCAAAGAUUGAACAUACAGAAACCGGCGGUAUGAUGCAACUUUGAAGAUUCCUGAAUGGAAGUGGAUAGCAUUUCCAUGGAUUUUGUGACGGGAUUGCGAGGACGGUGAAAGGUAAUGAUUCUAUUGGGUGAUUGUGGAUCGAUUGACUAAGUCGGCGCAUUUCUUGCCAAAUGAAGAUUAAUCCUCUUUAGAGAAGUUGGCAAGUUGUAUAUUGAGGAAAUAGUGAGGCUGCAUGGUAUUCCAUCCAGUAUUGUGUCUGAAGAGAUCCCAGAUUUACUUCUAGAUUUUGGAAGUUUGCAGAAAGCGUUGGGAACUAAGUUGAGGUUGAGUUCAAGCUUAUCACCUCAGACUGAUGGUCAGACCGAAAGAACUAUCCAAUCCUUGAGGAUUGUGUUGAGGCUUGUGUGUUGGAGCAGAGUGGUCCUUGGGAUAGUUAUUUGCCGUUGGUGGAGUUUACUUAUAAUAAUAGUUUUCAUGCUAGUAUCGGUAUGGCUCCAUAUGAAGCAUUGUAUGUAGGAGUGUAGAAACUCCAUUGUGUUGGUAUAAAUCAGGUGAGAGUGUUGUACUCGGACCUGAGAUUGUGCAGCAGACGACUGAAAGGGUUAAGAUGAUUCAGAGAAAUGAAGAUUUCUCAGAGUCGUCAGAAAGAGUUAUCAUGAUAACAGGAGAAAGGCACUUGAGUUCCAAGAGGGAAUCAUGUGUUCUUGAGAGUUACUCCGACGACAGGUGUGGGUAGAGCUUUAAAGUCUAAAAAGCUUACUCCGAGGUUGUGGGUCCGUAUCAGAUUUUGAAGAGGUGGGGAAGUGGCGUAUCGGAUAGCUUUACCGCGUCGCUUUCUAAUCUGCAUGAUGUGUUUCAUGUAUCUCAGUUGAGAAAAUAUAUGGGCGGAUCUUCGCAUGUUGUUCAGUGGAUGAUAUCCAGGUGAGGAUAAUUGACCGUUGAGGUGUUGCCAAUUCGGAUAGAUGACGCGAGAAGAGAAGACCCUGAGAGGUAAGAAGAUUGCCUCAGGUGAAAGUUUGUUUGGGGAGGUCCAGCUGGUGAGAGCUUGACUUGGGAGCGUGAAGAUCAGAUGAAGGAGUCGUAUCGCUCUAUUUGCUUGAGGUAGUUUUCGAGACGAAACUCUUUUAGUGGGGGAGAGUUGUAAACCCCGAUUAAAUAAGAGAAUUAUUAUUGAGUAAUAAUUAUUUUAUUAAUUUAAUUAAAUAAAUUGAAUUAUUGGAUUAUUUUAUUAUUACUAUAGAUGUUAUUUAUUUUAAUAAUAAUUAAUAAAUAAAAUAAUGGAAUAUGAAGUGGAAGGGUAAAAGUGGAAAUUGGAUAAAAGAGGCCAAAGUGAGGACUCAGGUUGUUUUCACGUGUUUUGCCUCAGAGUCAGAGAAAGGGGGAGAAACGCUGAAGAGAAAGAGAAGGAAGAGGAAAGGCCAAAGAUUGCUCAGAGUUUCCUUCAAUCCAAAGAGGUAAGGGUCUGAACCUUAUUAAACAAUAAUAUGCUGAAAUUGGUGAAAUAUUGGAUGAACGAAAAUGGGGAUUUUAAUCAAAGGAAUUCGUAGAAAUUAUAUGCAAUGAUGUUAGAUUUGUGAAAUCGAAUAGGGGACUAUUUGUUAUAGAUAUAUGAGUGAUUUUGUGUGAAAUUUGGACUGUGGAAGAAUGAAUUUGGAUAGAUCUCGUAGCAGAAAAAGCAUUGCAGAUCUGGAAAUCUGGUUUCUGGUCAUACGCGUAUGGCACUAGGCAAUACGCGUAUGAGAUUGCUGGUACGCGUAUGGCACUAGGGCAAUACGCGUAUGGAUGAGGAAGAUGAUGUUUUGAACGUUUUUGGUCUCUGUUGGUACGCGUAUGGGAAUGUGAUCGCGUAGCAUACGCGUAUGGACAUGGGCAAUACGCGUAGGAAUUUGGUCAGGCGUGGUAAUACGCGUAUGAGCCAUAGGAAUACGCGUAUGGGCAGACUUGUGGUCUUUCCUGGGCUGUUGUUGUGCAGUUUUGGUUGUUUAGGGCUGAGCGGUAACUUAGCUGAUGCAUGGUAUACGAGGGAUCAUUUCCCGUUGCUUUGAGUGUAUAGAUAUUAGUAGGUGUGAUAAUACUGUGUUUGAUUAUGUGCAUGAUGUGAUAUGCUUUUGUGAUAGAAUGUGUUAAUGAUGAGAUAACAUGACUAUGAUGCUGUUGUUGCUAUGUUGAUAUGAUGCAUGCUUGGUGUGCAUGCAUUCAUGAAAGGCCGAUGCCUAGUGAUGAACGGACUGAGUUCCAAUGAUGUUGUUGACUCCGGGCUUGUUGAGGGCUUGGUUCCUUGCGGGGAACUCGGAUUCUAUGGGGUGAAUCUGGGAGUGGUGAUCCUGUAGUUGGUCACAAAAUGGGUAUACCGAGUCGUGUUGAGUCAUGCAUGGGUGUGCAUUGCAUUUGAUAUGUGUUUUGUUGAUGUUCAUGACUAGUUGAUUAUGAUGAUUAUGAUGAGCUGUGUUGGCAUAUGUGAAAUAUAUUUAUGUUUAUAUUUCUGUCGUUAUAUUAAUUUAAUUAAUAAUGUAAUUCUCACCCCUUCUGCAUGUGUUUAUGUUCAUCUAUGAUGAGCAAUGUGCAGAUAAAGAGGAGUAGCUAUUGUUGAGGUUUGAAGAAUAAGUGUAGAGUUAUUCUACAGAGUCGAGUCAAAUGCUCUGGUCAUGUGACACCGGGUUAUGGAUUCGAUAGAUAAUUGAUUAUUAUUUACGUUGUUUAUGAUGACUAACAUGUUGAGAUUUUUUUGAGAUAAUGUUGAACCAUUAUUAUGAAUUGUUUAUAUGAUGAAUGAUAAUAUUAAUAUUGUGUCCGCUGCAACGUUUUAAUAAAAUAAAUAAUAUGUUUUAUGUUGUGAUGCGAUAAUUGUUAUGUUGUAAGAAAUGUACACUCUUCUACAUGUUGUACUCUGAUAAUCUAUUUAAAUAUGUCGUUUGGGUAGAAGGGUGUUACAAACUUCACCUUUUGCCAAAUCUCUACUCCUUUUUAGCCCCUGCACAUUGGUACAAAUGUGAUAACCACAUCCAGUAUCCAAUACCCAUGAUGCAGAAGUAGAUAAAUUAAUUUCAGUAACAAAAAUACCUGAAGUUGAAGUCUCUACUCCAUUCUUCUUAUCUUCCAGGUACUUUGGGCAGUUUCUCUUCCAGUGUCCGGUCUUACCGCAAUGGAAGUAGGUGUCUUCCUUUGCUAUGCCUCCACUAGGCUUCAAAGCAACAACAGUGGGUUUGGGUUUGGCAACUUCCUUGCCUUUCCCUUUAUCACCCUGCUUGGUGGGCCUUUUGUUUUGUUUCUUUCCAUUUCUGAUCAUCAGAAUGGACUUCCCUUUUUACUUUAGAUUCUGCUCGGAAUUUCUUAACAUGCCUAGUAGUUCAGGAAGAUUUUUGUCCAUAUCAUUCAUGUUGAAAUUAAGGAUAAAUUGACUGAAGCUCUCUGGAAACGUUUGCAAGAUCAAAUCAGUCGCAAGUUCCUUUCCGAAGGGAAACCCCAAUCUUUCAAGGUUCUCCACACACCUAAUCAUCUUGAGCACAUGGGGACCAACAGGGCUCCCUCAACUAACUUGCCUUGAAAAAGGGCUUUUGAAACUUCAAACCUUUCAUGCCUUUCCUACUCUUGAUAGAGCAUCUUUACGUGUCUGAUCAUAUUGAACGCUGCCAUGUUCUCGUGUUGCUUUUGCAACUUUGAGUUCAUGGUAGCUAGCAUGAGAUAAGCAGCUUCAUUGUCAUCAUCGACAUGCUUCUUAUAAGCAUUUCUUUCUUCCUUAGGUGCAUAACUAGGAGGUUCCUCUUCAGGAACAAGUUUCUCCAAGACAUACAACUUUUUAUCAUGCUUGAGGAUAAUCCUCAGAUUUCGGUGCCAAUCCAUAAAAUUUGUCCCAGACAAUUUUUCCUUAUCAAGGAUUGAUCACAAAAUCUUGUUAGAGGUGUUUGUUGUCAUGGUAACCUACAUGAAAAAUAUGAAAAUAUAAGUAUCAUUAAAAUAACAUAUUUAAUUAGGCCUUUAAUUAAAUAUGCUCCCACUAUUUUACUCAAAACAAAUGACCCUCACCAUUUGACUCGGAAAAUCCCAAUGGAAGAUUUUCUAGUGGGUCGAGAUCCACAUUUCACUUUGUUUUAAGUCCGCAUAGGCAGAUUACACAAAACUAGGUUAUUUAGGUAGAAACUCCUUCCAAUUGUAUCUAAUACAACUCUCGAAUAUUUUAGUUAGGUGAAUAACUCCUUAUUUCAAUCCAUCAUAUGGAUCAUUUCCAACUCUUUCUUCUAAACGUAUAUAAUCUUAUUAUAAUUUGUUUAGUUAAGUUUUACCCAUUGUUUUAGCAAUUGGAUAUUACAAUUUUCCCAUCAUACCUUACUAAUAUAGAACAUGCACCUCGCGUAGGCGAAACCUACAUUAUUCGAUACUAGUCUUGAUGAGUACUAAAACUUGGAAAGCAUAAAAUUAAUAUUUACUUCGAGGGAAUUUGCAAUUAUUUUGAUCUCACCGACUUAUUUAUCAUAUAAAUCAUCUCUCACAUGCGUUAACAUACAUUCACAUGCAUCAACAUACAUACAAAAUGAAACAGUUAUGGCCCUUAGCGCAAUUGUUCUCCCAAGCCAAUGAGAGAACCUAAGCUAACCUAAUAACGAUCUAAGCUUCUCCAAGCAAGAUCUUCAAGGUUGUCCUCAUUUGAUAUUGUAUUCUUCUCUUUCUUCAUAACAUUACAUUACAUAAAAGAAACUCGUUUUACAUACGAGGAAGUGAGAUGAGAAAAGAAGUUACAUUAAGAUAUUAAAAGAGAGGCAUAACACGUAGACCUUAUUUUAAAAUCCCAAAAACAAAAUAAAGGAAAACUAAGGCCAUAACUGAUCACCACAAGACAAUAAUAAUAAACACAUAAUUAUUAUUAAUUUAAAAUAUGUUAAUUAAAUAAACCAAAUUAAAUUUCGGCGAUUGAUUACACUAUGCAGAGUUAGUCGGAGGUUCCGCUGCCCGAGCAGCGCCCUCUACGGAGUUGUCAAGGGAAGCGCCCCAGCGCAAAAUUUUAAUGAAAAAUUCAUUUGAAACUGAUGUCGUUUUUUGCAUCAACACUUAAUACUUUAAAUUAAAAAAUUAAAAUUUUCCUUAUGAAUGGGCAUGAUCAGUGAUAGAAAUCGUUACCUCUUGAGUGUUGAUGCGAAUGGGCAUGAUCAAUCAUACUGAAUGAGCAUGAUCCUUUUCGCAUCAAUACACAGCGGAAAUUAAAAAAUUCUCCUUUAGUGAUCCUUAUGAAUGUGCAUGAUCAGUGAUAGAAAUCGUUACCUCUUGUGGCGAUUAAAACCUUUGAUGCAGAUCUAAGGAGUGAUCACGAGCGUUGAAUGGUGACAACGCCUCUACUCAGUCAACACGGACGGAUUCCUUCAGUCUCAAUGCUAGCUGCUAUGAAUGAAGGCUCUGAGUGAGUGAGAGUGAGAGAUAGAUAGAUAGAUAGAUAGAUAGAUAGAUAGAUAGAUAGAUAGAUAGAUAGAUAGAUAGAUAGAUAGAUAGAUAGAUAGAUAGAUAGAUAGAGAGAGAGAGAGAGAGAAACUAAAUUUUAUCUAAUCAAAUGCUUCUGCACAAGGGUUCUAUUUAUAGAACCACUUGUGUGGGCUGCAAGCUAAAAAUCCCACUUAAGUGUAUGUGGUGGCCUAUAUCUUAAGCGCGUUGUACCUUACCAUAUUUUAUAUUCUACUUAAGUGCAUCGUACCUUAUGAUGUUCUACAAUUCACUUAAGUGCACAAUACCUUACGAUGUUCCUUAUUUACUCUUUCUCUCAUUAAUCUGUCUAUUUGUGUGUGACCCUGUAGGUUUUCGCGACAUUGACAAUUAUAUUAAAUCACAUAUUUAACAUAAUAAACAGUGACCGGUAUCUAGCAACACAUCACUUCUACUCAAGACACGAAAAUGUCAUGUGAUCUAACAAAUCCUUUUUGUGAUAAUACUUGUGUGUAUAAUUACCCUUUUUACCCUUAUGUCUAUAUUGAACAUAAGACAUAGACCGUGUCAUCCUUGUCCAGUUCAAUAUUGGGCCCUUAGACAUUUAUCUUGUUUCACAGGAUGGGAAAAUUCCAUCUAGGUCACUCAUGUCCCUCAUCAUGCUUCGUGGAGUACCCAUCAAUUGUCUUUAUGGUCAUCUAGUUAUGGAUAAUGUUUGAUCAACAAUAAAGCACUCGGCUCUACAUCUAGGGUCCAUAGUGGUUUCAGGUCGAAGGGUGGUAUACACCACUAUCACCAUGAGAAUAACUUAUGACACUUUACAUAACAUUCUAUGUAGUAUUCUCAUAGUGGGUCAAUCCAGUAUAAAUAUUACUAAUAAUAUUCAUACAUAUGUUUAAGACUUGAUAACUCCUUAUCCAUGAUCCAUGAGAUGUGAUCACCAGUCUAUAUACAUAAUAGUCUUAAUGCUUUAAUGUUAUCCCACUUUACAACAAAGCUCGACUAUAGAUACUUUAAGAAUAAUGUCCUUAUGUUUAAUGGGAUCUCAUGAUUAAGUCACACUUGAUACAUUAAACAGACUAGCUAUUCUAGGGACUUUAUUAAACAAACAUAAUAAAGAAAAAAACUUUUAUUAUUAAUAAAUAAUUCGAUACAAGUACCAAAAGUAUUGGCCUCUAGGGCUUACACCAACAAUAUUGCAGUUAAUUUGCAAGGUGAGUAGCUAGAAAUCCACCCACAUACUUAACGUCACAACUUGAUAAGGCUAUAACAUAUUGUUUCUUAGAACAAUAAUAUAUUUUUAAUCCUUGAAACUAAAUAUAUAUCCACUUAUGCUUCUUUUAUCCACUUUCUCACCACACUUAUCAACAUCAGAUAAACCUUUCAGAUCUAGCUUUUUUGGCAUUAGGGACUUAGGAAAUAAGAUGGCAUAAUUGAUAGUUCCAUUUAUGUACCUCAACACUCUAUUUGAAGCUAACAAGUGAUAUUUUAAGGGAUUUCUCAUGAGCUUGGCCACUAAUUCAACAAAAUAGAAAAUGGAAGGUUUGAUUUUUCAUAAACACCUCAAUAUGCCAAACAACUUCCUAAUCAUAGUAAGAUCAACAUCUUCACCAUCUUUAUCAUGUAUGAGUUUAACCUUGCCUCUAUUGGUGUCAUUAUAGACUUGUAGUCAAGCAUAUCAAACUUUAUUAGAAUCAUUGUAACAUACUUGACUUGAUGAAGGAUUAUGCCCCUUAGUGUUUCAAGGAAUUCCAUUUCUAGGAAGUAUGUGAGUAUUCAUAGGUUUAUCAUUUCAAAUUCUACUUUCAUUUUAUUUUUGAACGCUUCAAUUUCAAUGAUGUAGCUUCCUGCCACUAGUAGGUCAUUUUCAUUUAAGCAUAUGAUUAACAUUUGGUUGUUUGCGCUUUCCUUCACACACACACACACACACACACACACACACACACACACACACCAUGCUUAAAAUUGCAUCUUUUGAAUCCCUGUUGAACAAAUACUUUGUUGAAUCUUUAAUUUCAUGCUCUUUGGCCUUGUUUCAAUCCAUGAAAAUAUUUGUGAAGCAUAUAUACCAUGUCCUCAUUACCUUUGAUUUAAAAUCUGGUGGUUGGUUGACAACGACAGUUUCGCCUAAUAUUCGAUUUAGGAAUGAAUGUUUUACAUCCAAAUAGAAUAUUUGUCACCUCUUAAUGCAAGCUAAAACAAUAACAAAAUUGAUUCAUCAUGAUUGGCCACAUGUGAGAAUACUUCGUAUUAAUAUAUUCAUUAUCUUCGUAGAACCCGUUUUCCAUCAAUCUUGCCUUAUGCUUCACUACUUUUGCCAUAAGAAUUUUCUUUAGCUUGUACACUCACUUCACAUCAAUGUCUUUCUUAUCAUUUAAUAGUUUUGCCUGCUCCCUAAUUUUAAAGUUCUCAAUAGAUAUAAUGUUUAUCAUGCAUAUCAUAUUUCCACACUUGUUCCUUCAAAACUACUUUGAAAUCAACUAGCUCAGAAAUAACAAAUAUUUCAUAAUAUAUUAAUUCACCAUCUUCACCAAUGACAUUGUCUAGAAUCACAUCAAAAUCAACCAAUCUUCUUGGUAGAUUUAUGUUUCUUUGUAUCGUGACUUUAAUAUGAGGUUCUUCGAUUGAUAUUGCAUCAUUCGCAUCACCCUCGUCAAUGUUUCUUUCUACAUUUAGUUACUUGUCAUCCAAGUCAACUACAUAACUUGAGUUGUACAUAAACCCUUGUUUCCAAUCCCAUGCUUCUUUCUCUAUCCCUUUGACAUCUAUGUUAUUCUCAAUCUUGUUUAACACGCGAUUGUACAACCAAUAUGCACCAGCAUUGUGAUAACCAACUAAGAUCACUAGUUGCCUUAUAUCAUAUAUCUUUUUUAUUCUUGCAUCAGAGAUAUAUUUGAAACAUAUUUAGUCAAACACUCUCAACUGAGUCAGAGUUGACUUCCUUCCUAACCAAGCUUCCUCAAGUACCAUCUUCUUCAAUCUCUUUGUAGGAAACAUUUUCAAGAUAUAAGAAGUUGUGGUAACUACUUCCCCCCAUAUAUUUUGAUUUAUCCAUUUCUCUUUAGUGUGGUUCUUUCCAUGUUUGUACAUUGUGUCCCUCUUUCCAUGUUUGUACAUUGUGUUCCUCUUUCCAUGUUUGUGGAGUAUAUGGUGAUGUGAAUUCAUGUAUAAUGUCAUGUUGACUGCAGUAGUCUUCAAAUUCUUUGGAUGUAUACUCUCCACUACCAUUUUCCCUAAAAUAUUAAACAUCUUGCCACUUUUUUCUCAAUUAGUGUCUUGAAUCUUUUGAAUGUCUCUAAGGCAUCAGUUUUAGCCUUGACCAUAUUUAACUACAUCCUUAUUGAAAAUUUAUCAACAAAUGUGAUGAAGUAUUUUUCCACUUGAUAACACAUUAAAGGGCCAUGUAUGUUGGAGUGAACUACAUUUAGUACCUCAUUCGACCUCCUUUGCAAGUUAUUAUUUAAAUUUUAUUUUGGAUUCUUUUCCGACAGGCAUGGUGAACAAGAGCUCUCAAAGUUGUAACCUUAGGCAUGGCAACACCAUCUUCUUUGAACGAAGUUGACUUAAACUAUUGAAGUUUAAAUGACCAUACCUCUUGUGCCAUAUGAGAUUCUUGUUCUAUUGAAUCAUGGUAGCAAAAUAACUAACCUCCACUAUAUUGAACAAGGUAUUGGAGGUUUUAUUUUUUGUGAGUACAAAUCUCAAAUCUAGUUUUAUUUUAGUGUCAUAUAACUUAAGUGAGACAUCAUCCACGAUUACUGAGUUUACCUUAUUUACUAGCAGACCAACACCCAUUAGACUACACUUCAUCUCAAGGAUGUUUAAAACCUUUUAUAAUAUUACUUUCUUUUCAUCUUGCAAAUGAACAAAAACAUUGCUCAUGACUUCUACUUCCAUUGAAUUGUUAUCAUUGGGCAACUUUUUGUUACUUAUCAUAUUAUUUAAACAUCAUGUGUCAAGGUACCAAGUCAUUGAAUCCAUUGCUUAUUUGUUUAUUGUCAUCAUCAACAUCAAUGCUUCAUAAUCAAAACUAGAUUCAUUUUAUGCCACAUUUAUUUAUUCUUCAUUGUUUGGAGGUUUGUUUCCUUUACCAAACCAAUAUUCAUUAGGAUAAUGUCCAAAAUUCUCACAAUUGCAACAUUGGACUUUCUUCUUUUCAAAAUACUUUUUUCUUGUUUUGAUUAUUCUGAUUCCAUCCUUUUCUUCUAUGAGAGGAUUAGGGUUUAUCUUCAUACUUACCUUUGUCUUUUCAACUAUUUUGCUCCUACUUUUUCAUUUUUGUUCGUCAGUCUCACUCUUCUUAAAUCUAGCAAAAAAAGUCUGUUCUUAUUCUUUAUCAUAGUUUCUUUCAACCAUAUUCAAUUCAAAAGAUUCAAGAGUGCUAUGCAAGUCUUCAAUCUUGAUGUCACUCAAUUUCUUUAUUUUUUCAAUUGUCAGCAUAGUAUGAUCAAAUUUUAUGGUAUGUAUUCUCAACAUUUUCUCUAUGACCAUCUCAUUUAUUAUGACAUCACCAAAAUUCUUCAUUUGAUAGGUAAGAGCCCCCAACAUUCUCAUUAUUCUUCAUCUCCAUCUAUUCAUAUUGUCUCCCUAAGACACGAAACUUCACUUUCUUAACAUUUGCAUCAUCUUUAUAGUUCUUCACAAGAAUAUCUUAAACAAUCUUAAAAUUUACAAAUUCAAUAAUUUUCUCAAACAUCUUGAUAUUGAAACAUUUUUUAAUGAGAAAUAAAACUAUUGUAUCAUUUGUCUUUGCAUCCUUCUAAGUUGUCAUACUUAUCUCUAAUGGAUUUGCAAUAUUUAACCACUUAGCUGACAAACUAAUAACCUUCUAGCUAACAUACUAAUAAUAAUUAAACAUGACUUGUUAGUUAGGUUAUGCAAUGAAUAUUAAUUAGUCCUAAAAUUACAUUGAUCAACAAAAAUGAGCUUAUAAAAAAAUAUUAUACUCUCUGGUACUUAAUAUAGAAAAACAUUUAUUUUUUAGAUUCAUUGUAUCUAGACUACAUGUAAUCCAAUACAUUAAUCUUAUAUAUAAAAUUUAUUUAGUUUCUUAACAAUUUUGAAGGCAAAAUUAAGGAUAACAUUGUUAUUUUAUAUAUAAAAGUUAUUAAGUCUCUUAAUAAUUUGGGGAAUUUUUUACUCAAAUACCCUACAUUUUCAAAAAAAAUCCCAAAAUAACUCACUUUUCAAAUAAUUUCCCAAAUUAUCCCAGUUUAAAAAAAACAUUAAGGUGUAGGUGGCAAAUCAAUUGACGUCUACCCUUAAUUUUUAAGAGGGGGCGCCAAUUGAAUUGGCUACAAUACAUGGUGUUGCCAAUCCAAUUGGAGCCCAUGUGUAUAUACUGAGAGAAGGCGUCAAUUGGUCUGCCGCCUCCGUGUAUUGUGUAAUUUUUUUGUAUAAAUAAAUGUGUUGGGUGAUUCAUUUUUCCACGUCUCUUUUCAUUAUAUUGCAAACAUGUUUCUUCUUCGUCGCCGCUAUGGAAAAGUGAUUUAUUCGAGAGACAAGCCUUCGAUGGAGAUGAUGUUUUGGAACAUCUGUUGUUUCGAGCAACUAAAGGGGGAGUUGGUUCGUUGGUUAGAUGGAAACAUACCAGAAGGGGAAAAAUUAGAAGUAUUGAGAGACUCGAUAACGUACGUGGUUAGGUGCGAGCUAAAAAUGAUAAGGAUGUUAGGGAAGUGAUGUUUGGACCAGAUGACAUCGAUUUGAUUGUUGUAAUCAGUUAGAAAUGAUAGCUGAGUUAGAGCAUACCCUGCAUUCGCCCCUUUUUUGCGAAGGUUCUUGUCUUUGAUUGCACACAUGAAGUUUUGUGCGAUAUGUCUAAUGUAAUAGACAUGGGUAGAAGGAGGAUUAUGCCAUCUGUUAUCAUGGUUAUUGUAAGCACUCUCAACGCCAGCAUGUUUAUCUGCAAUCAAACAGAGAUUGGCUUGUGGAUCGACAUGUGUUCUGAGAUGACUAAGGAAGAAACCCCAACCACCAAUGGUUUCACCUUCAACUAGAGAAAAUGCAAUGGGAAAGACAUUAUUGUUGCCGUUAGAUAAAAAUUCUACCGAAGACGCCCGAAUAAUAAAAACUAGGUGUUAUAUUAUGAUUUUAAUUGAUUUAUUUUUAUUUCCCGAAGGUAGUGGUUCUAGUAUGCAUUUUAUGUAUUUAUCUUUACUAAGACAUGUAGAUAGUGUCGCAACUGGGUUGCAAAAAAACAACCGGCGAAAAAAAGAGAAACAGAAGAGUCGCCACCGUUAGUUAUUUAUCCCAAAGGAGGGAAAGGAAACGAUCGAAGAAAACCUGAAGAGAAGGAAAAGACAAGGUCUCGCAACCAAAUCUUGGGUUCGGGAGUCGAUUAUGCGAAGGGAAGGUAUUAGCACCCCUACGAUUCCGUAGUACUCAUACGGGAUCCACUCUUGUUGUUCUACGCCUAAAGGUGUGUGUAUAUCUAAGGUACUAUUACUAAAAGAGGGUCAAAAGAAAAGAAAAUGACUCACAAGGAUGUCGCAUCCGCUGCCUACGUAUCUCAUCUGAACAUGAGAAUCGAAGUCUUCGUAGCUCGGUUACCUAUGGGUGAAAGAGAAGUGUGCUCGCUAAGACAUCACGUUGUGCCUACGUAUCCGUCAUCUGGAAUGAGAAUCAGAGCAAAACGUAGUUCAGCAAUACGGGAACAAGGGUCUCGAUUGCAACUAGGGCAAGAGAAAGGGAAGGUCUCGAUCGCAACGAGGGCGAGAGAAAAGAAUCGCAACAAGGGCGAAAGCAAGCAAGGAUUAGUUGUUAGUUGUCAGUCAAAAACUCGGCAAGACAUCGCGUCUCGUGCCUACGUAUCUCAUCUGAACAUGAGAAUCAGAGUUGUCGUAGUUCGCCAAACUAGGGGUUAAGGAUUGCCAUCUGAACAUGGACUUACAAAAGAGGACACCGGUUGUGUCAAAGGCAAGUGGGCAAUGUGUUCAACGUCCUAGCAGUAGGUGUCACAGCUAGCUGAAUCGAGUCUUAGGCAGUUACCUAUUUGCAAUUGAACGGACUGACAUGCCACAAGAUCGGAGACGCACGGAAGGUCUAAAAGGUGGGGAAGCUCUGCCCUAGAGUUAUCAUGCAAUAUGGACCUAUGUGUUAGGAUUUACAGAGGGGAAUAUCUACCUAAUGUUAGCAUGCAAAGAAUAAGGGAAUUCUACCUAUGUUAUCAUGCAAAGGGUUCUACCUAAUGGGUGCUACCUAAACGAAACAAGAGUCGACGGAUGGAGCAAGGAGAGGAGUCACGGAUAAGGGUAGAUGGCGAUGCCUGAGGCAAUCGACUUACAGGUAGAUGGCGAUGCCUGAAGCAAUCGACUUACAAGAGAAAUGACGAUGUGUGAAGCAAUCGACUUACAAAAGGAUGGAUGAAUACGUGUUGGUUCUGUUAAGUUUUGAAAAUGAUUACUCGAUGUUGGAUCGAGCUUUGGAUCUUGUUUUGAAAUGAUUAUCGGAUGUUCGUUUUGAUUCUUGUAUUAACAGAUGAAUAAAGAAUGAAAGAAUAAACAUUAUACACUUCAUGGGAGAGGGGUACAUUUGUUAUGAAUGGGGAUUGUUCAUGGCAAUCAAACAAUAAGAAUAUAUGCCUCAUACAGAAUGAAAGAAUAAACAUUAUACACUUCAUGGGAGAGGGGUACAUUUGUUAUGAAUGGGGAUUGUUCAUGGCAAUCAAACAAUAAGAAUAUAUGCCUCAUACAUCAUACAAGUAGGCAACAAUUAAUGAUCAAAUCGGAUAAGAAAACAAUGUAUAUAAUCCAAUCAAAGAAUCAAAUAAUGGAGCAUUAAACAAUGCAUGGGAGUAUGGACAUGUCAAACAAUCAAGCAAUAUUAAGCAUGGAUGAAAGAAACAAGUAUAGCAGGUAAUAUGUGAAUCAGACAGGUGAAAAGAAAUGCACAAAAGGGUCCACUGAAUAAUUUAAUCAGGAAAUGAGGUAAGGACCAAAUAAAAUCAAGAUGAAAGGCCUCUAAUACAUGGCAUAUGAGAUGAACAAGGGAGGAUGAAAAGAUCUCUUCAAUUGCCAUAAGCAAUCCCUAAGUCAAACAUCGAUCAUAAAGAAGUCAAUUGAAAAUUCAAGUCAACUUAAAAAAUAUCAAAUAAAUAGCAACUCAAUCAAGAAAAUUAUGAAAAAUUAAACUAAGUAAGGUGGGAUCAGGACAUCAUCAUCCCCCAAAAAUAUUUUAAAAAUAAUGAAAAUUGGUACAUAAAUUAAUUGAAAUAAAAUAGAGGUCAAAACAAAAGUCAACCAACCAAACUAGGUCAAAAAUAAAUCCAAAAUAAAUUAAAAAUGGAAAAUAAAAUUCCAAGAAAAGGUCAGGUUGACCAUGGGACAUUGGUCAACCUUCAUCCCAAAAAUCAAAAGCUAAAAAUAAUUUUAAGACAUAAAAAUAAAAUCAAGAGUAAAAUGUAUGUUAAAAUGGACCAUUUAGAAUAAAUAAUUAAAAUAAAACAUUAAUAUUAAAUAAAUACGAAAAUAAAAAUUAAAUAAAAUUAAAUAAGACAUUAAAAAAUAUGGAAAAUAUUUUUGGGUAUUUUUAUGAGUGAAGAAAAUAUUUUAAAAUAAUUAAAAUAAAAACAGAAAAAUAAAUUGAAAUAAAAAAAGAAAAUGAAAGUGGAAGGAAUGAUGCUAAUGGGCCAGGCGUGGGGUGUGAAGAGAAAAAUGCAGGCCCAAGGUCCAACCAAAUAUUCAGCGUGACAUGAAAUAAAUAACAUUUUAUUUUAAAAAAACCAUGUAACAUGUAUCAAUUGGGCAACUUUCAUUAAACACUAGAAGACAAAAACAGAAUGCACGACUAGGAUUAUAACAUGAGCGCACGAUCCAAUGGCUUAUAAGCGUGCCACAUAAUCAUCUUCUUCCACAAAACUUGGAACCCUAAUGCCAUGCACAAAAACGUGAACCAUGCAGUGAUUUUUCUCAAUCUUCCAAUCGAUAAUACAAGCGCUAUAGUGCACCAAAUGCCACGAAAUAAAAAGCAAAAUUCAAGUAUAAAAUGUGUAGAUCAUCAUGGUAUCUUGUUUUAGUAAAAAUAAUGGCUUAAUCAUGGAGAAAAGUUGACCACAAGAGGUCAACAUGGACACGGCAAAGGGCAAAAAAUUCAGCAUAAAUAAAUAUCAAUAACAAGAACAUAAGCAAUAUGAUUGGCAUGGUAAUAAUGAUGAGCAUAGCAUGAAGCAACCAUAACAUGGUCAUGGAAGAGAUGAUUACCUAGUGGAAAAUAGAAGUGGGAUGGUGCUUCCUUCUUGGUGUUUCAAGGCUUCAACUUGCUGACUUGUGAUGCUCUUGCCACGAAAUUCCAAUGCCUCCUUUUAGGUUUAGGGUUUCAUGCUUUUAAAUAUGGUGAAACAAAUGUUCUAAUGGGCCUUGAAAUCCAUGUUUUAUCCAUAAGCAACAUAAUGUAAAGUGACGUGUAUUAGGGCAUGUGAAGUUUGUGUUUUGGGCCAAAUUUAAGUGAGUAAAAUAUCCAAUGCAUGGCCAAAAACGUGGGCUGGUUUGUGCAGUAUGGCUUGGCUUGUUUGGCAAGCAAGAAAACAUUCCAAGGUGGUGACUUUAUGGCCAUGUAACUUAAUGAGCAAGUUACCAAAUGAUGAAAUAAUGCAAACAAUAGAAAGAUCUCAUGGAGUAUGUCAUCUUUCAUGUUGAUCACAAGUUGAAAUGAUGAGUGGAGGAAGGUGAAAAAUGGACCUCAAGUUCAGGUUUCAUCAUGCAAAACUGGUUGGGCCAGUUUGGCCUAAAAUCUGUCUAGAAAAUCAAGUCAUGGUGCCCACUUUAGGUGAAUGUAUCUCUCAAACCAUGAAUCUAAAUAAGAUGAUUCCAAAAGGAUAUGAAAGAGGACAUGGCAAGGUAUAAAUGUUGUGAAGAAAACAAUUUCAAAUGAUGCCUUGAAGUGCAAGAAAACUGGCCAAGAAGUCUUGACAAACUUUGAAGAUUUUGGACUUAGAAAUUUUUCUAAGUGUCCUAGAAAAAUGUCUCACUUUGACUAAGCAUAAUUUUCUCAAUUUUAAUCCAAAUGGAGCAAACGUUAUAUCUCUAGAAAGUUUGGAACAAGAGGAACAACUUUCAUAUUGGAAAAAUUUUCAAAUGGAGCUUUUAUCCUGAUGGAAAAUGGUCUUAAAGUGAGUGCAACAAUCAUGAAAACUUGCCCUAAAUGGCAAGUCAAUCAUUUCCAAAUUAAGUAACUUUUCCAAUUCCUGAUUAAAUGAUGAAUUCAUGAUCCAACCUUGAUCAAAUUUCAUAUGUAAGCUCCCCUAGGCAUGGAUUUUGAGAUUCCACUCUCAAAAUGUCAGGAGUUGACUUUUCUGGCCCCAUAGUUGACUUUUCCCCAACUGUCUGAUUCCUGAUUCCAUUGAUCAAUUGAAGCACCUCUAGCUCAAAUAAAGAGCUGAUUUUUUGUAUGUAGACCCUUGUGGACAUAUGGAGGUCCAUGGAAAAGAGUUUCACCCAAAGUUAGUCUUUAUUUGACUAAAAUAUGGUUUGGGAUCAAAAUCCCGAAAAUGAUCAAGAACUGAUUGCACUGAUUGCCAAUGGAUCUUUCUGAGAUAAUUGUGAAUCUUCCUAGGCCAAGAUGCCUCUCCAAUCAUGACAUGGAUAAGCUCCUAUAAUUCCAACCAAACAUUUCCUGUUGCAGGUAGCCAUGAAACCCUAAUUUCCUGAUUAAAUCCAGAUGAACACUCUGAUGGCUCUGAAUCCUUCACUGAUGAACUGAGGACCAUAAUGAGAUACCUGGAGCUACCUGAGACCCUUGGGGCUUGUAUGCUUAGAGAAUGAAGUCCAAUUCUCAAUCUUGCUUUAUGUGGGCUCUUUCUAUUAAGGAGUGAUCAAUAAAAACCUGAUUUUCAAGUCACUAACGCAGUAUGCAAUGAGUAUGACCUAGUAUGAUGCUAAUGAAGUGUGAAACAUAAUCCCAUGCUUCCAGGAAAGAUGAAGGGUAAAUUUUGGGGUAUUACAGAUAGAAUAAGAAGUUACAGUUGGGGAUCCACUUGUUUGGCCUAUCUUUAUAGCUCUUUGUGUAAAGAUACACACAAAGACACAUCUAUAUAUUUCUGGAUGUGCUGUUUUGCUCCAAGCACGAGGUUGGUUCAGACUACCGUCCCUAGCUCCCGUCAACCACAACCCGUUCACAUUCCCGUACGCACAAAAGUAAUUUCUUGACAAUGGACUAUAUUUACUUAUUUUACCGAUUAUUAUCUCUAAAUAAUAUAUUUACUUUUAUGGUUCAGAUGGUCGGCACGUGGUAUGAGUUACAACAGAUGUCUUAGACACUGUAUUACCCAGUAUCGCAAUCUCUUGGAUCACCUUCGACCAACAAAUGUAUUGUCAUUAACAUAAUUAAUUCGUAAUAAUUUGUUAAUUUCUUCUAACAAAUUUAUAGUCUAAUAUAUCUUCACAUUUCAAUUCAUUUGGCGUCCAUAUCUAAACUUGGAUCAUGACCAUGAAGUCAACGAACAAGACGCAACUGUUUGGACUGCAUGCGCACCGAUCAUAAGAUUCACCACUAUGGAGAUGCACCAUAAUGAUCGUGUUAAAUUGAAGUUCGGUAUGCUUCAACACAUCCCAGAUCCCCCGACAAACCUCGGAGAAUGGCAUCUACGAAAAGUUAACGACCAAUGGAACUUUAACCCUUGGCAAAGCUUCGCUUGAUCUGAGUGUCGAAAAUUGAAGCACCGACAAGACCAUGUCUUAACUGACGUUGUGAUUCAAAUUGAGGAAAAACCAACUCGUAAUUAUAUGGCUUGGUACAGAUCGGUUGAAUUUGAGUUCCUUGCCGAGGAUAUGUACCUAUACGACCCACGCCAGGUAACUUACACAUAAGAAGGUUCAACAUCUAACCCCUAAUUGUCAGACGGGCUACUCGCAACCCCAUAUCCAUCAAAAUUUCCGGUCCACAAACCUACGACCCUAACAUGCCAAACACCCAACCACAAUACCAAGAGCAUACCCCGUACCACCACCGACAAGUAGAUCAUCAUCAAGACACCCAACGUCGCUAUGCACCCAACAUAUCACCCUACCAUAGCCGCCUUAGCCAAAACACCCAGCGAUCAUUUAAUACCAACCGUCCAUCCUCCAACUAUAGCCAAAAAGCCCAAACAUCAUGAAACAAAAACAUGCAACAACCAUAUGACUACCAAACACCAUAAUAAUCAUUUCAACCUUUCUUCGACGCAUCAUCCACACCAAUGUCGCCCUUCAAUCGUCGUGGUCGCCCUCCAAUAACUCAAACAUAACCCAACUACUCUAGCAUGAGUCAUGAACUCAGAUAUGGCGGUAGCGCUUCAUUGCAUACAUAUGACUACGCAUAUUUGUCUGAAUAUCUUAGGCAAUCUCUUGUAGGUGGUGGUAAUGUUCCUGGGCCCUCAAAUACUCAAACACCUGGGGUGAAUCAUCAACGUGGGUUAGAGCCACGCGUUCGGGUAACUAGGGGAUGUGGAACCGGAGGUCGGUUAGGUCAUUUUGGUCAACGACAUUAGUCUUUUUGGUUAACGUAUGUAAACGCAUAUUAAUAUUAAUAUCAAUUGAUCCGAUUUCGACUUUUAUCUAAAAUGUACAUUAUUUUCAAAAAAAAAUACGAAACACACAUAGGUGUCAGACCAAUUGGCACCUCCUUUAUAACUUAACAGACAGGCGCCAAUUGGAUUGACAGCACUAGGUGCACUAGUCAAUCCAAUUGACGCCACCUGUCUAAGUUAAAGAACAGACACCAAUUCAUCUGACGUCACCUCUUCAAAGUAGGGUACUUUGGAAAAUAAUCUGGAAAAUGGGUUAUUUUGAGAAUUUUUAUGAAAAAUUGGAUUAUUUUGGUGAAAAAAUUCAAUUUAGAAGUCAAAAUUGAGGAUAUUCCACAAAAUAACAUUUUUUAUAUUUAUUUAUUUAUUUAUUAUUAAUAACCUAAACACUAAAUAAUAUUGUCUAUAUUUGUUUAUUUGUAAAAACUUGACCAUUUUAUCUUUUAUAAUUUAUUUAUUAAUAACCUAACACUAACUACUCAACCAUUUUUUUAUUAUUUUUAAUCUUAAUAUUUAAAGCACAACCAUUAACAAAUAGCAUUAGUCAUUAACAAAAACUAUAGAAUUAAUUUUAUAUUAUUAAUUAUUCAGUAAGAAUUAACUUUAUUCCACUAACUUUUAAUAUUCGUUGCAGCAUAAACAAAAAUAUAUGAUAUUAAAAUUAUUUAUUUAACUGAGUAUUUUAUUUUUGAUUUACAUGUGUAGUUUGUGUUUGAAAAAUAUAAACUGAAUUUUUAAUUUAAUUUUAUAUUUAACUCUCAAUGAUGGCUAUAAAUCAAAUUAAAAAGAUAAAAUUUCAUCAUUCAUAGCAAUAUUACCUCUCAAAAUCAAAAUAAUGUGGAGAGAAGUUUGUCGAACACUUAUUUAUAUACAAAGAGAUUACGUGUGAGAAGUGAUUUUUUUUUGGAUUUUGAUUUGAGGUUUUUUUACCGAGAUAAUCCACUUUUUCGAAAAAAUUCCCAAAAUACCCCACUUUUAGGAGGAGGCGCCAAUUGGAUUGGCGACCCCUCUUAAAAAUUGCAAGGAGGCGCCAAUUGGAUUGGCUAGGGCACCUGCCCUACCAAUCCCAAAUUGGCGCCUAUGUGUAAUUUUAAGAGGGGGCGCCAAUCCCAAUUGGCGCCCUCCCUUAAAAAAGCCUCAAAUGAAAGUUGUAGAUCUUUUCAAGACAAUGAAUUUGAGAUAUAAAUUUUGCUCAUUUGGAUUUUUUAUGAGAAAGUUAUGGGCCAGUUGAAGUUGGACCUUCUGAGUUUUUCAAACUGUUAUCUGAGCCUAUAAUUUUGUAGUAUUGCAUGUGUUUCUUUAGGAAUAUGAAUUUUUGUCCAACAUAACAUUUGAAGUAGACAUCCUUAAAUUUUCCAAUGAACUUGGUCCCACUUCAAAAUAAUUAAAAAUGAGUGAGUUAGGUCUUUGCGACUUGACCCAAAAUUAAGGGUUUAUCUCAAAACAUGAGUAUGUGAAUUUUGCCAAAGGGACCAACUUCAAGCCCUUCUGUUUGAAUGAUAAAAUCCUCAAUGACAAAACCUUCAACAUAAAGUUUUAGAUCUUUUCAAGAUAAUGAAUUUGGAUAAGUUUGCAUCAUUUGCAAUUUUUAUGAGAAAGGUAUGGGCACCUAAACUUGGACUCUUUGACAUUUUAACUGUUAUCUGACCUAUAAUGUUUUUGUAUUAUUGCAUGUGUUUGUGUUAGAGUUAUGAAUUUUUGUCCAACAUAACAAGUGAAGUAGACAUCUUAAAUUUCCAAUGCACUUGGUCCCACCUCAAAAUAAUUAAAAAUGAGUGAGUUAGUCCUUGCGAACUUGACCCAAAUUGGGUUUCUGUCAAAACACGUGUAUGUGAAUUUUGCCAAAAGGGACCAAAUUCAAGCCCUUCUGUUUGAAUGAUAAAAGCCUCAAAUGACAAAACCUUCAACAUAAAAGUUUUAGAUCUUUUCAAGAUAAUGAAUUUGGACAAUUUUUUUGUAUCAUUUGCAUUUUUUAUGAGAAAGGUAUGGGCACCUGAACUUGGACUCUUUGACAUUCUACAUUGUUAUCUGACCUUAAUGUUUUGUAUUAUCAUAUGUGUUUAUUUUAGAAUUAUGAAAUUUUGUCCAACAUAACAAUUUAAGUAGACAUCUCAAUGGAGUUUCAGUCAAACAUGUGUAUGUGAAUUUUGCCAAAAUGGAGUUUAGACAAAGAAACCUAAUGUUUGGAGUUUACACAAAGAUAAUUUGAUAUAAUACGAAUUAUAUUAUAAAAUUUGGAUUUUACACAAAGAAUCCUAAUGGUGAUGACGGCGAUCACCUAACCGACCUCCGGUCCACAUCCCCUAGCUACCCUAACCCUUGGCCCUAACCCACGUUGACGAUUCUCUGCACCGGUGUUUGUUCAUCUGAUGGUCCAGGAGCGUCAUUACCUCCUACAGAAGAAGCACGUUGAGGUAUUCAGCCAACUCAGCAUAGUCUUCGUAUCUCAAUGAUGGUGUCCCCGCCGUAUUGAGCUCAUGACCAAUGCCAGAGAAGUUGGGGUGUGGUUGACUCAUGGAUGGGCGACCGGGACGGUUGAAGGGAGACAUGGGUGGUGAAUGAUGGGUCUAGGACGGUUGGAAAGGUUGUUGGGGGUGUUUGGAAGAGAUAUGGUUGUGGGAAUGUUUUGUAUAUAUGAUGUUUGGGGUUCUUGGCUACGGUAGGAGGAGGGGCGGUUAGUGUUUUGGCUAAGGCGACUUUGGUAGGGUGAUGGUGUGGGUGCGAAGCGAUGUUCGGUUGAGGUUGAUGGUCCAUUUGUUGGUGGUGGUAUGGGGGAUGUUCUUGGUAUUGGGGUGGGUGAAUGGCAUGUUUUGGUUGUAUGUUUGUGUGUUUGUGGAACGGAAAGUUUGACGGAUAGGUGGUUGUGAGUAACCGGGCUGAGAAUGUUGUUAGGGUUAGAUGUUGAUCCUUCUUGUGUGUAACUUGUCUGGCGUGGGUCGUAGAGGUACAUAUCAUCAGCGAUGAAUUGAAAUCCAACCGAUCUGUACCAAGCCAUAUAAGUACGACUUGGUUUUACUCAUUUGGCAUGACUGCGUCAGUUAAGACAUGGUCAUGGCGGUGCUUCCACUUGCGACACUCUGAUCUUGCGAAGGUUUGCCAAGAGUUGUAGUUCCAUUGUUCGUUCACUUUACGCAUAUGCCAUUCUCCUAGGCUAGCUGGGGGUCUGGGAUAUUCUGGACCAUACCGAACUGCAGCUUCACACGAUCGGUGUUGUGCAUCUCCACUGUUGUGAACCGUAUUAUCGUGUGCAUGCUAUCCAUACGGCUGCGUCUUCAGGGUUGACCUGAUGCUCAUGAUCAAUUAAGGUAUGGACGCCAAUGAACUGAAAUGUUAAAGCGAUAGGAUUUAAAUGAAUGUAGAAAAAGUCAACAUAAUAUAGUCAGGCCUUCCGCAUACCUUGCUCCCAUGUCAUUGCAGCAUGCGCUUAUACUCGUCAAGACGCUUACACCCAUUUAUCUGAUGUGUCACAAGGCCAACACCAUCAUGAAUGUAUAUAGUCAAAGCUUUCCAGUACUACCCAAUGGAGGAUUACUGGCCUCCAUAUGAAGGAGAUAUUGUUGGCACAAUGAAGAGAUGCGUAGAAAGAAGAAAGGAAGUCCAAAUAACACACGUAUCAGAACAGAGAUGGAUUCCACAGAUAAAAUGAUAAGAUUAUGUAGUAUCUGUCGUCAACCAGGACACACAAAAAACAACUGUCCCAAUCAAGGAGCAUCAUCUAGAUCUUAAGCUUUUUGUAACAUUUUAUCUAGAUCUUAAGCUUUUUGUAACAUUUUAUCUAGAUCUUAAGCUUUUUGUAACAUUGUAUUUCUGUAACAAUCAAUCAUUAUAUAUCAUUAAGUUCUUGUUACAACGAGUUUCAUAACCAACAUCAGUACAAACAUCUGAAAACAUAAAUAAUUCUAACUGAUUACAACAAUCAAAUUAAUGUCAUCUCGACCGAACAUCAUUUCCCUAGCAUCCUUAUCAGUCUUCAUUCGCACCCAACCAAAGAUACUGUCAAGUCUCUCAAUACUUCUGAUUUUUUCCCCUCUCGGUAUUUUCCCGUCUAACCAUCGAACCAGCUCCCUCUUCAGUUGAUCUAACGUGGUGAUGUUCCAAACAAGCAUCACCAAUUGAGGUUUGCUCUCGCAUAAAUCACCUUACCGUAUCGGCGACGAACACCAAACAUGAAGCCAAAUGAUUAUAUGAGUUGUGAAACAAUAGGUCACACAACGCAUCUAUUUAUAAGACAAAAAGGCAUUUUAUGAGGGACUCGCCAAUUGAGUUGGCGCCUCCUUUUAAAACCUACACAAAGGCGCCAAUUGGAUUGGCUAAGGCACCUGCCCUAGCCAAUCCAAUUGGCGCCUCCAUUCAAGUUUAAACAACAGUCGCCAUAUGAACAACUUUCAUGUUCAUCAAAAAUCUAUUUGAAACUUGGAAGCUCAUCAUUCAUUUCAAAACAUUAUAGGUCAUUUUUGACAGAAACCCUAAUUUGGGUCAACUUCGCAGGACCUAACUCACUCAUUUUUAAUUAUUUUGAGGUGGGCCAAGUGCAUUGGAAAUUUAGAUGUCUACUUCAGUUGUUAUGUUGGACAAAAUUCAUAACUCUAAAAUAAACACAUGAAAUAAUGCAAGACAUUAUAGGUCAGAUUAUAGUUGAAAACUCACGAAGUCCAACUUCAACUGCCCAUAACUUUCUCAUAAAAAAUCCAAAUGAUGCAAAAUUUAUAUCCAAAUUCAUUUUCUUGAAAGAUCUACAACUUUAAUGUUGGAGGUUGUUUCAUUUGAAGCUUUUUUAAGGGAGCCGCCAAUUGGAUUGACACUCCUCCUCUUAAAAAUUACACAUAGGCGCCAAUUGGAUUGGCUAGGGCAGGUGCCCUAGCCAAUCCAAUUGGUGCCUCCUUGCAAUUUUUAAGAGGGGUCGCCAAUCCAAUUGGCGCCUCCUCCUAAAAAUGGGGUAGAUUGGGAAUUUUGCUGAAAAGUUGGGUAUUUUGGGAAUUUUUUCGAAAAAGUGUCUUAUCUCGGUAAAAAAACCUUUGAUUUUCAUCUUUUUGAUUAUAACAUUUGUAAAUAUGGAUAUUUUAUAAAUGAACUGCUUCCACUAUUUCAUUAAUUCAUUUAAGACUAACUUAAAUCCACUAAUUUUUUAUAUUCAAUUAAUUAUUAUUAUUUAAUACAAUAUAAGUUUAUUAUAACAAUUUUUAUCUUUAUUAUACUAUAAAAUAUAAUUUCCUAUUUUAUUUAAUUUUAUAUUAUUAAUUAUUUAAUAAAAAUUAAUUUUGCUCCGCUAACUUCUUAUUUUCGUUGUAGCAUAAACAAAAAUAUAUAAUGUUAAAAUUAUUUUUCUACCACUAAUUUAUUAUAUUAAUUUUAUUUAUUUAUUUUAAUUAUAUAAUAAAAACUAAAUUCCUCCCCCUAACUUCUUAUAUAUAUUUUUUUUAAAUCAUACUAAUUAAUAAUCCUCUAACAUCUCUCAUAAUAAAUUUUCACUAAGACUGAAUUUAUUUUAAUUAAUUGUUUAAAUUAUUUAUGAUAAAAAGAAAAUGAGACUUAUCAUUUAUUUAUAAUCAAUUUAAAAAUGAAAUUACAAUAGAAAGAGAAUGGGAUUUAGUGGUAAGUUAUUGUUUAGUGGAUAGAUAUACAUAAUUCUAAUAUUAAUUUGGUGGUGUGGAAGUUAUUAUUCAAUAUAUACACAAUACAAAGUGAUGUUUUCGGAAAUACAAAUGAAACAUCAACUCUCUUUAUAUAAAAAAGACAAAUAUACUACCAAAAUUGGUGGGAAGAUUAUUUUGGUUUUUAAAAUUUGGUGGGAAGAUGUAUAAAAAAAAAUUGAGGGAAAUUUAAUUUGCAUCUAAUUUUUCACGAUGAGGAUGUGGAAAGCCAAUUUUUUUGUUGUAAUUAUUUUUGGAUAGAAUAAAUGCUGACCAAUUUUUAUUUUAUCAACAUUUGGCUUAAUUAUAACAUUAAUACUACUAAAUAUUUAAUUUAGGGGUAUUUUUGGAAGUACAAGUUUAUUUUUCAGAAAAAUUAAUUAAAAAAAAUAUUCCUUGGUUUGUGUGAUUUCUUAUGUUUGUCUCUUACAAAUAGGAACGGAGGUAGUAUCUAUCAAGUUAUCAACUACUCUGAAUCCAAAAUUGUUAUUAAUCAUUUAAUGGAUUUUAAAUAAUUUGAUUUUGUUCUGAUUCCUAAAUGUGAAACGCUGAUUAUUCUUACUUUGUCUUUUUUUUCUAAUUAUGGUUAUUAUUUCACUCUCUUUCUUCUUCUUUUUUAAAUAAUUUGAUUUUGUUUCUUGAUCCUAUAUUUACGGGAUUAUUCUUACUUUGUUUUUUAUAUUUGUGCUAAUUAUGGUUAUAUUUGGUCUUUUUGGCGCAUCAAAAAUUAUUUUCAAUUCUUAAACUUAACUGAUUUUAUUUUUUAUUUUAAAUUCAUGUGUUUACAUUUUUUUGUUUUUAUAAUAUUUUUGGGGUAGAAGUUGCAUCGUGAUUCUUGCGUUAGGAAUUUCUAUUAUUCAAUAGUAUUAUUAAAACCUUAUAGAAGCAUAUUCAUUGAAUACUCGCAAUGACUUCUAGAAAUAAUUCCUUUGCGCAUCUAUCACGCCAUGAAGCGUGCCAUGUUCUUCUCUAUUUCAACUUUAUUUUGCUCUUAGUCAUACUUUAAUAUAUUACCAAUUUUGACUUUUACUCACACAAUAUUGUUCACUUUACGAAAUCCUUUACUUUUCAAUUUUGAAUUUACCACAUUGGCUAACUUUAAUUUCAUAGGGUACCCAUGAUUUUUUUAAUAAAAUCGUAAAGUUUGAUUUACGAUUCAAAAAUCUUUGACCGGUUUUCUUAAUUAGUAAAUUUUUUUAAGAAUUACAAAUUGGACUAAAAUCAUCAAAGAGAGCAAAGAAAUAAAGAAAAUCAAAAGCUUCCGACUUUAUUAGUAAUUUCCAUCUUCUGUGAGUAAUAUGAAAAUCGAAAAAAGGUAAAAAAAAAAAAAAAAAACUUAAAAAGAAAAAAAAAAAAAACCCUAAAAUAAUUUACAUGGCCAAAAACAUGAGAACCAGUCCAAGGUUGUUUUGUCUCAUUCAAAAAAGUGUCUUUAAGGUCUAUUCUUCAUCUUCAUCUUCUUCAUCGAUCCAAACCAUAUAAGAAAGUGGAUUUGAUGACAAUUUAGAUUUGUUAUUGUCAACAACACCAAAAGAUUGUGUCUUGUGGGUAUAUACCAAAGAAGAAGUUGAAGGGGUGGGUUUGAUCAUGGUAGUAGCUGAUUGUUGUUGUUGCUGUUGAUUCUGAGGAUGAUCUUCAGUGUUUGGCGUUUGGAGAGGAAGCACGGUGGGAGAAGCAGUAGAUGGUUGUGGUUGUGGACGAGGGUAGAAGAGAUCAGUGGGAAAAAAGUUAUAUUGUUGAAGACCCGCCAUGAGAGUAGAGAGAAAGUUUUUUGGAGUAUUUUGGUUUUUCUUUAGUAAACGUGAUUAAGGGAAGAGGUGUAUUUAUAGAGAAAGAUAGAGAGAAAAAAAAGUAAAAGUGGGUUCUAUACUUUUCUAGUUUUGUGGCUUGGGAAACAAGGGAUUUUCUUGAUUUUAGUGUACACUUUUUUCCCCCUUUGUCGAUGUUUACAAUUACGGUUUAAUUUGUCCGGUUUUCACUCUUCAUAUAUUGCGGCAAUCAGGAAGUUAGUUGCGGUUUAAGUAUGUUGAUAAUUUAUAAAAUUUACAAUUUUAUCUUUAAGGAAAAAAUUUAAAUUCAAUUUAUUACUAUUUUAAAAAAAUGUGAUUUCCUUUUAUAUAUAUAUAUAUAUAUAUAAUUAUAUAUAUAAUAUAAUAUAUAAUAUAUAUAUAUAUAUAUAUAUAUAUAUAUGAUAUAUAUAUGAGAAUUCAAAUAAAAAUAAUACAAGCUAUUGGUUUACAAGGGACACAACUCUCGUAAACAAUGAAUUUAAUUAAUUAUUUGACUGAUUAAUUAUAAAUGAGAUGAUUAAUUAAGAAAUAAAUAUAUUUUAUUUUAUUAUUAUUAAAUUUUAUUUAUUGAUAAAUUAUUUGAUUAAGUUUUAUUUGUUUAAUUAUUUAAUUAAAUAUAAUAAAUUAUUUUACUCUUGAUUUACUGCAACAAUUAAAUUAAAAAGUUAGUUGUUACAAAUAAAGAUUUGGCGUGUGUGAGAGAGAUAUAUUCCGAUGUGAUUUCACUAAUCUAAUUUCAUCAAUUCUUAAAGAUUAUUCACACAUAUUUUAUUUAUUGAACCAUGAAAAAUAAGUUGAAAAAAGUCAACUUAAAUACACCAUACAUAUAAUAAUAAUAGUAUAUUAUAAUAAUAAUUAUUAUAAUAAAUACAAUUUUUUUAAUUAUUAUAAUAUUUAAUAACUAUAAUAAUAAUAAAGAUUUUUAUUAUAUUAUACAAUUUUCUAUAUUUUAAUUAAGUACACGGUAAUUUAUAGUGUUUCAUAAUUCUCUUAAGUACAUCGUAUCUUAUGAUGUUCCUUAUUUAUUUAUAUCUCAUUAUUUGUUUUUAUGUAUGUAGUCAUGUAGGUUUUCGUGACGUUGAUAAUUAUAUUAAAUCAAAUAUUUAAUAUAAUAAAUACUUAGUGCUAUCUAGCAACACAUCAAUGUUACCUAAGUCACGAAAAUGUCAUGUGAUCUUACAAAAUCUUUUUUAAUAAUGUUUGUGUGUACAAUUACCCAUUUGUCAUCAUGUUUAUAUUGAACACAAGGCAUAAACCGUGUCACCCUUGUCCAGUUCAAUAUUGGGCCCUUAGACAUUUAGAAUGGACAAAUUUCAUCUAGGUCACUCAAGUUGCUCAACAUGAUUUUGUGGAGUACCCAUCAACUGUCUUUAUGGUCAUCCGAUUACAGACAAUGUUUGAUAAGCACUAAAGUACUCGACUCCUACAUCUAGGGUCCAUAAUGGUUUUAGGUUGAAGGAUGGUAUAAACCAUUAUCAUCAUGAGAAUAACUUAUGACACUUUGCAUAACUUUCUAUGUAGUAUUCUCAUAGCGGGUCUAUCUAGUAUAAAUAUUACUGAUAAUAUUCAUACUUAUAUUAAGACUUGAUAACUCUUUAUCCAUGACCCAUGAGAUGUGAUAAUCAAUCUAUCCACAUAAUAAUCUCAAUGAUUUAAUGUUAUCUCACUUCACAAUAAAGUUCGACUAUGGAUACUUUAAGAAUAAUGUUCUUAUGUUUAAUGGGAUAUCAUGAAUAAGUCACAUUUAACAUUUCAUUAAACAGACUAUCUAUUCUAAUGAAUUUAUUAUUUUGGAAAAAUAAACAUAGUAAAGAAAUGCUUUUUAAUUUUUAAUAAAUAGUUUGAUACAAGCACCAAGUUCUAAUAAAAUUAUUGGCCUCUAGGGCUUACACUAACAUCUCCCACUAGCACUAGAGCCAAUCAUGCAUACACCUAAUAGUCAUAGAUCUAGUAUGAUCAACAUGCUUCUACUUUGCAAAAGGCUUUGUCAGUGGGUCAACGAUAUUGUCAAGUGUUUGUACUCUGCAUAUCUUUAUAUCUCCUAUAACUAUUAUCUCUCGAAUGAGAUAAAUAUCUCCUAAGUGUAUGUUUGGAUUGUUGGUGAGAUCUAGACUCCUUAGCUUGUGUGUUAGAACCAUUGUCAUCACUUUAAGUUGUUGUGGUAACGUGUACAGUUGUUUAGUUAAUUCUUCCACUGUUUGAGUGAGAAGCUUAUUUUGUGCCAAGAUAGCGUCAUUUGAGCUUAACUCCAGAAUUCCUGAUUUUCCUUGUGUCAUACCUCUGUUGUAUUGCACCUGAUGAUUGUUGAGAGCCAUAUGAUUGAUGAUAGAAACUACCUCUUCUGCACUUUUAGAUAAUAGCGAACCAUCGACAGUUGCAUCAAGUAAAAGAUUUGGUUGUGGCUGCAGUCCAUUACGGAAAAUAUGGAUUUAUGUGAAUUCAUCAAAACCAUGAUUUGGACACUUCCGUAGCAUACAUUUGUAGUGUUCCCAUGCCUCAUAGGGUUUCGGUUUCACUUUGAGCGAACACGAUGAUUGUUGUCUUGGCAUCCAUGAAUCUAUUGUGUGGGAAGAAUUUGUUCAUAAAGUUUUCUUCCCCGGCGUUCUAGUUGGUCAUGAUUUGAGUAGGUUAGUCAAGAUAUCAAUCCUUUGCCUUACCGAUCAAGGAAUGUGGAAACAAUCUCAUAAAGACUUCCUCUUCUUCAGCUUCGGGUGCUCUCAUUGUACUGGCUAGUUUGUAGAAUUUAUUGAGAUGAGUGUAUGGAUCUUCAUGAUCCAACACUGCAAAAGGUUUGCAUAUAUGAUCUGCAAGAAUCCUGCUUUCAUCUCAGCUUAUCGAUUGUUUAGAGUGUUGGUGAAACGAGCUAACUGUCUUGGACUGUUCCGACAAGGUCCACCGUUGACAACUUCAGGUCCACCUUCUGGUUCAACCAUUGUUUCUUUUGUUGUAAGUGUUGAAGAAGUUGAUGUGGAAGCUCCUUUCUUUUGAUAAUUUUGCUUGGCUAGUUGCUUAUGCUUCUUGGUCUGUCUCUUGUUUCUCCUGUCUGUUCUUUCGAUCUCGGGAUCAAAAAGUAACUGAUCUACCGGUGUUUUACCUCGCAUAAACAGAAAUCAUAAAUCUAGCAAGCAAAAGUUAGUAGUACGAUGGAUAAAAGUAUAUAUACAAUAUUGCGAUGCUUCUAAUAUCUAAACGUCACUCCUCGGCAACAACACCAUUUUGAUGUUCAAUAUAUCAAAAGUAAAUAUUAUUUGUAUCGUAUCCACAAGGACUGAUGCGAUAUCACAACCGUUCAACGGUUUAAUAUAGUUUUAAGUGAAAAGUGGUCAAUUUGUUUCUCUGCAUAAAGUACGUAAUAUAAAAACGGUAAAUAAUAAGUGAAGUUUUAAAUAUGAGAAAGCUUAUUGGGAUUGGAUUUCAUCCACCCAUUGAAUAUGUAGUUUAUUGAUCAGUUAUACAAAAUCUAGAUAUUCAUCAAUAUCAUCAUGUAUCGCUAACAAACAGAGUUUAUGUCUAAACUUCUGAUGAGAGAUCGACCUUACUGUUUAAUCGACGAUUUCUCAUCCUAUUAAGCAAUAAGGUAACAUUAAGAAUCGAUACUUGCGGUGAAUGUUAAAUGUCUAGCAUUUAGAAUCUAACAGAUGAUUAUCUUAGAUCAAAAUUCGAACUGUCCUUCUCAAUAUCAAUUCCACUCUAUAAAGUUAAAUAGUGAAACAAAGAUAACAUCAAUAUUAAUUCAUGAAUAGAUUGUAUAUAACACCAUAAUCAAUAAACAUACAUACUGUUACGGUGAACUACAUCCAAUCCUAAUAAGAAAUGGAUUUAACUACUCAUGGUAACUUGGUACAAAAUAAAAGAAGAAGAUGAAUGGGCAUCAAAUACGAUUUUCCGAAAAUCUGAUGCGUAUCCAACUUCUUUCUCCCUUCCACUCUGCUCCUGUUUCUAUUUUUCUGGUGUGUUUCCAAACAGAACAAAAAGAUACCUACUGAAAUGACUUGAGUGCUAUUUAUAAUUUUUCCAAAGUAUCAUGAUCGCGCUACAACGCCAAAAACUGUGUUGCAGUGCACCCAGUUGCUUAGCUGUGAAGAGUUUUGAAACUGCAUUUGGACUUAAGUCGCCUUAGUGCGCUCUGCGUAGAAAAUUGUGUUGCAGCGCACUUGUGCUUUGCGCAAAAAGUUGUAUUGUAGCGUACUUGCGCCCUGCCUAGCAUGGCAAACGUUUCCUCAUUUUUCGCCCUGAGCGGUGCUGGCAGCGAGCCUCCAUUUGAAAAUGACUUUUUGAAUUUUCUUGUGGCGUGCUGCAGCAAGCUUGUGGUGUGCUACUCGUGUUUUGCUUCUUUUGCUCGCUGCUUUGCGCUGCAGCGAAUCAGUUUUCUUGAUUUGUUUUUUGGACUUUCAUUUGGUGAUUUUGCCUGAACUAAUUCAAAUCAAAGAUCAACAAGUAAUCACUCUAUUAACUAGUUUUCGUUUCUAAUUAAAACAAUAAUUUUUAUCAAGAAAUUCAUAUUAAUGGACCCUAUAAAAAUCAAGAUAUAGUGCUCUAAUACUCAUUCUUGACCACGUCUUUACAAGAGAGGUCUUUCCACACCUAUUUAAAUUUUUAGAGCAUGAUGAAGCGAAUACACCCUCCUUGAAGUUCACAAGGGUAUAUCCAUUCAACCCCCACAAAGGAAGGGCCUUUGGUCAAAGACCUUUUUAGAAAAUUAUAAUACUUGCCUUCUAUAGUUCAAGAUGACAAUAAAAAAUAUAUUAUAUAAAAUGUGAAAAAUGCCAGAGACACAAAAACAUUCACAUCGCCCUCCUUUAGAGCAUAAUAUUUUAAGUGUGUCAUUCUCUUAGUAGAUUAUGAGUAUAUAUAUAUAUAUAUAUAUAUAUAUAUAUAUAUAUAUAUAUAUAUAUAUAUAUAUAUAUAUAUAUAUAUAUAUAUAUAUAUAUAUAUAUAUAUAUAUAUAUAUAUAUAUAUAUAUAUAUAUAUAUAUAUAUAUAUAUANNNNNNNNNNNNNNNNNNNNNNNNNNNNNNNNNNNNNNNNNNNNNNNNNNNNNNNNNNNNNNNNNNNNNNNNNNNNNNNNNNNNNNNNNNNNNNNNNNNNNNNNNNNNNNNNNNNNNNNNNNNNNNNNNNNNNNNNNNNNNNNNNNNNNNNNNNNNNNNNNNNNNNNNNNNNNNNNNNNNNNNNNNNNNNNNNNNNNNNNNNNNNNNNNNNNNNNNNNNNNNNNNNNNNNNNNNNNNNNNNNNNNNNNNNNNNNNNNNNNNNNNNNNNNNNNNNNNNNNNNNNNNNNNNNNNNNNNNNNNNNNNNNNNNNNNNNNNNNNNNNNNNNNNNNNNNNNNNNNNNNNNNNNNNNNNNNNNNNNNNNNNNNNNNNNNNNNNNNNNNNNNNNNNNNNNNNNNNNNNNNNNNNNNNNNNNNNNNNNNNNNNNNNNNNNNNNNNNNNNNNNNNNNNNNNNNCAGGAAAGGGGAAGAAAUCCAAUCGCCCCCCUCCCCUUUAGAGCAUAAAAAAAUUAUUUUUUUUAAAAAAGUUGGGUGUCAAUUCCUCCUAAGUAGAUUAUGAGUAAUAUAUUUAUAUAUAGUAUAUAUAUAUAUAAUAUAUAUAUAUAUAUAUUAUAUAUUAUAUAUAUAUAGUAUAUAUAUAAUAUAUAUAUAUAUAUAUAUAUAUAUAUACUAUAUAUAUAGUACACCAUAUAUAUAUAUAUAUAAAUAAUAAUAUAUAUAUAUAUAUAUAAUAUAUAAUAUUUAAUUUGUAUAUUCGUUAGCUUUUCCUUUAACAAAAAGUAAAGAAGAUUAUUGAAAUAUAGAAGAAAUCAAAUACAUAGUUGAACAACAAUUUCACUCUUUGAUCGCUUUUAUUAAUUAUAUUAUAAUUCAACACCUUUCAUAAUAUACAAAUUAAAUCCAACUUUACAAUUCAAAAAUCUUUGACCGGAUUUCUUAAUUAGUAAAAAUAUUUUAGGAAUUACAAAUUGGACUCAAAUCAUCAAAAGGAGGCAAAUAAAUAAACAAAAUCAAAAGCUUUCAACUUUCUUAGUAAUUUCCAUCUUCUGUGAGUAGUAACAUGAAAAUUGAAAAAGGGUAUAAAACACAAACUUGAAAAAAGAGAAUAAACCAUUAAAUAAUUUACGUGGCCUAAAACAUGAGAACUAGUACAAGGUUGUCUUGUCUCAUUCAAAAAAGUGUCUUUGAGGUCUAUUCUUCAUCUUCUUCAUCAAUCCAAACCAUAUAAGAAAGUGGGUUUGAUGACAAUUUAGAUUUGUUAUUGUCAACAACACCAAAAGAUUGUGUCUUGUGGGUAUAUACCAAAGAAGAAGUUGAAGGGGUGGGUUUGAUCAUGGUAGUAGCUGAUUGUUGUUGUUGUUGAUUCUGAGGAUGAUCUUCAGUGUUUGGUGUUUGGAGAGGAAGCACGGUGGGAGAAGCAGUGGAUGGUUGUGGUUGUGGACGAGGGUAGAAGAGAUCAGUGGGGAAAAAGUUGUAUUGUUGAAGACCAGCCAUGAGAGAGUUGUAUUGGUUUUUGGAUCUUAAUUUUUCUUAGUAAAAGUGAUUAGGGGAAGAGGUGUAUUUAUAGAGAGUGAUUAGGGUUCUAAAUCUUUGUUGGUGGCUUGGGAUUCAAGGGAUUUUCUUGGUUUUAAUGUACACUUUUUUUCACUGGUCGAUGUUUACAAUUACUGUUUAAUUUGUCCGGUUUUCACUCUUAUAUACUGCGGCAUUUAGGAAGAUGGUUUGUAUUGUAGUUUAAAUUUGUUGAUAAUUUGUAAAUUUUACAUUUUUUAUCUUUAAGGAAAAAAUUUAAAUUCAAUUUAUAUAUAUAUAUAUAUAUAUAUAUAUAUAUAUAUAUAUAUAUAUAUAUAUAUAUAUAUAUAUAUAUAUAUAUAUAUAUAUAUAUAUAUAUAUAUAUAUAUAUAUAUAUAUAUAUAUAUAUAUAUAUAUAUAUAUAUAUAUANNNNNNNNNNNNNNNNNNNNNNNNNNNNNNNNNNNNNNNNNNNNNNNNNNNNNNNNNNNNNNNNNNNNNNNNNNNNNNNNNNNNNNNNNNNNNNNNNNNNNNNNNNNNNNNNNNNNNNNNNNNNNNNNNNNNNNNNNNNNNNNNNNNNNNNNNNNNNNNNNNNNNNNNNNNNNNNNNNNNNNNNNNNNNNNNNNNNNNNNNNNNNNNNNNNNNNNNNNNNNNNNNNNNNNNNNNNNNNNNNNNNNNNNNNNNNNNNNNNNNNNNNNNNNNNNNNNNNNNNNNNNNNNNNNNNNNNNNNNNNNNNNNNNNNNNNNNNNNNNNNNNNNNNNNNNNNNNNNNNNNNNNNNNNNNNNNNNNNNNNNNNNNNNNNNNNNNNNNNNNNNNNNNNNNNNNNNNNNNNNNNNNNNNNNNNNNNNNNNNNNNNNNNNNNNNNNNNNNNNNNNNNNNNNNNNNNNNNNNNNNNNNNNNNNNNNNNNNNNNNNNNNNNNNNNNNNNNNNNNNNNNNNNNNNNNNNNNNNNNNNNNNNNNNNNNNNNNNNNNNNNNNNNNNNNNNNNNNNNNNNNNNNNNNNNNNNNNNNNNNNNNNNNNNNNNNNNNNNNNNNNNNNNNNNNNNNNNNNNNNNNNNNNNNNNNNNNNNNNNNNNNNNNNNNNNNNNNNNNNNNNNNNNNNNNNNNNNNNNNNNNUAUAUAUAUAUAUAUAUAUAUAUAUAUAUAUAUAUAUAUAUAUAUAUAUAUAUAUAUAUAUAUAUAUAUAUAUAUAUAUAUAUAUAUAUAUAUAAUGUCAUUUACCUUUUAUAUAUAUAUUUUAAAAAGUUUAUAUGAGAAUUCAAUUAAAAAUAAUACAAGCUAUUACUCGUAGUUUACAAGGGACACAACUCUUGUAAACUAUGACUAGACUAUUGAAUUAUUAUUUAACUGAUUAAUUAUAAAUUGACAUGAUUAAUUAAGAAAUAAAUUAUAUUUUAUUUUAUUAUUAUUAAAUAUUAAUUAUUAAUAAAUUAUUUGAUUGAAUUUUCUGUAUGAAUUAGAUCAUUCAAUUAAAUUUAAUAAAAAAUAUUUAUUCGGAUGUAAUUAAUUAUUUAAACGUAAUCUCAUUAACUCCAUCUCACGAUUAAGAUAUUAAACAAAAUCUAAUUUCUAAUACAAUUUGAUUUUUUCCAUAAUAUAUUAAUUUUUUAAAUUUGAAACUAUUUUUCUAAAUUUCUAAAUAUUUGAUGAUAUUUAAUCCAAGAAUUAUACACUAUUUUAAACUAAAUAUUUUAGACACAAUUUUAUAAAAUAUAUUAAAUAAUAUGUUACCUUAUUGAUAUUUAUAUGCUCACUUGUAAAGCAUUAUUAUUGCAAAUAUUUUUAUAAAUUAUUAGGGCAACUGAAAAUGCAUUAUCUUUGAUUUUUAUUAAAGUAUUUUUUUUUUAAGAUUUACAUUGGUUAAUGAACAUUUAAGAUAAUAUUGUAUAAGUUCUUUUGAUUUUUAAAUUCGACUUUAUAAAAAAAAUGAAUGUCAUAGUCUCUUGAGUCAUUCACAAAAAUUUAUAAUACAUGGGAAUCAAUCCUCAUCAAUUUCGAGAAUCCAAAGGAGAUUUUUUAACAAAAAUAACCCACUUUUUCAAGGAAAUUCCCAAAAUACUUCUGGAUUCAAAAAAAUUCUCAAACUACCUCACUUUUAGGAGGAGUCGCCAAUUGAAUUGGAGACUCCUCUUAAAAAUUGAAUGGAGGCGCCAAUUGGAUUGGCUAGGGCAGGUGCCGUAGCCAAUUGGAUUGGCGCCCCUGUGUAGUACUUAAGAGGAGGCGCCAAUUCAAUUGAAGCCUCAGUGUAAAAUGCAAUUUUUUUUGGUAAAUGGUAUACAUGAUAGAUAAAUUUGAUAUAGGAUCAAUUGAUAUUAAUAAAAUUUAUCGUUUACACAAAGAAACCUAAUGGUGAUGACCGGGAUCACCUAACCAACCAGUCCCACAUCCUCUAAUUACCCUAACUCGUGGCCCUAACCCACGUUGAUGAUUCGGUACCGGUGUUUGAGCAUCUGAGGGCCCAGGAGCGUCACUUCCAACUACAGGAGAAAGCCUGUUGAGGUAGUCAGACAAGUCGGCGUAGUCUUCAGUAUGCACCGAUGGUGUACUGUCGUAGCUAAGCUCAUGACCCAUGCCAGAGAAGUUGGGUUGUGGUUGACUCAUUGACGGGUGAGUGGGACGGUUGAAGGGAGACAUGAGUGUGAACGAUGCGUCGAGGAAAGGUUGGAAAGGUUGUUGGGGUGUUUGGUAGAGAUAAGAUUGUUGGAUGUUUUGGUUUUGUGAGGUUUGCGCUUCUUGGCUAUGGUAGGAGGAGGGGCGGUUGGUGUUGAAUGAUCGUUGGGUGUUCUGCCUUAUGCGACUUUGGUAGGGUGAUGGGGUGGGUGCGAAGCGAUGUUGAGUCUCAGGUUGAUGGUCAAUUUGUUGGUGGUGGUAUGGGGUAUGCUCUUGGUAUUGGGGUUGAGUGUAUGAUAUGUUUUGGUUGUAUUUUGUGUGUUGGUUGAACGGAACGUUUGACGGACAAGGGGUUGUGUGUAUCCGGUCUAACACUGUUGUUAGGGGUUUGAUGUUGAGGUGUCAGGUGUGUAAGUCAUCUGGCGUGGAUCAUACAAGUACAUAUCCUCGGCGAUGAACUGAAAACCAACCGAUUUGUACCAAGCCAUAUAAGUACGACUUGGUUUUUCUUCAAUUGGCAUGACUGCGUCAGUUAACACAUGGUCAUGACGGUGCUUCCGUUUGUGACACUCUGAUCUUGCGAAGAUUUGCCAUGGAUUGAAGUUCCAUUGAUCGUUAACUUUGCGCAGAUGCCAUUCCGAACUGCAGCUUCACACGAUCACUGUUGUGCAUCUCCACAGUUGUGAACCGUAUUAUCGGUGUGCAUGCAGUCCAUAUGGUCGUGUCUUCAGCGUUGGCCUCAUGGUCAUGAUCCAAAUUAAGGUAUGGACGCCAAAUGAACUGAAAUGUGAAAGAAGAUAGGAUUAUAAUCUAGGUAGUUCUUCAAUUGUUUUAUAUUGCUUUAAUAAUUCAAUAAAAGGAAUGCAGUGUCGGUCGAAGGUGAUCCAACAGGUUGCGAUACUGAGUAAUACAGUGUCUUGGACAUCUGUUGUAACUCAUACCACAUGCAGACCAUCUACACGAAAAAGUCAAAAAAUAUUAGUUAGAGAUAAUAAUCUUUAAAGAAGUAACUAAAGAUAUAUCAAUUUAAACAACUUAUAUUUGUGCAUACGGAAAUGUGAAAGGGUUGUUGUUGACUGGUGCUAGGGACGGUAGUCUUGACCAACCCCAUGCUUGUAGAAAAAUAGCACAUCCAGAAAAUGUAGAUGUGUCUUUGUGUGAGUUUUUACACAAGGAGCUGUAGAGAUAGGCUAGACAAGCAGAUCCCCAAUUGUUACUUCCUAUUCUAUCUACAUGUCUAAGUAAAGGUAAAUACAUAAUAUGCAUGCUAGAACCACUACCUUCGGGAAAUAAAAACGAGCCAAUUAACAGCAUAAUGUAACACCUAGUUUUUAUUAUUCGAGCAUCUCGGUAGAAUCCGUCUAAUUAUAAACUAUUAUAGUACGACUUAAGGCGUGAAAGUAGUAUACCUGACCUCUUGCGUUAUCAUCUACAAAUCAGUCUCCAAGAGAUCCAUGCAAAUUGAAUUUGCAUAGUUGGUUUUAUCUUAACAACCUUACCUUCAAUGGGCAAUCCCAAAAGCAUGUAGACGUCUUCCUAACGUCACGGUACACUCACCGGUUGGGAAUCAAUGUGUGUGUCUCUGGUCUCCAUCUUUCGCAUAAAGCUAGAAUGAAUUUGUUAUCUACGGACCAAGACAAAAUCUUGCUUAUAUGACCAAAACCGGCGGUUCACCAUAAGGUUGAAUCAUCGGGUCCAUAUGGACAUAUUCGUGGACCCGAGUCUGGAACCUUGAUACAUCCUAUGAGAAAUAACAGAACAAAAAACUUGACUAAGUUGGUAUGUUAAAAUAAAAGGGGGUUGGUGAAGAUGAAAGAUAAAAAGUUAACAAAAGAAAAAACUUACAUAUGUUGCGAUGUUUGCAACCGUUCCUCUAUGUGAUUCAUCCAUUGUGAGGAUAAACAUUUUGUCGGGGGGUUGGUUGAUCACACUGAAUCACACCGUGUUUUUGACUCGGAUUUCACAUGUUUAUUAGGACUUUAUUAUCAUUUUGUUUGUAUUAUGCUCUCUUUUAUGUUAUUUUCAGAUAUUUACCUCUUUUGGGCCCCUUUUAGAAGAAACGAAGCAAAAAGACCUAAAAUUAGGGUUUUUCGGCAAAUAUUGUACACAUGGCGGCCGCUAUAGAAGAAGCCAUAACUCAUUAGCCCUCAACCAGGAGAUAACUGCCACGUUCCCAUGAUCUUUCCCAUUUUCACACAUGGCGGGCGCCACCUUUGCAAAUCACGUUCCCACUAAGGAGUAGUUGAAGGGCACCAUGAUCUUUGCAAACUGCUGAAAUCCUCUUUAAAUAGUUCAUUCCAUUUCAUUUUCAAAUCAUCCAACUUAGUUUACAACACUAAGACUAUAUUCUUCAUCUGUAAAAGCGGUAAUCCGUCACAUCGGNUAAUCCGUCACAUCGGGGGGUUAUCGCAUCUUAGUGAGAUUGAGUUGGGUCACUUCGAGUUGCUGUCGUCUUUAUCUUCAGAGUCGGAGGUUUAUUUUCCUUAUACCAGAUUUAAAGCCUCCGUUUGGAGCAGGUUCUUAUUUAUCGCUUUUAUUUAUUUAUUUACUUGUCUCGCUUUACUUUAUUUAUUUUCCGUCUCACUUUACUUUAUUUAUUUUCCGUCUCGCUUUACUUUAUUUAAUUUCUGUCUACGCUUUACUUUAUUUAAUUUCUGUCUCGCUUUACUUUAUUUAAUUUCUGUCUACGCUUUAUUUUAUUUAUUUUACACGCUUUCCUCGUUCUUUAUGCCUCACAUUUUAAAAUAACUUUUCAUCAUGAUCAAUAUCGUUGUGUUUGUUGGUAUUACCAUAUCUGGAUAAAUCUUUUAAAGGUUAGAAUGUAAGGAUCGCGGUUAAAGAGAUGUUUCACAUAUUGAAUCUGUAGAAAUACUUUAAAGGCUAUUUUGAUUUUUAACUUGAGUUUUCUGAAACAAACUGGUUUAGUUUUAACUAUUCAAGGAGUGCGAAAGCACCCUGCUUAGUUAACUAGGAAUUUUUAUCACUUUAAGGAAAAAAUAAUUUUUGAACUGUUUCGAAUGCGUUGAUAGAUUUAAAUCAAGAAACUCCUUGGGUAAAACUUUCCAAAUCAAAAUCACUUUUCAACUAGUUUAUGAGUCUUAUUUCUUAAAAAUAAGUUUACUACUUUAGCGUUCUGCGCACCUUUUAUAAGUGACAAUAAAAGGCCUUAAUUUAAGGGUAAACUCGGUUCUGAAUACGCGAAAGCGACAUUUCCUGUUAAAUGGAUUCCUUUCAAGAGUAGAAAAUAUUGCCUCAUAAGUAGUUCUAUUUAGACAAUUGAAACAUCACUUAACUGACAUGAUAUACAUUCAAACCUGUUUUUAUCUGCACUGCAUUUAUUAUUUACCGUUGUUUUGCAACACUAAUAUCUCUUUUAUACCUCCUUAGAUAAACAUCGUAACGAUAAUAAUCGAUAGAUUGACGAUUUGGUCUAUGUGGGAUCGAUAUUCUUUUAUAUUACUUUGACGCGAUUCGUGCACUUGCGAAUUCACUGAUCAAGUUUUUGGUGCCGUUGUCGGGGAUCAACUUCGUCAAAUUUCGUCACCUGUUGUUACACCAUCUAGACUAAGACAUUAUUAGCCGGUAAAUGCGAAGAACCCGUAGUAUCGGAAAUUUAGUAGAUCCUUUAGCGGAACCCGAACGUUACACUUGUACACGUCUCUUACUCAUCUGAAUUAAGAAAGCUAUGGCCGAGAAUUGCGUCCGGAGAAUUCUUAAGGAAUUUGCCCAACCCUCUGACGAGGAACCUAGUUCGAGUAUAGUAAACCCCCUUAUUCCUGCUAACAAUUUCGAACUAAAACCUUCUCUGUUGCAAUUAGUGCAACAGAACCAAUUCGCGGGUCUCGCUACUGAGAACCCAAAUCAACGUUUAAAAGUUUUUAUCCAACUAGCCGACACCUUUAAAUCCAACGGUGCUUCACCUGAUGCGAUCCGUUUGAGAUUAUUUCCUUUCUCCCUUAGGGAUAGAUCACGUUCAUGGUUAGAUUCACUUCCAGCUAAUUCAAUAACUACCUGGGAAGACCUUAGGAGAGUAUUCCUUGCUAGAUAUUUUCCCCCUAGUAAGACUAUUGUUCUUCGAAACCAAAUAAGUAGAUUUACUCAAAACCAAGGAGAAUCGCUUUUUGAAGCUUGGGAGAGAUAUAAAGAGCUAUUAAGAGUCUGCCCACACCAUGACCUAGAACAAUGGUUGAUCGUUCAUACCUUCUACAAUGGACUCCAUUAUAACACUAAGAUGAGCAUCGACGCUGCCGCUGGUGGCGCACUGAUGAACAAACCGUACCCUGAAGCUUGUGACCUAAUUGAGGAUAUGGCCUAAAACCAUUACCAAUGGGGAACUGAACGAUCAUCAAUAGAGAAAAAGGAGACCCAAGGUGGAAUACAUGAGGUAAGCUCUCUAGACAUGAUGCAGGCAAAAAUGGACGCUUUAGCCCUUAGGAUCGAACAUAUGUCUACAAACACUAACACCGCAACGAUAGUCCACACAGAGUGCGAACUCUAUGGAUCUAAAGGACACGAAUCGGCGGAGUGUAACCUUUUAAACGACCUGAACACCGACCAAGUGAAUUACGGCCAAGGUAACCCAUUUUCAAACGCUUACAACCCUAGAUGGAAGAAUCAUCCGAAUUUCUCCUAUAAAAACUAGAACCCUGUCCAAAAUCAUGCACCUCAUAGACCGCAAGGUUAUCAAGCCCAAAAACCGAAUCAACCUAUGCAAGUUGUGCCCCAGAAGUCUAACCUUGAGAAGAUCAUGGAGAGCUUUAUAUCGGGCCAAACUCAGCAAAAUAAAGAAUUCCUAAACCAGAACAUUCACGUUAACGAACUGAUAACGCAAUUAGGAACCAAGGUUGAUCAGAUAAUCACUCAUAACAUGAUGCUUGAAACCCAGAUCUCACAGGUAGCACAAAACCAAGCCCCACAAACUACACCUGGAGGCCAAUUCCCUGGACAACCUCAACCAAACCCUCGAGGGCAAGCUAACGCUAUCUCGUUACAAAGUGGGACCGCCUACGAAGGGCCUCAUAACCCAGCGAUGAGCGAGUCCAAAACUUCUAAAGAAAAUAUACCUACCAACCAAGAAGAGGAACCGGUAGAACCCGAAAAACAAACUGACCAAGAAGGAGAAGCCAUGGAUAAAACUUACAAACCACCACCCCCGUACAAACCAUCAAUCCCAUAUCCGCAAAGACUUAAACAAACCAAAAUCAACAACCAAUACCAAAAAUUUAUAAAAGUAAUAAAGAAGCUUCAUGUAGAGAUUCGUUUCACCGAAGCUAUCACCCAAAUUCCGUCUUACGCCAAAUUUCUCAAAGACAUCUUAACCAACAAGCGUAGGCUUGACAAUCCCAAACCCUUGGAAUGCAAUUUUAUUUCUGAGGAUAAACUCGCUAAGAAGGAGAAAGACCCUGGUAGUUUUUUUAUACCUUGCAUCUUAGGGAGUCAUGUGAUCGACAAAGCUUUCCUAGACUUAGGCGCUAGUGUGAGUUUAAUGCCCUUAGCUGUAUGUAAGAGGUUAAACUUAGGAGAGUUACAACCAACUAAGAUGUCCCUCAAAUUAGCCGAUAGGUCUGUUAAGUAUCCUGUAGACAUUUUAGAAGACAUAGUUAGGAUCGGUCAACUUUAUAUCCCAACAGACUUUAUGGUCAUGGAAAUCAAGGAAGACGACGAUAUCCCUAUCCUUUUAGGUAGAUUAUUCUUAUCAGCAGCCGAAGCUAUAAUAGAUGUUAAAAGAGGAAAAUUAACCUUCGAAGUAGGGGAUGAAAAGAUCGAGUUCAUUCUUUCAAAAUUCCCGAUGGCACCAAUCCUAGGAGACGCAUGUUAUGCGAUUGAUAUCAUAGAUGAGGGCAUAAGAGAAUUUGAUCGAGGAGAACCCGUGAUCGAACCAUUUUCAAACCCGAAUGAUAAGGAUGACGAGCUAGAGGAAACAAAACCUCACACUAACGAAUGUUUGGAUCUUACGCCACACCUUUCACCAAAUUCUCAAAAACCAGCUCAAGAACUUAAGGAACUACCCAAGAACCUAAGAUAUGAGUUUUUGGAUAAAGAAAUGAACCGCCCAGUAAUAGUUAGUGCCACCUUAAACCAAGACGAAUUCUCAAAAACCAGCUCAAGAACUUAAGGAACUACCCAAGAACCUAAGAUAUGAGUUUUUGGAUAAAGAAAUGAACCGCCCAGUAAUAGUUAGUGCCACCUUAAACCAAGACGAGACGAAUCGACUCAUGAAUGUUUUAAGAAGAUACCCCUCUGCCUUAGGGUAUAACAUCUCUGAUUUAAAAGGUAUAAGCCCAUCCGUGUGUAUGCACAGGAUCUCGCUAGAGGAGGUUUCAAAACCUUCCAGAGAACAUCAGAGAAGAAUCAACCCUGUUAUGAGCGAGGUGGUAAAGAAGGAAGUCCUUAAACUACUAGAGGCUAGUAUAAUCUAUCAGAUCUCUGAUAGUAAAUGGGUAAGUCUUGUACAUAUGGUACCCAAAAAGGGAGGCAUCACAAUCGUGCAGAACGAGAAGGGAGAGCAUGUAGCUAAACAUAUAGAAGGCGGAUGGCAUAUGUGCAUAGAUUAUAGGAAGCUCAAUAAGGAACCUAGCAAAGACCAUUUCCUUCUUCCAUUCAUAGAUCAAAUGCUUGAGCGUCUUUCCAAUCACUCUUACUUUUGUUAUCUUGAUGGAUAUUCUGAAUUUUUCCAAAUACCCAUACACCCCGAGGAUCGAGAGAAAACAACAUUUACCUGUCCUUACGGAACGUUUUCUUACAGACGAAUGCCGUUUGGACUCUGUAAUGCGCCAGCUACUUUCCAACGUUGUAUGAUGUCAAUCUUCACAAAUUAUCUCGACAGAAUUAUGGAAGUAUUUAUGGACGAUUUCUCGGUGUGUGGGUUAGUCUUUGAAGACUGCCUCAUUAACCUUGAGAAAAUCCUAGAGAGAUGCGUAGAAGUUAACCUUGUGUUAAACUGGGAGAAGUGUCACUUUAUGGUUAAAGAAGGCAUAAUGUUAGGACAUAUAAUAUCUGAAAGAGGCAUUAAGGUCGAGAAAGCAAAGAUAGAAGUUAUAGAAAACCUUAACCCUCCAAAGACAGUUAGAGAAGUCUGUAGUUUUCUUGGACACGCCGGUUUCUACCGACGCUUCAUAAAAGAUUUCUCUAAAAUAACAAAACCCCUGACCGGCCUUCUAAUGAAAGACAUUGAAUUCAUUUUCGAUGAAAAAUGCAUCAAAGCCUUUAAUCAGUUAAAACAAGCACUAAUUUCAGCACCCAUUCUACAAACUCCGCAUUGGACUAAACCCUUUGAAAUAAUGUGUGAUGCUAGCGAUUUUGCUAUAGGAGCUGUUUUAGGGCAAAGAAAAGAUAAGAAACUACAUGUAAUAUAUUACGCUAGUAGAACCCAAGAUGCCGCUCAAUUAAAUUAUAUAACAACAGAGAAGGAACUCCUAGUUGUGGUUUUCGCAAUCGAUAAAUUUAGGUCUUAUCUUGUAGGAUCUAAGAUUAUAGUCUAUACAAACCAUGCAGCUAUCCGUUACCUUCUAACCAAAAAGGAUGCAAAACCUAGAUUACUCAGAUGGAUCCUUUUGCUACAAGAAUUCGACUUAGAUAUUAGAGACAAAAAAGGAAUAGGAAACGUAGUUGCUGACCAUCUUUCCAGACUAGAGCAUUUGAAGCCAGACCAUUUACCUAUAAAUGAUUAUUUCACCUAUGACAGAUUGAUAGCUAAUUUAGAUACCGUUCCCCUUGAACCUGAUAGAGACAACAUUGGGACAGUUUCAGAAACUAGCAGAGUACCAUGGUACGCUGAUUUUGUGAACUAUCUAGCCGCUGAUAUCAUACCCCCUGACAUCACCUAUCAAGAGAAGAAGAAGUUCUUUAAAGAUAUAAGACAUUUAUAUUGGGACGAGCCACUCCUUUUCAAAAGAGGAACAAAUAACAUAUUUCGACGUUGUGUCUCGGAAGAAGAAGUCAGAAACAUCAUAGAGCAUUGUCACUCUUCACCCUAUGGUGGACAUUCAAGCACAUCCAAGACAUACGCUAAGAUCCUUCAAGCUGGUCUUUAUUGGCCAACAUUAUGGCGUGAAAAACAUCAUAGAGCAUUGUCACUCUUCACCCUAUGGUGGACAUUCAAGCACAUCCAAGACAUACGCUAAGAUCCUUCAAGCUGGUCUUUAUUGGCCAACAUUAUGGCGUGAUGUCCAUACUUAUAUUAUCCAAUGUGACCGGUGCCAGCACGCUGGAAACAUUUCAAGAUGUGACGAAAUGCCUUUGAAGAACAUCCAGGAAGUGGAAUUAUUUGACUUCUGGGGUAUUGAUUUCAUGGGACCUUUUCCAUCUUCGAUGGGAAACAAGUACAUUUUGGUAGUCGCUGACUAUGUGUCCAAAUGGAUAGAAGCUAUAGCCGCACCCACCAACGAAACAAGAGUAGUCAUCAAGAUGUUCAAGAAUAAUAUUUUUCCCAUAUUUGGAGUACCACGACUUGUCAUAAGUGAUGGUGGAUCACAUUUUAUAUCCAAGGUAUUUGAUAAACUCUUGAGAAAGUAUGGAGUAAAACACAGAGUAGCAACACCAUAUCAUCCCCAAACUAAUGGUCAAGUUGAAGUAUCUAAUAGAAAGAUUAAGUAGAUCUUGGAGAAAACUGUUUCAAUAUCCAGAAAAGAUUGGUCUGAAAAGCUAACAGAAGCACUGUGGGCUUACAGAACUGCUUACAAAACCCCUAUUGGAACUACACCAUACCAGUUAAACAGAAGCACUGUGGGCUUACAGAACUGCUUACAAAACCCCUAUUGGAACUACACCAUACCAGUUGGUCUACGGGAAGUCAUGCCACUUACCUUUUGAACUCAAGCACAAGGCAUAUUGGGCCAUCCAGUCCCUGAAUUUGGAUUACCUAGCAUCUGGCAAGAAGCGAAUCCUUGAUAUCCACAAAUUGGAGGAACUCCGCCAGAAUGCUUACGAGAAUGUUGUUAUAUACAAAGAAAGAACCAAAGCUUGGCAUGAUAAAAGGAUUGUGAAAAAGGAAUUUAAUAUAGGCGAAUCUGUUCUCCUCUUCAAUUCGAGAUUACGACUUUUUCCAGGUAAGAUGCGUUCGAGAUGGAUAGGCCCCUUUGAGGUUUCCAAAAUCCUAAAAUCUCAAGCUCGAAUCGUCAAGCUAACGACUUAAACAAGCGCUGCAUGGGAGGCAACCCAUGAUUUAUUUUCCUUUGCUUUACUUUUACUAUUUCAAUUUAUAUUUUUAUUUGUUUUAUAUAUAUAUGUAUAUCUAUGUGGAGACUAACAGUUAUAAUAUUUGCGAUUUCAGGUGUCCUCUGUUUCUAAUUUAAGUUUUCAGGAUGGAAAAUUGCGACACUAUGCCAGUAAUCUUUUGUGACCCAGUUCAAGAGCAACACUAUGCCAUGUUUUCCCAGCGUCCAAUGCUGCCCACCAGAUAUCCCGACUCGAGCUGCAUGAAGGCAUUAGGCAUUGAGCCUAGUGUCAGGAAUUUGUGCAAUCAGUUGCAAUGGGAUGAAUAUACUGAUGUUAUGCAUGUGACUUACAGGAACCUGACUUUGGAGUUCUUGAGCUCCCUGGCCUACGAGCCCUAUGUUGGUCAUGCUAGUGAUGGUGGAUACAUUAAUUUCAGGUUGUUUGGGGCAGAAUAGACCUUCAACCACAAGCAUUUUGGUGACUUACUUGGAUUUCAGACUGCUUAUGAUGCUUUAUCUGAGCUCCCCAAGAGCUAUUCUCUGAGCCGAGACGUUGAGAAGUUUUUUAGUGACAUUACGUGUUGAGGUAGCCCUGACCCUUCCACCCAAAUCUCCAACAAGAUUCACAACCUUGCUUUCAGAUACUUUCAGAUGAUCAUUGCCCACACCUUCCUGGGGAAGAGUGACCUUGAUACGCAUGUGAGUGCUGAAGAGAUCUUUUUCAUGUAUUGUACCACUCAGUCACGCCCAGUAGAUUACAGAGCUUUCCUGAUCGAGAGUCUAUAUUUUAAUGCUUGCUCCGCUGUGAGCCCUAUACACGUUGGAAGCACGAUGACUCAUAUAGCCUCAGCCCUGGGACUUGAUAGAAGACUAUCUCACCUGACGUCUUACUACAGCUACACCUUGAUGGAUAUUGACUUCUGUCUGGACUGUGGCCUCAUGAGGAGAUCUUCUUUUCAACCGGAUCAAUACAGGCUAUUAAUCGAGGGUGAUACUAUUCACUACUUCACUUUACUGGACCCUCAGGUAACUUGUGUUAUUGAUCAGGCCAACUGGGCCUACGCCAUAGAAGGGUGAUCACACUGAAUUACACCGUGUUUUUGACUCAGAUUUCACAUGUUUAUUAGGAUUUUAUUAUCAUUUUGUUUGUAUUAUGCUCUAUUUUAUCUUGUUUUCAGAUAUUUAGCACUUUCGGACUCUUUUGGAAGAAACGAAGCAAAAAGACCUAAAAUUAGGGUUUUUCGACGAAAUUACACACAUGGCGUUGCACAUGACGAUCGCUAUAAGAGAAGCCAUGAGUCAUAAACCCUCAAUUAGGAGGUAACUGCCAUGUUCCCAUGAUCCACCCCAUUUACACACAUGGCGGGCGCCAUGAAGGGAUGGCGGGCACCACCUUUGGUAAUCACGUUCCCACUAAGGAGAAGUUGGAGGGCACCAUGGUCUUUACUAGCUGCUGAAAUCCUCUAUAAAUAGUUCGUUCCAUUUCAUUUUCUAAUCAUCCAACUUAGUUUUACAACACUAAGCAUAUAUUUAUCAUUUGUAAUAGCGAUAAUCCGUCACAUCGGGGGGUUAUCGCACCUUUGUGAGAUUGAGUUGGGUCAAAUCCAACUUAGUUUUACAACACUAAGCAUAUAUUUAUCAUUUGUAAUAGCGAUAAUCCGUCACAUCGGGGGGUUAUCGCACCUUUGUGAGAUUGAGUUGGGUCACUUCGAGUUGUUGUCGUCUUUAGUUUCAGGAGUCGGAGGUUUAUUUUUGUACCAGAAUCGAAGCCUCAAUUUGGAGCAGGUUCUUAUUUAUCGAUUUAUUCAUUUAUUUCCCGCAUCGCUUUUAUUUUGUUUAUUUCCCGCAUCGCUUUUAUUUUAUUUAUUUCCCGCACUCGCUUUACUUUAUUUAUUUUUCGCACUCGCUUUUAUUUUAUUUAUUUCUGGCAUCGCUUUUAUUUUAUUUAUUUCGCACAUCGCUUUUAUUUUAUUUAUUUUCUGUCUACGCUUUUACUUUAUUUAUUUCCCGCACUUGCUUUACUUUAUUUAUUUCCCGCACUCGCUUUACUUUAUUUAUUUUACGCACUUUACUCGCUCUUUACGCCUCACAUUCUAAAACAAACUUUUCAUCAUGAUUAAUACAGUUGUGUUUGUUUGUGUUACCAUGACUGGCUAAAUCUUUUAAAGGUUAGAAUGUAAGGAUCGCGGUUAAAGUAAUGUUUCACAUAUUGAAUUUGUAGAAAUACUUUAAAGGCUGUUUUGAUUUUUAACUUGAGUUUUCUAAAACAAACUUGUUUAGUUUUAAUUAUUCAAGGAGUGUGAAAGCACUCUGGCUUAGUUAACUAGGAAUUUUUAUCACUUCAAGGAAAAACUAUUUUUGAAGCUAUUUUCGGACGCAUUGAUAGAUUUAAAAUCAGAAAACUCCUCGGGUAAAACUUUCCAAAUCAAAAUCACUACUUUAGUGUUCUGCGCACCUUUUAUAAGUGACAAUAAGAGGCCUUAAUUUAAGGGUAAACUCGGUUCUGAAUACACGAAAGCGACAGUUCCUGUUAAAUGGAUUCUUUUCAAUAGUAGAAAAUAUUGCCUCACAAAUAGUUCUAUUUAGACAAUCGAAACAUCACUUAACUGACGUGAAAUACAUUCAACCUGUCUUUACCUGCAUUUAUUAUUUACCGUUAUUUUUAAAAUCCAAUAUCUCUUUUAUACUGCCUUAGAUAAACAUUGUAACGAUAGUAACCGAUAGAUUGACGAUUGGUCUCUAUGGGAUCGAUAUUCUUUUAUAUUACUAUGAUGUAAUUCGUGCACUUGCGAAACAAGCGAUCAAGUUUUUGGCGCCGUUGUCGGAGACCAACUUCGUCAAAUUUUGUACCCUGUUGUUACACUGUAUAGUCUAAGGCAUUAUUAGCCGGUAAAUGCGAAGAACCCGUAGUACCAGAAAUUUAGUAGAUCCUUUAGCGGAACCCGGACAUUAUACUCGUACACGCCUCUUACUUAUCCGAAUUAAGAAAGCUAUGGCCGAGAAUCACGAUCAGCGACCUCUUAAGGAAUUUGCCCAACCCUCUGACGAGGAACCUAGUUCGAGUAUAGUAAACCCCCUUAUUCCUGCUAACAAUUUUGAACUAAAACCGUCUUUGUUGCAAUUAGUGCAACAGGACCAAUACGCGGGUCUCGCUACUGAGAACCUGAAUUAACAUUUAAAAGUUUUUAUCCAACUAGCCGACACCUUUAAAUCUAACGGAGCUUCACCCAAUGCAAUCCGUUUAAGAUUAUUUCCUUUCUCCCUCAGGGAUAGAGCACGUUCAUGGCUAGAUUCACUUCCAGCUAAUUCAAUAACUACCUGGGAAGACCUUAGGAGAGUAUUCCUUGCUAGAUAUUUAAGAGCACGUUCAUGGCUAGAUUCACUUCCAGCUAAUUCAAUAACUACCUGGGAAGACCUUAGGAGAGUAUUCCUUGCUAGAUAUUUCCCCCUAGUAAGACUGUUGUUCUUCGAAACCAAAUAACUAGGUUUGCUCAAAACCAAGGAGAAUCACUUUUUGAGGCUUGGGAGAGAUAUAAAGAGCUAGAAAAGAGUCUGCCCAUACCAUGGCCUAGAACAAUGGCUGAUCGUUCAUACCUUCUACAAUGGACUCCAUUAUAACACCAAGAUGAGUAUCGACGUUGCUGCAGGUGGCACGCUGAUGAACAAACCUUAUCUAGAAGCUUGUGACCUAAUUGAGGAUAUGGCCCAAAACCAUUACCAAUGGGGAACUGAACGAGCAUCAAUAGAGAAAAAGGAGACCCAAGGUGGAAUACAUAAGGUAAGCUCUCUAGACAUGAUGUAGGCGAAAAUUUACGCUUUAGCCCUUAGGAUCGAACAUAUGUCUACAAACACUCACACCGCAGCAGUAGUCCACACAGAGUGCGAACUUUGUGGAUCUAAAGCACACGAAUCAGCGGAGUGUAACCUUUUGAACGACCUGAACACCAACCAAGUGAAUUACGCCCAAGGUAACCCAUUUUCGAACACCUAUAACCCUGGAUGGAAGAAUCAUCCGAAUUUCUCCUAUAAAAACCAGAACCAUAUCCAAAAUCAUACACCUCAGAGACCGCAAGGUUAUCAAGCCCAAAAAAUAAACCAACCUAUGCAAGUUGUGCCCCAUAAGUCUAACCUUGAGAAGAUCAUGGAGAGCUUCAUAUCGGGCCAGACUUAGCAGAAUAAAGAAUUCCUAAACCAGAACAUUCACGUAAACAAACUUAUAACGCAAUUAGGAACCAAGGUUGAUCAGAUAAUCACUCACAACAAGAUGCUUGAAACCCAGAUCUCACAGGUAGCACAAAAAGAAUUCCUAAACCAGAACAUUCACGUAAACAAACUUAUAACGCAAUUAGGAACCAAGGUUGAUCAGAUAAUCACUCACAACAAGAUGCUUGAAACCCAGAUCUCACAGGUAGCACAAAACCAAGUCCCACAAACUACACCUGGAUGCCAAUUUCCUGGACAACCUCAACCAAACCCUCGAGGGCAAGCUAACGCUAUCUCGUUACGAAGUGGGACAGCUUAUGAAGGGCCUUAGAACCCAGCAACGAGCGAGUCCAAAACUUCUAAAGAAAAUAUACCUGCCAACCAAGAAGAGGAACUAGAGGAAUCCGAGAAACAAACCAACCAAGAAGGUGAAGCCAAGGAUAAAACUUACAAACCACCACCCCCGUACAAACAACCAAUCCCAUAUCCGCAAAGACUUAAACAAACCAAAAUUAACAACUAAUACCAAAAAUUUAUAAAAUUGAUAGAAAAGCUUCAUUUAGAGAUUCCUUUCACCGAAGCUAUCACCCAAAUUCCGUCUUACACUAAAUUUCUCAAAGACAUCUUAACCAACAAGCGUAGGCUUGACGAUCCAAAACCUUUGGAAUGCAACUUUAUUUCCGAGGACAAACUUGCUAAGAAGGAGAAAGAACCUUGUAGCUUUUCUAUACCUUGCAUUUUAGGGAGUCAUGUGAUCGACAAAGCUUUCCUAGACUUAGGCGCUAGUGUGAGUUUAAUGCCCUUAGCUGUAUGUAAAAGGUUAAACCUAGGAGAAUUGCAAUCAACUAAGAUGUCCCUCCAAUUAGCCGAUAGGUCUGUUAAGUAUCCUGUAGGCAUUUUAGAAGACAUCCCAGUUAGGAUCGGUCAACUUUAUAUCCCAACAGACUUUGUAGUCAUAGAUAUCAAAGAAGACGAAGAUAUCCAUAUCCUUUUAGGUAGACCAUUCUUAUCAAUAGCCGGAGAUAUAAUAGAUGUCAAAAGAGGGAAAUUAACCUUCGAAGUAGGGGACGAAAAGAUCGAGUUCAUUCUUUCAAAAUUCCUUAUGGCACCCAUUCUAGGAGACGCAUGUUAUGCGAUCGAUAUCAUAGAUGAGUGCAUAAGAGAAUUUGAUCAAGGAGAAAAUAAGAUCGAACCAUUUUUAAACCCGAAUGAAAAAGAUGACGAGCUAGAGGAAAUGGAACCUCUCACUAAUGAAUGUCUGGAUCUUACUCCAGACCUUUCACCAAAUUCACAAAAACUAGCUCAAGAACUUAAGGAGCUACCCAAGAACCUAAGAUAUGAGUUUUUGGAUAAAGAAAUGAACGACCCAGUAAUAGUUAGUGCCACCUUAAACCAAGACGAGAUGAAUCCACUCUUGAAUGUUUUAAGAAGAUACCCCUCUGCCUUAGGGUACAACAUCUCUGAUGUAAAAGGUAUUAGCCCAUCCGUGUGUAUGCAUAGGAUCUCACUAGAGGAGGAUUCAAAACCUUCCAGAGAACAUUAGAGAAGGAUCAACCCUGUGAUGAGCGAGGUGGUGAAGAAGGAAGUCCUUAAACUACUGGAAGCUGUUAUAUUCUAUCAGAUUUCUGAUAAUAAGUGGGUAAGUCCUGUACAUGUGGUACCCAAGAAGGGAGGCAUCACAGUCGUGCAGAACGAGAAGGGAGAGCAUGUCGCUAAACGCAUAGAAGGAGGAUGGCGUAUGUGCAUAGAUUAUAGGAAGCUCAAUAAGGCAACUAGGAAAGACCAUUUCCCCCUUCCAUUCAUAGAUCAAAUGCUGGAGCAUCUUGCCAGGCACUCUUACUUUUGUUAUCUUGAUGGAUAUUCUGGAUUUUUCCAAAUACCCAUUCACCCCGAGGAUCAAGAGAAACCAACCUUUACCUAUCCUUACGGAACAUUUACUUAUAGACGAAUGUCGUUUGGACUCUGUAAUGCACCAGCCCCUUUCCAACGUUGUAUGAUGUCAAUCUUCGCAGAUUAUCUCAACGGAAUCAUGGAAGUAUUCAUGGAUGACUUCUCGGUGUGUGGAUUAGACUUUGAAGACUGCCUUAUUAACCUUGAGAAAAUCCUAGAGAGAUGUGUAGAAGUUAACCUUGUGUUAAACUGGGAGAAGUGCCACUUUAUGGUAAAAGAAGGCAUAGUGUUAGGACAUAUAAUAUCUGAAAGAGGCAUUUAGGUCGAUAAAGCAAAGAUAGAAGUUAUAGAGAACCUCAACCCUCCUAAGACAGUCAGAGAAGUUCGUAGUUUCCUUGGACAUAGCGGUUUCUAUCGACGCUUCAUAAAAGACUUCUCUAAAAUAAUGAAACCCCUGACCGGCCUUCUAAUGAAAGACAUUGAAUUCAUUUUCGAUGAAAAAUGCAUCGAAGCCUUUAACCGUUUAAAACAAGCAUUAAUUUUACCACCCGUUCUACAAACCCCGAAUUGGACUAAACCCUUCGAAAUAAUGUGUGGUGCUAGCGAUUUCUCUAUAGGAGCUGUUUUAGGACAAAGAAAAGAUAAGAAACUACACGUAAUAUAUUACUCUAGUAGAACCCUAGGUGCCGCUCAAUUAAAUUAUACAACAACAGAGAAGGAACUCCUAGCUAUAGUUUUCACAAUCGAUAAAUUUAGUUCUUAUCUUGUAGGAUCUAAGAUUAUAGUCUAUACAGACCAUGUAGCUAUCUGUUACCUUCUGAGCAAAAAGGAUGCAAAACCUCGAUUACUCAGGUGGAUCCUUUUGCUACAAGAAUUCGACUUAGAGAUUAGAGACAAAAAAGGAACAGAAAACGUAGUUGCUAACCAUCUUUCCAGAUUAAAGCAUUUAAAGCCAUAUCGUUUACCUAUAAAUGAUGACUUCACCUAUGACAGGCUAAUAGCUAAGAUAGAUACCGCUCCCCUUAAACCUGAUAGAGACAACUUUGGGACAAUUUCAGAAAUUAGCAGAGUACCAUGGUACGCUGAUUUUGUGAACUAUCUAGCCGCUGAUAUCAUACCACAUGACCUCAACUAUCAACAGAAGAAGAAGUUCUUUAAAGAUAUAAGACACUUCUUUUGGGACGAACCACUCCUUUUCAAAAGAGGAACUGAUAACAUAUUUCGAUGUUGCGUCCCAGAAGAAGAAGUCAUAAACAUCAUAGAACAUUGUCAUUCUUCACCUUAUCGUGGACAUUCAAGCACAUCCAAGACAUAUGCUAAGAUCCUUCAAGCUGGUCUUUAUUGCCCGACAUUAUGGCGUGAUGUCCAUGCUUAUAUUGUCCAAUGUGACUGGUGCCAGCGCAUUGGAAACAUCUCAAGACGUGACGAAAUGCCUUUAAAGAACAUCUAAGAAGUAGAACUAUUCGACGUUUGGGGUAUCGAUUUCAUGGGACCUUUUCCAUCUUCGUUGGGAAACAAGUACAUUUUGGUAGUCGUUGACUAUGUGUCCAAGUGGAUAUAAGCUAUAGCCGCACCCACCAACGACACAAGAGUAGUCAUUAAGAUGUUCAAGAAUAAUAUCUUUCCCAGAUUUGGAGUUCCACGACUUGUCAUAAGUGAUGGUGGAUCACAUUUUAUAUCCAGGAUAUUUAAUAAACUCUUAAGGAAAUAUGGAGUAAAACACAGAGUAACAACACCAUAUCACCCCCAGACUAAUGGUCAAGUGGAAGUAUCUAACAGAGAGAUUAAACAGAUCUUGGAGAAAACUGUAUCAAUAUCAAGAAAAGAUUGGUUUGAAAAGCUAACAAAAGCACUGUGGGCUUACAGAACUGCUUACAAAACCCCUAUUGGAACUACACCAUACCAGUUGGUCUACGGGAAGUCAUACCACUUAACUUUUGAACUCAAACACAAGGCAUAUUGGGCCAUCAAGACCCUGAAUUUGGAUUACCUAGCAUCUGGCAAGAAGCGAAUCCUUGAUAUUCAUAAAUUGGAGGAACUUCGCCAGAACGCUUACGAGAAUGACGUUAUAUACAAAGAGAGAACCAAAGCUUGGCACGACAAAAGGAUUGUAAAAAAGGAAUUUAAUAUAGGCGAUUUUGUUCUUCUCUUUAAUUCGAGAUUUUGACUUUUUCCAGGUAAGUUGCGUCCGAGAUGGACAGACCCCUUUGAGGUUUCCAAAAUCCUAAAAUCUGGAGCAGUUGAAAUCCGGAACAACUCCUGUAAUCUGUUUAUGGUAAAUGGAUAAGAGACUGAAGCAAUACCAAGGAAGCGACAUCCCCACAAAAUGUCAUGAACAAACUCUGACCGGCCCUCAAGUUCCUACCUCUAACGUAUAAAGUUCAAAUCGUCAAGCUAAUGAUGUUAAACAAGCACUGCAUGGAAGGCAACCCAUGAUUUCUUUUCCUUUACUUUUUACUAUUUCAAUAUCAAUUUUUCUUUGUUUUUUUAUAUAUGUAUACCUAUGUGGAGACUAACAGUUAUAAUAUUUGCGAUUUCAGGUGUCCUCUGUUUCUAAUCUAACUUUUCAGGAAUGGAGAAUAUUGACACCAUGCCAGUAAUCUUUCUUGACCCAGUUCAAGAACAACGCUACGCCAUACUUUCACAGCGCCCAAUGCUGCCCACCAGAUAUCCCGACUCGAGCUGCAUGGAGGCAGUAGGCAUUGAGGCUAGUGUCAGGCACUUGUGCAAUCAGUUACAGUGGGAUGAAUAUACAGAUUUUAUGCACGUGACUUACAGGAACCUGACUUUGGAGUUCCUGAGCUCGCUUAUCUACGAGCCCUAUGUUGGUCACACAAGUGAUGGAGGAUAUAUUAAUUUCAGAUUAUUUGGGGCAGAAUACACCUUCAACCACAAGCGUUUCAGUGACUUGCUUGGUUUUCAGACUGCCUAUGAUGCUUCAUCUGAGCUCCCCAUGAGCUACUUUCUGAGCUGAGACGUCGAGAAGUUUUAGAGUGAUAUCAUGUGUGAAGGUAGUCCUGGCCCUUCCACCCAAAUCUCCAACAAGAUUCACAACCCUGCUUUUCGAUACUUCCAGAUGAUCAUUCCCCACACCUUCCUAGGGAAUAGUGACCCUGAUACGCAUGUGAGUGCUGAAGAGAUCUUCUUCAUGUACCGUACCACUCAGUCACGCCCAGUAGAUUGCGGAGCUUUCCUGAUCGAGAGUCUAUAUCUUAAUGCUCGCUCUGCUGCGAGCCCUAUACAUGUUGGAAACACGGUGACUCAUAUAGCCUCAUCCCUGGGACUCGAUAGAAGACUAUCUCACCUGACAUCUUAUUGCAGCUACACCUUGAUGGAUAUUAAUUUCUGUCUGGACCGUGGCCUCAUGAGGAGAUCUUCUUUCCAACCGGAUCAAUACAGGUUAUUAAUCGAGGGUGAGACCAUUCACUACUUCACUUUACCUGACCCUCAGGUGACUUGUGUUAUUGAUCAUGCCAAUUGGGCCUACGCCAUAGAAGGGAAGGGAGAGACAGUAGACGCACCGAAAAUCGCACCUAUCAGAAUUAAAGUCCACACCAACAAUCCGAAUCUACAGAAUUUGAGCAUGCAAUCUGAAUUGGUUAAGCUUCGCUUGGAGAUAGCCGAGCUUCGCCAGGAGCUUGCUGAAGUUGCCUUGCAGGUCGAAGUAUCAGUUGCAUCACAUGACACCGAGACUGAUAUGCUUCAUGAUGAGAUCGCCGAUCUCCGAUGCCAGAUCGCAGAGCUUUGAGGAUACGAAGUCGAGGAGACUCCACUAUUUCCUGAGCAUUGAUGCCAUCAUGAACCAAGAAAUACCGUUUGAAUUUCCCUAUUUUCCCGUUAUUUACUAUUCAUGCUUAUUUUUAUUGUUUCCUUUGACAUUAUGCUUGCUUUAACUUUUCUAAGAUCUCUGGACUCGUGAAUUGUUAUUGACUUUACACACACACACACACACACACACACACAUACACACAUACACACACAUACACCUUCUACCUCAUGAUACAUGGUGCAACUGUACCUAGUGUUGUCCUACCUUGCUCUCAGCGUACAAAUGUGCGACAUGCGAGGAACUAGACAUAUGAUCUUGAUGCUUCACCCUUUACCGAUCCUUUGCCACCUAACAUUCCUAUGGACGAUGGGCAAGGGACCGAUGAUGAGUAUGACCGGCGCUACCAGUCAUCUGCUCAUGAUAUUCCUGCUGCAUCACCUGCACACACUGCGCCUUCUUCCUCUAACCCUUUUGUAGGUACCACUCCCGGUUUCUACAUCACCGAGGAGAUGUGGUUCGAGCACCUAGCUCGUGAGGAAAGGCGUGACACCCUCCUGAAUACCAUAAACCAAUAACUGUCAGAUAAUAUGAGUUUUAUGGUAGCUUCCCAGCAGCGUAGUGAGCAAGCACAUUGGACUGUCACUGAGUCCUUGCUUGCGAUCACUAAUGAGAAGCAACGCCAGCGACAGGCUAAUGAGCGCCCCUUCACUCUCAUCGAGGCCACCCAAGGAUCUCUCCUAGGUCGCUCUCAGCAGCUGCAGGAAGGACUUAGUACUCGAACCAGACGUUGUCAACCCAGGCAUCCUGACCAGGGCGGUGACGUUGACGGUACCGGUGCUCACCCAUAGUUCUCUCUCUCUCUCUCUCUCUCUCUCUUCCAGGUUACUCCUAUCCUAUCUCAUAUUGAAACAUUGAGAACAAUGCUCGGUUUAAGUGUGGGAGGAGAUUUUAUCGCUUUUCAUCUUUCCUUUAUUUUUAUUGCUUUUUAUCACUUUCCUUUACUUUUAUCGCUUUUUACCGUUUUCCUUUAAUUUUAGUAUGUUUUAUGCUUUAGUUGUUUGUUUUUUCCUUUCAAUAAAAUAACAUGUGUCUGAUGAGUCAUCUGUGUAGUGUAUCCUUAUUUCCCUCAUUUCUUUAACCUUACCAAAAAAAUUUUUAGCCAAGUAAACAAUACAUCUUGAACAUUCAGGCUAUAAGACAGGUUUAUAACAUGAUGUAAAAGACUUGGGAAAACUUUUUCUAAAAAUCGGUAUUGUCUUAACACCUUAGGCUUCAUGAUUAUAAGAGUCGAUCCCGAUACCCCAUAUGAUGUAGCCCCAAUUUUUGUUCCAAAUAAGUUCUUAAGUAGUUUAUCCUAGCAGUCAGCUCCGGCUUAAGCAUGCUCUACGUAGGGGACCGAUGAAAAUAAGUGAAUGAUCACAAAAAUUCCUGCUUUGUUCUCAAGUCAUAUGAAAAUCCGGGCUAGGUGAAUCUCACACGGUCAUUUAACCCAGAAAAAUAAAGACAUAUGCGAAACAUGCAGAAGAAAAAUAAAAGUUAUAUACAAAUAAGCCUAUUUGUUUGUUGGUUCAGAGGUAUCUGGUGCUGAACUUGGUAGGGUGGAUUACGAUCCAAUCUCCCACAACUGCAAAUUGGGUUAAAUAAAGGGGUUACACCAACUUAUGUACCGGAGCCCCAUGCUUAGAAAAAUAAAAUAAUAAACCUAUUUGUUUGUUGGUUCAGAGCUAUCUGGUGCUGAACUUGGUAGGGUGGAUUACGAUCCAAUCCCCCACAACUGCAAAUUAGGUUGAAUAAAAGGGUUACACCAACUUAUGUACCAGAGCCCCAUGCUUAAGAUCAUAAUCACUAACCGGAAUCUGGUGCUGAACUUGGUAGGGUGGAUUACGAUCCAAUCCCCCACAACUGCAAAUUAGGUUGAAUAAAAGGGUUACACCAACUUAUGUACCAGAGCCCCAUGCUUAAGAUCAUAAUCACUAACCGGACACUUUACUAUGAGUAUGUACGGAUAACGGGCUUAAUGUGAUUGCACCUGAAUGAAAAGGACUUUAAGAAAACGAAAAGAAGGCUUAGGUAUGGUGGGGUAAUGUGGAUUGAUUUGCAUAGGAACGAAGCCUACGACCGCAUUUGCGGGAAGUGUCACUACAAUAUCCUUAGUUCGAUUCGUUAGUACCUAUCGAUACUUUCCUUGAAUGAACUCAUAAGUCUUUUUGCCUUGAAUUAACUCUAGUUGAUAACGUUUUUCUUGCAUAACAAUAAAGUGUUUUGCUUGAGGACAAGCAAAGGUUUAAGUGUGGGAGAAUUUGAUCACACUGAAUUACACCGUGUUUUUGACUCAGAUUUCACAUGUUUAUUAGGAUUUUGUUAUCAUUUUGUUUGUAUUAUGCUCUCUUUUAUCUUGUUUUCAGAUAUUUAGCACUUUCGGACUCUUUUGGAAGAAACGAAGCAAAAAGACCUAAAAUUAGGGUUUUUCGGCGAAAUUACACACAUGAAUUAUGCUCUCUUUUAUCUUGUUUUCAGAUAUUUAGCACUUUCGGACUCUUUUGGAAGAAACGAAGCAAAAAGACCUAAAAUUAGGGUUUUUCGGCGAAAUUACACACAUGGCGUUGCACAUGGCGGCCGCUAUAGGAGAAGCCAUAAGUCAUCAGCUCUCAACUAGGAGGUAAUCUCCAUGUUCCCAUGAUCCACCCCUUUUACACACAUUGCGAGUGCCAUGAAGGGAUGGCGGGCGCCACCUUUGGUAAUCACGUUCCCACUAAGGAGAAGUUGGAGGGCACCAUGGUCUUUACUAGCUGCUGAAAUCCUCUAUAAAUAGUUCGUUCCAUUUCAUUUUCUAAUCAUCCAACUUAGUUUUAGAACACUAAGCAUAUAUUUAUCAUUUGUAAUAACGAUAAUCCGUCACAUCGGGGGUUAUGCAUCUUUGUGAGAUUGAGUUGGGUCAUUUCGAGUUACUGUCGUCUUUAGCUUCAGAAGUCGGAGGUUUAUUUUUGUACCAGAAUCGAAGCCUCCAUUUGGAGCAGGUUCUUAUUUAUCGCUUUAUUUAUUUAUUUCCCGUAUCGCUUUUAUUUUGUUUAUUUCCCGCAUCGCUUUUAUUUUAUUUAUUUCCCGCACUCGCUUUACUUUAUUUAUUUUUCGCACUCGCUUUUAUUUUAUUUAUUUCCCGCAUCGCUUUUAUUUUAUUUAUUUCCCGUAUCGCUUUUAUUUUAUUUACUUUCUGUCUACGCUUUUACUUUAUUUAUUUCCCACACUCGCUUUACUUUAUUUAUUUCCCGCACUCGCUUUACUUUAUUUAUUUUACGCACUUUACUCGCUCUUUACUCCUCACAUUCUAAAACAAACUUUUCAUCAUGAUUAAUACCGUUGUGUUUGUUUGUGUUACCAUGUCUGGCUAAAUCUUUUAAAUGUUAAUAUUUAUUUUACGCACUUUACUCGCGGUUAAAGUAAUGUUUCACAUAUUGAAUCUGUAGAAAUACUUUAAAGGCUGUUUUGAUUUUUAACUUGAGUUUUCUAAAACAAACUUGGUUAGUUUUAAUUAUUCAAGGAGUGUGAAAGCACCCUGGCUUAGUUAACUAGGAAUUUUUAUCACUUCAAGGAAAAACCAUUUUUGAAACUAUUUUCGGACGCAUUGAUAGAUUUAAAAUCAGGAAACUCCUCGGGUAAAACUUUCCAAAUCAAAAUCACUUUUUAACUAAGUUUACGAGUCUCAUUUCUUAAAAAUAAGUUUACUACUUUAACGUUCUGCGCACCUUUUAUAAGUGACAAUAAGAGGCCUUAAUUUAAGGGUAAACUCGGUUCUGAAUACGCGAAAGCGACAAUUCCUAUUAAAUAGAUUCUUUUCAAGAGUAGAAAAUAUUGCCUCACAAGUAGUUCUAUUUAGACAAUCGAAAUAUCACUUAACUGACGCGAAAUACAUUCAUUGUCCUUAGACUCCAAUAGCAACUCUUCAUGCUUUUUGCUCAAGGCAUGGAAACGCUCUUCCCACAUGUCCUUCUCUUGCUUCAUCUUGAUGAGCGUGUCUUCCAACUCCUCUAUAUCUUGUUUAGGGAGAGUUAAUGGCUCAACCACAACCAUAGACAUAGGUCUUUCACAAGGAUAAGGCAUCUUCAACUUCAUAACUCUCUUCUUUACCCAAAGAGUGUAAGCUUCCAAAGCUACACAAUUGCACGGACUAUGCUCGGAUCUUUCUUUCCUAUGCAUAUUAUGCCAAGCAUGCAUAAUCUUCUGCUUCAAAUGUUGGGGAUCUUUACCUUCUUGAUAGAAAAGACCUUCUAACAAAGUUUUAUUAGGUUUGUCUCUCAAUGGGAACCCAUGUUGGCGACGAGCCAAAGCAGGGUUGUAGCUAGUUCCUCCUUGUGUACCAAUGAGAGGCACAUUAGAGAAUUCACCACAACUAUCAAUAAUAUCCAAAUUGCUUAAGGAUGGAUCAUACCAAACUAUAUCAUCAUUAGUGAGAGACAUAAGUCUCUGAGACCACCUUAGACAUUGUUUGUUCUCCACAAAAGCAGGCGUCUGAGGCAAGUGCAAAAUAAACCACUUGUACAGAAAUGAGAGACAUAAGUCUCUGAGACCACCUUAGACAUUGUUUGUUCUCCACAAAAGCAGGCGUCUGAGGCAAGUGCAAAAUAAACCACUUGUACAGAAGAGGAAUGCAACAGACAAUAGUUCCACCACCUUUAGAAUUCCUUAGGUGCAAAGAGAAAUACAUAUCACCCAACAAAGUAGGCACAUGAUUCUCAAUCAAGAAAAGUCUAAUGGCGUUAACAUCAAUAAAACCGUCAAUGUUAAGGAACAAAGCUAAUCCAUAGAUAAGCAACACAAAGAUAGCUUCAAAAGCAUCCACACUACCAGCUUGAGCAAAAGUGGUAGCCUCCUUGAUGAGGAAAACAGAUGGCAAUCCAAAUAACCCUCCUUUAUUCACCCAAUGAGCCUAUAUCUCAGACUUCUUCAAGUGAAGAGCUUUAGCAAUAAUACUAGAUCGGAGAAUCUCCUCCAAUCCACUAUAAGGUACUCUACUAGAAACAGGUAUCCCCAAAAGAUGAGAAUACUCCUCCAAGGUAGGCACAAGCUGAAAAUCUGGGAAAGUGAAACAAUGGUAGAGAGGAUCAUAAAGCUGCACCAAUACACUCAACAACCCUUCCACUACAUCAGCAGACAAGAUGGACAAAAGCUUCCCAUGACAUUGUUUGAAGUCCAAGGGAUCUAAUACAAAAGAUGCUAGCUUCCUUAACUCUUUCAAUUCGAGACAUCUGAAACUGUACUUCUUAGUGUUCCUUCGUCCAUAAUCCAUGGUCUAAAAAUAUUUGCAAAUGAUACCUUAGUUCCUUGAAAUUUUGUGUGAUGAAUGUUAUGAUGCGCAUGAAAUGCAUGAAUACAACAAUCACAAGUAGGGGAUCACACACAAGGCAAACAAAGGUCAAGGGAUGAAUCAAGUCAUUGUCAAGAUCAAUCAUCCAUUUUGGUGGGUUAUGGUUUACACCUUAUCAACACCCAAGUUCCAUUGAUAUUGACAAGACUUGAUUGAAUCAACCAAGAAUCAAGGGUUUUUGUUGCAAGUCACGAGCAUGGAGUCUGGGUAAGAACCAUCCCAAAGGAGUGAACUAAGGAUAAAACCUGUAGAUCAUGUUCUAAAAAGUUCCCAGAGUCUUAAUUCCAUCUAUCAGAUAUUACAUGUUAAGAUGACUGACUCAUCGACCCAUAAUAUUCUCAAGAGAAACUCGUCUGAGUGUAGCAUCGCGUAACAACUGUUAUCAAGUCUACACUUGAACAGUUUCCGUACUACGUCCUAAAUAGGCCAAGAUGGGUUAGGUGUUCUAAGGUCCUCAACUUCUCAGACCCAAUUAGAAAUAGCAAUGCCUAACCACAAAUACUUGUGUGACAUUUCCAAAUCCAAAGGAGUCUCCACAGAUGGAUCUCAAGCCAACUUGUUAAGGACUACUCCACACAAGUUGAAAAUGACUAUACCAUCCUCCUAUUUAAUUUCACUCAAGUUCGGGUUAGAACUUAUCUCACCACUCAGAGAUCACCAAGCACAACAAGCAGAUUAUAUUCACACAUACAUAUAUACAAACAUCACAUAUAUACAAAUAUAUUCACACAAAAAGUAGGCUAAACCCACUGGAGACUACUCCCCAGCAGAGUCGCCACUUAAUUUCUGUAGCGGGAAAUUCAUGAUCCUUAAGCUACUGACAAGCUAAAGAUCAAUUAACAAGAGUCGCCACCGUGAUUUUAUUGUUUCCAAGGGAAAAGGGAAAAAAUGCAAACAAAACCCAAUUAGUAAGAAGUUUUCAAAUAAAAACUAAUAAAAAUAAGAGAUCACAGGUAAGGGGUUGGUUACACAGAGGGAAGGUGUUAGCAUCCAAAGUGUCCUAGGUACUCCUAGGGAGCCCUUUUUGUGUGCAUAUGUAUUUUGGACAAAGUGAUGUUUACAAACAAAUAGAAUGAGGGGAUGAGAAAAUAAUUGAUUAAUUAUAUUUUUGUGUUUGACAAGACCUUCGGUCCUGUGCCUACGUACCAACAUAAAAAUGAGGAAUCGAAACCACAUAGUUCGUGCUAGAAAUUUUAAAAUGAGUGUGUUGGUUUUAACAAAAUUUAGUUUGAAAGACACAAAGGUCUAAGAAUGGAUUGAAUGAGUUAGUUCUUUUUGGCUUUUUUGAAGAUUUAAGAAAAUAAGUUUGAAAAGGCAAUGGUAUAAGGCCAAAGUUUCUAUCUCUUGCAAAAGUGGUCAAAGUUUAGAACAAAAGUAGUUCACACAAAGAAGUUUUUGAAAAUGGAGGGAGAGAUUUUGAAAUUAAAAAAAUGGGGAGAAGAUGAAGAGACUACCCUAUGCACAAAAAUUUAAAAGUUUAAAGUUGAAAAGAUCUGACCAAAUGGGAGCAAUCCAAUAGACAAGUAUGUCAAUAGAAACCCAGAAUUCCCUUGGAAAAGAUGAAGAGACUACCCUAUGCACAAAAAUUUAAAAGUUUAAAGUUGAAAAGAUCUGACCAAAUGGGAGCAAUCCAAUAGACAAGUAUGUCAAUAGAAACCCAGAAUUCCCUUGGACUUUUCAGAACCAAGCAACACACAAAUGCACAAUUAUGUCAGUCUUGAAGAGUAAAGGCAUCAAAUAAAGAUGGCCUCAUCUAAGCUUAUCCACUUCAAAGAUCUUCUCAAGAUAGCCUAUGUAGCAGAUGAAUCCCACAAGUCACAGGUUCAACAUAACAGCUUAAUGAUAAUCAAUGUUGCAGAUGAAUCUAGAGAGAUCUAGAAUGAUGUAUCAGAUGAAUUCAAACUGGCAAGUUCUUGGUUCUUCAACAAGUUGGCAUUGGCCAAGUCCAUUAGCAAAGGAAAGUUACCUAGAUUCUAUGUCCAAUUGGGGAGGUCAAACAACAGUCCACUCAAAGUCUUUUAGGGUUUUUGUUAUUAUUAUGUGCAUUAAUGGUCAAAGACCAAUCAAACAAUCAAAGCAACAAAGUAUAUCACACAAUAUGGUCCAAAUGGACAAAGUGAAAAUUGCAUAAAUAUAAACAAUUAGAAUGAUAUGUACAAUGACAAAUGAUAAUAGAACAAUAAAAGUAAAUUGCAUUAAAAGUAAAAGCUUGAAAAUAAAGGUUAGUGGUUAGUAAGUUAAUAGUUAGUUUUGUUUUGCUUUUUGAUUUCAAGACAUUCUUUGGAGAACACUCAACCCACUCGCCACAAGCAUGGAUCCUUGAACCAAAACAUCUUCCAAAGGAAGGAAAGAAGGCCAAGUCUCCACACAAUACCAUGGAAGAGGGGAGACUUACAAUCUCACUAACUAGAAUGCUUAUGCCUUUUAUUCACAAAUUUAAAGUUAUGUUAAGCAAUUGUAAUUGGACUUACGUAGAAGUCACAACUAUUUGAGGUCGGGCAAUAAACUUUUGGUGUUAAUGCAGGUUGGAGACAUAGUAUUAAGAACUAUGCUCAUUAAACAUACCACACACAAAAAUAUAGAAAAGAGUGUGGCCUAAUCUCAUCCAUACUCAUGUUAAUCUUUCAAUCAACUAACAUUAGGACUUUGAGAUGUCAUUGGCCAAUUGAAAAUGAAUGGGUGAAGAAGGGGAAUUAGAUGAAGAGGGAAAGGGAUGAAUGAGAUCACAAAUUGGUUAAAGGAGGACUUUUACCAAAUUAAUAUUAUUCAUUCAUUUUGGGAGAUGGAAUGUACAUUCCAUCAAUCCCCUAAAUCCAAUAAUAUUAACUUGACAAAGUCAAAUCAACCUUGACCAAGGCCCAACAACAAAUGAGAAACUCAGAUAAGUCAAUCCAAAUGGUCAACACAAUUUAAAUGACAUUUAUUCAAUUAAAAAUAGUAAAAUAAUGUAUUAAAUUCAAAUAUGUUUUGUCCAAAUUCUAAAAUCAUAUCAAAACACCAAAUAAAUGGCCAUGUGAUUUAUCAUAGGUCAAACAAGGUCAAAGGACCUUGGAUAAAAAAAUUCAUAAUUUUUGGAAACUUAAAAAUAUUUUUAAACAAUUAAAAACAAAUAAAAAAUCAAUUAAUUCAUGGAAAAUAUUAAUAAUGAUCCAAAAAAUAAUUUUAAUUCAGAAUAUGAAAGAGAAAAAUAUUUGAAUUUUUUUGGUGAAAGUCCCAUAUUUUUUGGAUCAAUAUUAAAUUUAUUAUGAAUUAUUGAAAAUAAUGGAAUUAAAUGAAAAAUAAAAAUAAUUUUAAUUCAGAAUAUGAAAGAGAAAAAUAUUUGAAUUUUUUUGGUGAAAGUCCCAUAUUUUUUGGAUCAAUAUUAAAUUUAUUAUGAAUUAUUGAAAAUAAUGGAAUUAAAUGAAAAAUCAGAAAAUGCAAAAAUACGUGGACCAUCAGAUCUCCCGCAUUAAUUGAGGUGGCAGAUCUAAUGAUCCACAGUGCACGUUCCACCAACACGUGAGUCAACUGCGCUGCAAACUUGUUAAUCACAAUGCACGGCUAAGAUUAGAACACAGGAAUUGGAUCACACGGUCUAGACCUCAAACACAUCAUCACCGGAGCCAAAGCUCUGGUUGUCUUCUCCGGCGAGCUUCGCCGGACUGGUCAUCAUCAACCAUCACCAAAAUUUCAAACAGGGACAUGAUUUCAAAGAGAAAACAUCACUGAGCACGAAUAUCACCUCCAUUUCUUCCAAUUCCAACUAUAUUGAGAGAUAUGUGGAAUUGAAAAAUGAGGUUCAUGAUUUGAGUUGCUUCGAUUUAGCACCAAAACAACUCAAACACCUUGCCUACAUUGGUAGGACUUCAGCCAACACAACAAUCAAGAGAAUUGAGCAAGAAACAAGGAGAAUCAAAGAGUUGAAAAAUUCUGCAAAUUACCUUCAAUGGAGGUCUGAGCUUGCUAGAUCUUGAUCUGAAUCGUGCUUUGCUUCACUUCAAAUGCUUGCAGAAGAGGAAUGGAAUGGCUUAGAAUCAAUGAACUCAUGGAGAAUUGAAUUCCAAAACAGUGGAGAUUCAAGUUCAAAUUCAACUUAAUUUUUCAGGUUUAUCCUCUCAAUGCAAAGGGUUUUCUGUGGGGAUUCAAAGCUGGCGCAAGGUAUGUGUCCAUUCUGAGCAAAUGCAGUUCAAUUUAUAGAGAAUUCAAAUGAUAACUGCACACUCCUUCAAGUUUCCAAUUUUGGCAAAAUGAUGUAAGCAAGCUGCAUGGGCGCGCAUAGGCCCAUGAAAUGAUUGUCUAAAAGUCCAAAGAUGCACUGAUUGAGCUACUUGAAGACCGAGUGACGAAGAGACAGAGAGAGCUAGAGGUUUCAUCUUCUAGCAGGCCUCAGUGUUCCAUUGCUUGGAAGAAGAUUGUUGACCAGCUUGUCCUCGAGAAGACCCAGAUGAAGGCUUCUUUUGAGACCGAGAUCUGCCACAUUCGAAGGAAGUAUGCGCCUUCAGCCAGAUCUGCUGACACUAUUGUUAGGGAUCCUUAGGAUGACUAGUCUCCUUUUCUCUUGUAUCUUUUAUUUUGGUUUAUGAAAUUGUACUCAGUGUAAUCCUUCCAAUUUAUAUAAAUGAAAAGAGAUUUUUGGUUAUAUCAAAUUAUUGCAAUUUCCAUUUCACUUUUUAUAUAUUUGCGAAUGAUAUAGUAAGUUCCUUGAAAAAUAAAAAUAAUCAAACAUUGCAUUUCAUGCAUCAUUUGCAUAAGUAGGUUUUUGCCAGGUGUUUGAUCAGUGUUCUUCUAUGCUUUAGCCAAGCUGACUCACCGGUACAACACUCGAGCCAAUCAUUCAAAGAUCAUGGAACACCUUGAGCAAGAGAACCAAGACUUGAAGGAGGAGAUUGUCAGGCUGACUGCCAUGAUGGAGUCAGUUCUUGCCGCCCAGAGCCAAGCUUCUCCAACUCCUACAACUCCUCCCGCGAGGACUGUCAUUUCUGAUGUGGUUACAUCUACUGUGCCUGCUACCACCACCCACUUCACUCCGAAUCUACCUGCUGGAUUCCCUUGGGGAAUUCCACCUAACUUUGUGCCAGAGGGUUUCGCUCCCACUUUUGCUUCCAUGCCGGCAUCUAGCCCGAUCAUGUCUGUGCCACCUCCCGUUGUGCACACUUUGCCGCAUGUUAAAGACACCAUCUAUCAUUCCGAGUCAUCUGAGGGCCCGAACGUCUAUGAGAAGAUGGACGAAAUGAAGGACCAAUUCCUUGAGCUGCGCAAGGAACUGAAGACGCUGAGAGGCAAAGAUCUGUUUGGGAAGAGUGUUGCUGAACUAUGCUUAGUGCCCAACAUGAAAAUCCCUGUGAAAUUCAAAGUGCCUGACUUUGGUAAGUAUAAAGGGAACUCUUGUCCGUUCAAUCAUCUUGUUAUGUAUGCCCGCAAGAUGUCAGCCCAGACAGAUAAUGAUCAACUAUUGAUCCACUAUUUCCAGGAUAGUCUGACAGGUUCUGCGCUCCGUUGGUACAUGGGGCUAGAUAGUGAAAGCAUCCGCACUUUCAAUGAUCUAGGAGAGGCUUUCGUGAAACAGUACAAAUACAACAUGGACAUGGUGCCAAAUAGGGACCAGCUGAGGUCCAUGUCUCAAAAAGAUAAAGAGACAUUCAAGGAGUACGCCCAGCGUUGGAGGGAGUUGGCUGCCCAGAUCACUCCUCCUUUGGAGGAGAAGAAGAUGACAAAAAUCUUUCUUAAAACCCUAAGUUCAUUUUAUUAUGAAAGAAUGAUUGUCAGUGCCCCCAGUGAUUUUACCGAGAUGGUAAACAUGGGGAUGAGACUUGAAGAAGGGGUCCGUGAAGGACGAUUGUCAAAAGAAGAGGCAUCAACUAGCAAUAAGUAUGGGAGCAAUUUUAGCAAGAGGGAGGAUAAUGAGACCAAUGCUAUUUCAAGUGGGAGGCAGAGGAGGCCUCAAUCCAGAAGAAAUCCACCACCCCGUCAACAUCAUCAUCAAGUAUCUUCCAUUAUUCCAAUAUUUUAAAAUCAACCAGCAACACCAAUUCAACAACAACAACAUCAGUAUCAAAAUCAACGUCAACAACAACCACAAGAAAGAACAAACAACUACAAUAACAAUAAUUCCAACAACAAUCAUCACCAGCAACGUAAUUUUGAGAGGAAGAAGGUCUCUUUCGACCCAAUUCCUAUGUCAUACGUAGAGUUGUACCCGUCUUUAGUUCUCAAGAAUUUGAUUCAACCGAGGAAUCCACCGCAGAUCCCAGAACCACUUCCAUGGUGGUACAAACCUGAACUUCGUUAUGCUUUUCACCAGGAUUCACCUGGGCAUGAUAUUGAGAAUUGUUAUCCGCUGAAUUAUGAGGUGCAAAAGCUUAUGAAGAGUGGCAUGGUGUCUUUUGAAGACCGCGCGCCUAAUGUGAAAGUUAAUCUUUUGCCUGCUCAUGUGAAUACCUCAGUGAAUAUGGUGGACGGUUGUCCUAGUGAAUACAAGGUUUUUGAUGUGCGUUUUAUCCGUGGGUCCUUGGUGCAAAUACACAAGGACAUCUGUUUGGUGAGUGAAUGCAAACAUGAUCACGAAGGUUGUGAUGUUUGUAGUGUGAACCCAAGAGGGUGUGUUGUGGUAAAAAGGGACAUCCAGCGUCUGAUGGAUGAAGGCAUGAUUCAGAUUUGUCAAUCCCGUCAUGAAGAUGACGAUGUUAAUGUCAUUGUUCCCAUUUUCAAACAACCAAAACGGUUGGUGAUCCAGUAUGAUAGUGUAACACGGUGGGAGAACUGACUUUAGUUAAAUGUUGCGGAUAGCAAGAGUCGCCACCUUUAUUUUAUCCAAAAGGAAAGGACAUAAAAGAACAGGAAAGACCUUAAAAAGAUUUUGAGUUCGGGGGGUAGGUUAUACAAAGGGAAGGUAUUAGCACCCUUUAUAUCCAUGGGCUCUUAGUUACUUAGCUCACUUUGUUUGUUUGCAAGAGUGUAGUGUGUGAUUAGAAAAAUUUCUUUAAUUACUUUGUAAUGACCCUCGUAUGGGUGUAUACAAAGCCUAGUUUAGAAAUUGUGAGGUGUAAAAGUAAUUUUGAAAAGUGGGAGCAAGUAACUAUGAGAUACCUACCCUAGAUUAAGUCUUUCGUGUUCUCGUAUAUAUUCUUUCAAUGGUAAGACUGACCCUAUUAUUAAGGAAUAGGUAGUCCAUUACCUUGGAUGUGUUUAAGGGACGGGCGUAGGAUCAAUCGUAUGGUCAAUGAAGGCAACAUAAGGGGUGUUUCUUUAGCAAUCGUAGGGACUAUCAUCAUAUUUACCGAAGGGACAAGAUCAUAUAUCGUAGGCAACCUCGUAGGGACUUGAUCUUUUAAGUUUAUAGGGACUUGAUGAUUUUUCUGUUUGAAGGGACUUUGCUUAAGACACCCUAUUUUCGAGGACUUGACCAUUUAAGAAGGCAACCAGAAGGAAUACCUAGGAAGUACAGAUGGCGAUCAAAGAUCGACUUGCGUGUGUGAGUGUUUUUUUUUCAGAUAUUUGUCUUGAAUUUAAUUUUCUAAGUUCAAUUAUUUACAGUUAGUUUUUUGCACUCCUAAAUUACUAACCACGCAAUAAAUAUUUAACAAAAAUAAAAGUAAGAAAAAUAAAUUCCUAAACUAUUACAUGGCUAUGGGACAGAUACAUAAUAAUCAGGCGAGAAAGAUAAAUUUACAACCUAUACAUUUGUUCCUAAUAUUAUAAAUAAACAAAAUUAAAAUAAUGAAAAUAUGAAGCAAAAAUAGAAUAGAUAAAAGCAAAUAAUAUAAAAUAAUAAAUAAACAAUAGUAAUAAAGCAAUAAUAAAAUACAAUAAUAAUAAAGUGAUAAUAAAAGGUUAGAAUUUUAAAAGAAAUUAUUUUAGGUUAAACAAGUUAGAUUUUUUUAGAAGUUAUUAGAAAAAUAUGAGUUUAAAAUAAAUUAGUAAUAAUAAAGAAUUUAAAAUACAUUAAUGUACCAAAUUAAUAAAAUAAAAGAGGUAUAUGAAAAUAUUAAGUUAGUUAUUUACAAAAAAAUAAAGAUUAUAGAAAUAUCAAAUUAUUAGAUUAAUAGGUUUAUUAUUAUUAUUCAAUUAGAAAAAUGGCAAUUAGAUUUUAUUUACAAAAUAUAUAAGAAUUUAUUAUUAUAAGUAAGAAUAAAAAAAGUUAUUAAAAUGUUAGUAUUUAUUAUUUAUUUACAAAUAAUAUAAAGGUUAUAGAAAAUAUUGAAUAAUUAAUUUAAUAGGUUUUCACGCCCUACAUUACUAAACCACGCAGUUAAUAUAGAUCAAUGACGGAAUUUAAAUGGCAGAAAAAUAAUGGCAGAAAAAUAAAAUGGCAGGAAAAAUAAAAUGGCAGAAAUAAAUGGCAGAAAAUAAAACCCUAAUUAUUACAACGCUUUGGUGCAGUUAUAAAAUAAAGAUGGCGAAAAGUAAAACUGAAAAUAUUACAAAGUUAAAACUUAAAAUAUUACAAGGGCGAAGCAGUUACAGUGUAUGAAUAACAUAAAUAUGAGCGAAAAUAGGAAAUAAUAAUAAGGUUGUUAUAGGUUUAAGAAAAUGUUUAUGGUUUAAAGGAAAAACACGGUUAAGUUUUAGGUUUGAAAUUUAGAGUUUGUGGCGAAAUUGUCAGGGUUUAGGAAAAAUCAGGGUAGUUAGUUAUGAAAAAAAAUGUGCAGAUCUAAAUAAUAUGUAUAUAAAAAAAAUAUGUAUUAAAACACCGGCGUUGUUAGCGCAAAAUUGCGAUCAUCGCAACUGGAAUCGGAUAAACAAAAAUGUCACGCCUCAAACGUAUAUGUGAAACGGCGUAUUGACACGAUCCGAUCCGAAACAUAAUCAAAUUAUAAAUAAAUUAGAAAUAUAUAUAUAUUUACACACUAGUUACAUAUUAAGUAAUUAUAUAUUAUAUGACCAUAUGCAUUUAUUAACAACACAAAUUAUUAAUUAUUUAUAUUAUAUAUAUUGAAACAUGUAAAACUUAUAUAAAACAAACACAUCAAAUACAUAAUACAGUGAACCCAAAUUAUUAUACAUGUUAUACUUAUGUGCAUAAAAAAGAAAAACGACGAUAUCCUGAUGCAUGUAUCUGGAAUACAUAACACAGUCACACAUAAUGAACAUGUAUUUGAAACACAGUAACAAUAUAUCAACAAAAUAGAUAAAGUAUAUAUCAUAUAUAGACUAUUACCAAACUGUGUGUACGAUAGUAUAGAUCAGCCACUCUCAGUUUCUCUUUUUUUGUUCUGUCUUUCGGCCUCCUCUAUCAGUCAUGCUAGUAAAUUAUAUAUAGAACAAAUUAGGUUAAUGAUAAUGGGCCUAAGUUUAUUUUGAAACCCAAUAUUAAUUAAAAAACUGAAUAAAGGUUAAAUAAUUAAAAUAGUUAGAAAAUAUAAACUAAUUAACCUAUUUAUUUAUUCUAGACCCAAUAUAAAUAAUAGACUAAAAAAAAAAAUAAAAGUCGGGGCACCAAAAUACUCGAAAAAAUAAAAAUGAACACGUCAAAAUAAUCAGCACGAAAUAAAUGACUCGGAAAAAUACAGCGUUUGGUCGGAUUUUGAAAAUAAAAAUUAUGACCGUUUAAACUGCUCAGACUGAUCAACAUAUGACACAAAAUAGUCGUAAAAAUAUUUUAGGCAUGUCAAAUUUAAACCACGUGAAGCCGCAGAUUAAUGCUUACCCGGGGACAUUUGCAAACUUAAAACUUGACAUUUUUUUCGUUGACUAAUUUUAGGCACAGUUAAAAAGUUAAUUUGACCAGUCUGUUUGUAAAUUCCGAGAAAAUAUUACCGGCUAAAUAUUAAGACAGAAAAAAAUGUAUGCCUAUGAAGAUGACGGCAAAAUGAAAUGUGAAACAAACAAAUGUGGUUAGAGUGUAAAAAUAGAGGGCAAAUUUUUGGGGUGCAAGAGCUGCCCCUGUUCAAUGUUUCUGAAACCUGAGGAGUUAGACUUGGCCGUGUGUGCCAAUUCGUGACUUGGAAGGUUGAAGGGGAAUUGAACACAAAAAGCCCAAAUUGCACUCGCCGUUGCGUAAACGUAACCUGAUGACUGUUUAUAUGCUUAAGUGGGCUUGAAGAAUGCCACUUGGAAGAACUGGAGAUGGGCGCUGAUAGAUGCCAUCCAUAAUAUCAGGAGGUGAUAAUACAUUGAUGUUGAUACUGGAUAUCAGUAAUCAGGUGCUUCGUAUAGGCGUCUCUGAACUCGUAAUCUAAGAACAUAUUUUAAUUAAGUGUCCGGAACAAAAUACCUUCGUGGCGAUUUUUUCUGAAAUUAAGUAAUCAGCAGCUAAGACUUCGUAUAGAUCGAUCUCUGAACUGUUUUUGAAUUGUUGAUAAGACCAUUAGAAAAUAAAUCUUCGUGACGAUUAUCUCUUCUGGAAAGAUCCGGAUUAGGAAUAGAUCUUCGUAUAGACCCGUUUGCCUACCUAUCCAAAGGAACAAAGACAUAUCAGGGAUUAAAUCUUCUGAAAAUAUAACUGGACUAAGCAGGGAAUAGAUCCUUCGUAUAGACGCGUUUGCCUAAUAUCCAAGAACAAAAGAGUGUCAGAGGAUGAAAUUUCCUGAAAAUAUCCUGGACUAUGGGAAUAGAGUCUUUCGUAUAGACCAGUUUGCCUACUAAUCCAAGGAACCUUGAGUAAUGAUUAAGUAUCAAGACAUCACGAUCUUUCGGUAUAGCCAUCCGUUUCUUGAACCUGUUGUGAAUGUUGAUAGUAUUUUAUCUGUUCUAACAUUCCUGCAAGGAAAAGGUUAGUUUAUGCAAUACUGUUAUGCAAAUGCAUGGCAUGGUGCAUCUAAGUAAAUGUAUAGCACUUAUGGAUAAUGCCAUGGUAAUGAUUAAAAUGAUUAUGUAUCAAUCAGCGGCCUGAAGCGUCCCGGAAUCUUUGUAAACAACUGCUGGCUAGGGAAAAAUAAAUCCCGAUUCCGUUGCUGAAGAAUAUGAGGAACUCGUUCCCCGUCUGUUUGAUAGUAUAGUAUUUGUCACUUCCCAGUAUCGUUCGCGUAACUUCUUAUUGAAGGAAUAAAAGUUCUGAGUAUCCACGACUGAGGAUAAAAGAGAUGGACAUAAAUUCAAGGGGGGGAGACGUAAUUCGAACCAUCUUUUAUAAAGAUAUGAUUUUGCCUCACUGGGGAUUUGUAGUGGGAUGAAACCGGCGAAAAGCUUCGGUUGAAACUACUUACCCUCGUUCGUCGCUUAGUAAAUACUAAUUCUCAUUUUAUGCAUUUUGGUAAACAUAAUCGUAAUCCAAAAGCAUACAUACAUUCAAAACACAAAACCAAUGGACGUUUUUCGGCUUAUGUAAAUAGAGUAACAGUAAAUCUGGCUUCACAAGAUGAAUUUUUAUUUAAAUAUCAACAAAGUGGACCUAAUACAUAGGCAAGUUUGUACAAGGAGACAGGAAAUCCUAGUACGAGGAAUUUCGUCGUAAAUUUUUUAUAAAACAAAGAAAACAAAGCUAUGUGACAAAAUGAUCCUAUUGAGUUUUCCAAAUUCUACUAAUUUGCCAAUUAUCUUCAAAUAAUCUCAUCUUCUACUGUUGAUUAAGAAACCGAUUGGAUUGAUCUUUAUCGGUUUGAAACUUGAUUUAGGUAGCACCAUCAGUUGAAGUUACAUGAAGUGAUCCAAACGAGACAUAGUCAUACGCUUUAAACCUUAACUUUUUGCACUGGAUUGCCUUUUCCCAGGUUUUCAAAUCCACCGGGAUACCCUUUUUUGCCCAAGCCCGUCACUUGUCAGGUUUCCGACUUGGCCGGGUGUACAUAUUUUUUUAUAUAUACCCUAAUUUUCUGCCACCGACGCCUUUUUGGUUUGCCCGGAUUGCCCUUAUUUUUGCCUAGGCCAGUCAACCUAGCGGGUCUCUUUUUAUGCGUAGUAUUUUUUAACUAUGUCUGCAUUUACAGGCUGUGGAAAGUCUUCACCAUCCAUAGUGGUAAGCAUCAUGGCACCUCAUGAGAAUACUCUUUUGACCACAAAUGGUCCUUCAUAUGUAGGAGUCCACUUGCCCCUAGGAUCACCCUGUGGUAGUAUGAUACGCUUGAUUACCAGGUCACCAGCCUGAUAUACCUUUGGCUUAACAUUCUUAUUGAAAGCUUUGAUCAUCCGUUUCUGGUACAUCUGACCAUGACAAAUAGCCGCCAACCUCUUCUCAUCAAUCAAAUUUAUCUGGUCGAGUCGAGUCUGAAUCCACUCAUCUUCAUCCAAGCCUGCAUCCUUCAUGAUUCUUAAGGAAGGAACCUGAGCUUCCACUGGUAAAAUAGCUUCCAUUCCGUAGACCAAAGAUAAAGGAGUUGCCCCCUGUCGAAGUGCGCACUGAAGUGCGAUAACCAUGAAGAGCAAGGGUAACAUCUCAUGCCAGUCUUUGUAUGUUAUUGUCAUCUUUCGUAUGAUCUUCUUAAUAUUCUUAUUAGCAGCCUCCACAGCGCCAUUCAUCUUUGGCCGGUACGGAGAAGAGUUAUGGUGUUUUAUUUUGAACUGCGUGCAGAGUUCAGCAAUCAUCUUGUUGUUUCUUCCGGAGAGAGCGGUUUUUCAUUUUCAGAUGUAUAAAUUUGAUAGAUCCCAUCUUAGAAAUCAAAUAAAGUGGUAAUGAUUAACAUAUACUGACCCCCCCCCACCCCCCCCCCCCCCCCCCCCCCCCCCCCCCCCCCCCCCCCCCCCCCCCCCCCCCCCCCCCCCCCCCCCCACCCCCCUCUUAGUCGGCGAGCAGCCUAAGCAAGCAUAGCAGCUUUCGAGCUGGGAGUAUCUUGUUUCACAAAGUCGGUACCAUUUUGCUAAAGGUAGUAUACUUGCAUGCUCUUUUCGACAGACUCGUCAUGUUGCCCAACACACACCUUAUUGAAUUUUUCUUAACACGGUCAAAUACAUGAUUAGAGGUCUUCCCUUCAACUGGUGGCAAUUCAGAUUUAAAUAGGUUUUGGAGAUACUUUCUUGAUUUUGUCAAAAGCUUCAUUGAAUUCAUCAUUCAUCAAUCUCUUGAAUUUUUCUUAGCGAAAAACUCUACAUAGUCACGUAACUCCGACACUGUUUUUCCAAGCUGCUCUAUUUUGACUUCUUUUUCUUCUACUUCAGUACCAGAUUUCCAAAAACUUGAUUGGCUUUCUUUCAUGUGGCUGUAUAGCUUUCUCUUCUUGUUGUACUAACCUAGCAAGCUCUUACACAGGUAUUCAAAUUCUUCUCUUUCCAAUCUUCAGCUUGAUAGAUCGGAUUCUUCGAAAAUUAUAAUGGGGAAAAUUUAAAAAAAAAGUAGGAACUGUUUCUAUCAACAGGAUCUAGAGUGGAUGAGGAUCUGCAUUUGUGAUUGGGUGUGUGUAAGACACAAUAGCUUGAGAAAAUACAAUAAAAAGAAAACAAAGAGCCAAUAUUUACGAAAAAGAAACGUCCAUUGAUUUUUUUAUUUGAUGAAGUAUGCAAAUGAAAUGACAAUCCCGAAACAACAUACAUUGUGCCCGGGUAAGGCACACGGCUUAAAAGUUUUAAUUAUAAACUUAAAAUAACACAAGUAAUAGUAUUUACUCCUGACUAAAAGAGAUAGGAAUAACGGUUUUCUUCAGUCUUCCAAUUGUUGAGCCAUCACCACAGUAGGAAAGAAUCCAGUUUAUCCAGAUUGUAGUCUUCAAUUAUAGUCACCUACAGCAAUUGAUUUUGAUCUUCAAUGUUGCCUUGGAUUGGGUGAUACGAACAGCAGACAGACGAAUAGCCUUCUGGGACUCUGCAAGUGAAACCCAUACCAAACUUGUCAGACUUGUAGGAAUGUCGGGAAGCUAACCCAAAAUAGUAACAACCACUUCUUCCAACACCCGUUCUAGAUCUUUGAGGGAAGCAUUGUAGGAGGUACUGGUCAACACAAGAAACUUUUUUAACCAUAGGAGAGCUUAGUAGCGGGAAGACCCAAGGAACUAUUUCAUGUUCUGGCAAGGAGUCUCAACAUAUUCACUUCUCCACUAACAUACUUUAAAAUGUAUUCACAUGACUGACCAUAUAUUCUUCCUCUCAUAAACGUUAACGAUCUUUACCCUUCACUGAUAUCUCAACUUCUUGAUGUAAGGUGGAGGUCACAACACUGCCCGUGGGUCAGGGCGCCAAGCAAACAAGAUACGCAGGACGAAUAUCGCAUUACCAUAGAAAGGUAGAAUCGAGACUUAGAGUCUACUUGAUAGGGAGAUCGAAAAAAAAAAAAACUAUUUCUCCAUGGCACCACUCUUCUUGACCAUCAAAGGCUCUCCACCACUAUAUUACUAUGAUCUUAACACAACAUCUUCAAGACCUGAGCUUUCAUAACCUUUUGGGAAGUACAUUCAAUGAAGAGCCAUGUUAUCAAACAUGGAGACAAGGUAUUGCCCCUACAUUAAUGGAGAUUAAUGUAAAGCUCCUUGUUAUGGUUUCUUUUGGUCAGAGUCAAGUCAGCAUCAGAAAAACCUAACCCAAUAUCAUAAGGUCAAGAUGUGCAACACAAUUUUCCAAAUGAUCCACAGAAUUCAUUUGGUACAUGAAAGCAGUCCUUAAAGAAAUUUGAUCAAGGCUUUUAGCAGAGCCUCAGACACGCAACAAAAGACAACAUGGCGAAAAUUUUGGAGGGGAGUAAAUGCCCAAACUGUCAACAACAUCAUAAUCACUCUUAGAAUGAUCCUCAGCACUUCUUCCAUGUUGUUAGAGAGAUUUUCAGCAGUUGGUGCUUCAGUCUGCAAGGGUUUUCACAACCAAAGAGACCUUUGCCCGAGCAUCAGUAACUUUGCUCAAGAAGUGGAGUUAAGUAGGUUUGGAAGAACUGUAUUUUUUGAGGUAAGCAUGGAGGAAGAGAAUAAUUCUUCACUUCUGGUGAUCUUACUAAGAUCAGCAAUAUUAGUCAACAUCAAGGUUAUCAUCAAGUAAACACGGUGUAUCAUGUCAAGGUUUCUGCUUAACCCAUGGAUAUAAACAUCAGAUAAACCGGUAAUUCCAGGUAUAACUUUAUCAGAAGUAUAACGGAAUAAGGGCCAGGAGUGGGUAAUAAAUCGGAGGCACUCUAACUUCAAGCAACAGUCUUACUAGGCCCUUCAGCAAGUAAUUUUUGAUAGACCCUUUGAAGUGAUCUUGACAGUCUGUUACAAGGAGCAUUUCUGCUAAGGUAAAACACAGCGAGAAGAAUAAGUACCUGUUCAUAAGAAACCUUGUGAUGCAAUCAAUAUGGUAAUGUAAAUGCUUAUGCAAUGUUUUCAAGGACCGAAGGGAGAUUAAUUUGUUAUACCAACCAAAAGUAAAACUUUUAUUAGUCAUCAGACACUCUGCUUCCACUCUCGCGCGCUUACAUAAAAUGAAAUAAUCACAAAAAAUGGGUUUAAGCUCACCAGGACGUUUCCUCUUUGUGUUGAGGUAUGAUGUUAGAUGCCGCUCCUCGUGAAUUGUUGUUAGCUCCAGAUUCUUUCUACUUGCCUUGUAAUGAGUCUCAAAAGUAUCUCUUUGCUCCUUCAACUGGAUCCAGGACUCGAACAUCUCAUGUCAUGGGCCAUGUUCCUGGAUGAAGAAUGAUGUAAGAAUAUCCAGCCCAGAAUACAGGCUCAUGGUAAACUGGCAGGAUAGCAAGGAAUUGGAAUAUAAGAGUGAAGCACGAGAUCGUACCAUCUGAGAUAUGGUUCCAUAGGAAUAUGUAACUUGGUUCAGUCUUGCUGUAACUUGUUCACUACCCCAUGCCGUUAUGACCUUUACGUAACCUUGAGAAGAUCGUUGUCCGUAGUCAACACAAUAAGCCUCGAAAUAAGCAUGUCAUAGGACCAUCAGUCGAGCUACCAAACGACGUAGAAGCUAAAGAGGGGUUGUCAGUAGCCGCCCUCUAAUGCCAAGGAGUGGCACAUUAGGGAAUCCCCACAACGGUCAAUGAGGGUAACAUUCUUCCUAGAUCUAGAGCAACCAAAGAAUUAUGAAUGAGAAAGUGACAUAAUCCUCUUGGAACCACACCUGAACCAUUGUUUCAUUGCUUCAUCAACUGAUUGAGGAAGGUGAGAAAUAAACACCUAGAUAAAUAGAGGUUGCAAAACACACAGAGUUCCUCGGCCUUCGUAGUAUGGGAUAGAAGAGAGUGGUUAGAUGGUCUUCCAGUAAUGUAGGCCACUGAUUGCGACGCGAAAAGUUGAUGGCGUGUAGUUAUGCACUGCGUCUGGAUUGGGGAAACAUACUUAAGCAUACAAUAAAAUAGGGCUAAGAUCUCUCAAAGCAAUCAUAACUCAAUAGCUUGAAGAAUAUUGAGCUUUCUCCACAAUACCUAGCAAGAAUACCUUAAUCCAUCCUUUGUCUGGACAAUGUAUGAUUCUUUAAAUAUGUAAGGUGCAGCAAUAAUUCAGGUUUAGGCUCUUUUUUCCAAGCCUGUGAAGGGUUUUCGAAUCAAGAUAGUACAUACCAGAAGCUUGGAGAACUUUCCUUGUAGAACCAGCUGAUAGACGGGAAAUUGAAAGAAAUGAUGUUUAGGGGUCAAAAGACUGAAAACAGGACACUCAUCAUGUCCUCAUUGAACCCCUGAGUGACUAGAUCCAGUAAGUGACCCAUGCCUCUGAUGACACCUGGGAGUUUCAGACAACUUGAAGAGACCAAUCCCUUAAGCUUAGGAGGUAUCUCAAAAGUUGAGUCGCGAUAGUAAAUCCUACGGCAGAAGCAUGAACUGCAACAAAGAUAAAGUCCCUUUGGUCUUGAAAUGUUAGUGGAAAAUGCUUAUGCUUAUAGAUGCAUGAUGAUGCUAUGCAUGUUAUAGCUCAAUCACAAACAUUGGCAACACCAAACAAUAGCUACACAUAUGCCCUAGUUUGGGAAGGCUUGCUGAGGUUUAAAGGUAAGUACCCUCCUGAAGUUUAGUUGGAUUCAUCUGCCUAACAAAAAAACCAGGUUCUAAGGGAUCUCAAAAGCAGAUCCUUCACAAGGGUGGUUGUUCAGUAGCAACUUUACUUCCAACCAAACCCUCCAAGUUUAGGAUCUCAAUGAGUGUAGUAUCGAGUAAUCAACCAACUUCAGUCUUACCAAAGCCGGUUAUCUCACUACUUUCUAAAGGCCAAGAUGGGAUGACUAGGGUCUAAAAGUAGUUAGUGUAUGACAACAUAUGGCACGCCUCAUCUUAUCCUCAACUUGCUCUAUAGGAACAUAAGCACCACAAGAAGUCACACUAACUAUGGCACUCAGAUCAACCAUUAUCGAUAUACGCCGUACAGUUUUCCUUGGUCUAUUGCCAUUUUACUAAGGUACACUAGAUCCGGGUUAGGUGUUUCCCACACAUAAGAGCACCCAACCAGAUAAGUUAUAACAGCAAACAAGGCAAACAUUUUAAAGUGAUCUAAUUCCCUAAGGGUACCUCCUCUUUAUAAUCCCCAGCAGAGUCGCCCGUUCUGUAACACGGUGGAGAACUGACUUUAAGUUAAAUGUUGCGGAUAGCAAGAGUCGCCACCGAACUUUUUAUUUUAAUCCAAAGGAAGACAAAUAAAAGACAGAAAGACCUUAAAAAGAUUUUGAGUUCGGGGGGUAGGUUAUACAUAAGGGAAGGUAUUAGCAGACCUUUAUAUCCAUGGUUAAUCCAUGGGCUCUUAGUUACUUAAGCUCACUUUGUUUUGUUUUGCAAGAGUGGUAGUGUGUGUUAGAAAAAUUUUCUGUCAAGUACUUUUGUAAGAACCGUCGUAUGGGUGUAUACAAAGCCUAGUUAGAAAUUGUGAGGUGUAAAAAGUAAUUUUAGAAAAGUGUGAGCCAAGUAACUACGAGAUAACUACCCUAGAUUAAGUCUUUCGUGUUCUCGUAAUUUUUCAAUGGUAAGACUGUCCCUAUUAUUAAGGAAUAGGUAGUCAUUACUUGGAUUGUUUAAGGGACGGGCGUAGGGUCAUCGUAUGGGUCAAUGAAGGCAACACAUAAGGGGUGUCUGUUAGCAACUCGUAGGGACUAUCAUCAUAUUUUAACCAGAAGGGACAAGAUCAUAUUCGUGGCAACUCGUAGGGAUUGAUUUUAAGUUUUUAUAGGGACUUGAUGAUUUUUUCUGUUUGAAAGGGAUUUGCUUUAGACCCCUAUUUUCAAGGGACUUGACCAUUUAAAGAAGGCACACAAGAGGAAUACCCUAGGGAAGUACAGAUGGCGAUCAAUAGAUGACUGGCGUGUGUGAGUGUUUUUUUUUUCAGAUUUUGUCUUUGAAUUUAAUUUUCUAAGUUCAUUAUUUACAGUUAGUUUUUUUGCAACUCUAAAUUACUAACCACGCAUAAAUAUUUACAAAAUAAAAAGUAAGAAAAAUAAAUUCCUAAACUAUUAACAUGGCUAAUGGGACAGAUACAUAAUACUCAGGCGAGAAAGAAUAAAUUUUAACAACCCAUAUACAUUUGUUCUAAUAUUAAUAAUAAACAAAAUUAAAAAUAAGGAAAAUAAUGAAGGCAAAAUAACAGAUAAAGCAAUAUCAAUAAAUAUAAAUAAACAAUAGUAAUAAGCAAUUAAUAAAAUAACAUAAUAAAUAAGUAAUAAUAAAAGGUUAGAAUUUUAAAAGAAAUUAUUUUGGUUAACAGUUAGAUUUUUUAGAAGUUAUUAGACAAAAUAUGAGUUUAAGAUAAAUUAGUAAUAAUAAAAGAAUUUAAAAAUACAUUAAUGUUAACAAUUAUAAAUAAGAGUUAAAUGAAAAAUAUUAAGUUAAGUUAUUUACAAAAUAAAUAAAGAUUAUGAAAAUAUAAAUUAAUUAGAUUAAUAGGUUUAUUAUUAUUAUUCAAUUAGAAAAUGUCAAUAGAUUUAUUUACAAAAUAUAUAAGAUUAUUAUUAAAGUAAGUAAAAAACGUUAUUAAAAAUAGUUAGAUUUUAUUAAUUUACAAAAUAUAAGGUUAUAGAAAAAAUUGAAUAAUUAAUUUUAAUAGGUUUUCACUGCCCUACUUACUAAACAACGCGUUUAAUAUAGGAUCAAUGGCAGGAAUUUAAAAUGGCAGAAACAUAAAAUGGCAGGAAAAUAAAAUGGCAAAAAAUAAAUGGCAAAAAUAAACCCUAAUUAUUACAACGCUUGGUGCAGUUACAUAAUAAGAUGGCGAAAAGAAAACUGAAAAUAUUACAAGUUAAAACUUAAAAUAUUACAGGGCGAAGCAGUUACAGUGUAUGAAAACAUAAUAGGAGCGAAAAUAGGAAAUAAUAAUAAGGUUUGUUAAGGUUAAGAAAAGGUUUAUGGUUUAAAGGAAUAACACGGUAAAAGUCUUAGGUUUGAAAUUUAGAGUUUGUGGAACAUGUACAAGAGUUUAGGAAAAAUCAGGGUAGUUAGUUAUGAAAAAAAUGUGCAGAUUUAAAUAUAUGUAUAUAAAAAAAAUAUGAAUUUAAAAAACAACACGGCGUUGCUAGCGGCAAAAUUGCAUAAUCGCAACUAGAUGGGAUAACACAAAUGUCACGCCUCAUACACGUAUAUUGAAACGCGUAUUGACACGAUCCGAUCCGAAAACCAUAAUAAAAUUAUAACAUAAAAUAGAAAUAAUAUAUAUUAACACACUAGUUACAUAUUAUAAAUUAUUAUUAUAUGAUCCAUACUUUUUCAUUAACAACAAAAUUAUUAUUAUAUUAUAUAUAUUAUGAACAAUGUAAAAAAUUAUAAAACACACAAUCAAAUACGUAAUACAAUGAACAAAUUAUAUACAUGUAUAACUAUGGCAUAAAAAGCAAAACGGCGAUCUGAUGCAUGUAAUCUGAAUACAUAACACAGUCACACAUAUGAACAUGUAUUUGAAACACAGUAACAAAUAUAUCAACAAAAUAGAUAAAGUAUAAUAUCAUAUAUAAACUAUUACCAAUGUGUGUACGAUAGUAUAUGAUACCACUCUCAGUUUCUCUUUUUGUUCUGUCUUUGGCCCCUCUAUCAGAUGCAUGCUAAGUAAUAAUAUAUAGGAACAACAAUUAGGUUAAUGAUAAUGGGCCUAAGUUUAUUUUGAAACCCAAUAUUAAAUUAAAAACUGAAUAAAGUUAAAUAAUUAAAAUAGUUAAAAAUAAAACUAAUUAAACCUAUUUAUUUAUUCUAGACCCAAUUAUAAAUAAUAGACUAAAAAAAAAAGUCGGGCACCAAAAUACUCGAAAAAUAAAAUGAACACGUCAAAAAUAAUCAGCGCGAAAUAAAUGACUCGGAAAUAACAACGUUUGGUCGGAUUUUGAAAUAAAAAAAUUUAUGACUGUUUAAACUGCUCAGAGUGAUCAACAUAUGACAAAAAUAGUCGUAAAAAUAUUUUUAGCAUGUCAAAUUAAACCAUGUGAACCGAGAUUAAUGUACCGACAUUUGCAAACUUAAACUUGGACAUUUUUUUGUUGACUAAUUUAGGCACAGUUAAAAAGUUAAUUUUGACCAGUUGUUUGUAAAUCCGAGAAAUUAAUUCCGGCUAAUAUUAAGACAGAAAAAAAUUAUGUUAUGCUAUGAAGAUGAUGCAAAUGAAUGUGAAACAAAAAAUUGGUUAGAGUUAAAAAUAGAGGGCAAAUUUUGGGGUGCAACAGAUAGCAGCAAUAACCAGAAUGUCAGCAAUAUAUCAGUUUCGCCGUUGGUAAUACGGUUGGCGGGCCCAUCCCCCUAUGCAUCUGAUAAGGCUGUAUCGUAUCAAUACAAUGCUACGAUGAUAGAGAAAGGUCAAGAGGUUCCGAUGCCUACGACCAGUUCAGUAGUGAGCAUUGCAGAUGUUACGAAGGUGACCCGCAGUGGUCGAGUUUUUGGACCAGUUGUCCCUGAGAAUAAGGAAGAUUUGAUUGUUGGUAAGAAAGAGGAGGUGCCUAGCGUAGAACAUGCUGGUUGUUCAAGAGAUAAGUCUGGUGAAUUCAGCAAUUUGAAAGCCAAUAGUGAUGAUGAUGAGGUACUUCGACUGAUUAAGAGGAGUGAAUUCAAUGUGGUUGAGCAGUUGCUCCAGACUCCCUCUAAGAUUUCCGUGUUGUCUCUGCUUUUAAAUUCUGAAGUGCACAGAGAAGCACUCUAGAGAGUUCUUGAACAAGCAUACGUGGAUCAAGAUGUUACUGUGGCUCAAUUUGAUCAUAUUGGAGCCAACAUCACUUCAUGCAACAAUCUGAGCUUUUGCGAUGAAGAACUCCCUGAGGAGAGAAGAAAUCACAAUCUGGCUUUGCAUAUUUCGAUGAAUUGCAAAGAGGAUGCUUUUUCAAACGUGCUAGUUGACAUUGGGUCGUCACUCAAUGUGCUUACAAAGUCAACAUUGUCAAAGUUAUCUUAUCAAGGAGCGCCUAUGAGGUACAAUGGAGUAAUUGUCAAAGCCUUUGAUGGCUCUCGCAAAACAGUCAUUGGUGAAGUGGACCUUCCAAUUAAGAUAGGUCUGAGUGAUUUUCAGAUUACUUUCCAAGUAAUGGAUAUUCACCCGGCCUACAGUUGCUUUUUGGGAAGGUCGUGGGUUCAUGAAGAAGGGGAAGUUACUUCCACUCUGCAUCAGAAGCUAAAAUUUGUCAAGAAUGGAAAGUUGGUGAUUGAUGGAGGUGAGAAAGUGCUAUUGGUCAGCCAUCUGUCAUCUUUUUCGUAUGUAGAAGCUGAAGAUGAGGUUGGAAUGUCGUUCCAUGCCUUGUUUAUUUCCACUGAGAAGAGAGUUGGGGAAUCUAUGUCUUCUCUAAAAGAUGCUCAUAGAAUUGUUGAAGAAGGUCCUGUUGAUCAGUGGGGGCGCAUGGUAGAGGUCGCCGACAACAAGGGAAGAAUUGGUUUGGGGUUCUAAAAGGGCUCGUCAACUGUUAGAUCUGAAGAGAUGCAACUCAGUUUCUAUAGCGAUGGGUUCAUUCAUGGGAAUGAACAACAUUUAGCUGCUAUGCUAGAGGACAAUAAAGAGGAAGACUGCACCAACUUUGUAACGCAUGGACAGACGUGCAACAAUUGGACUGCUGUUGAUAUUCCUGUUAUUUUACAUCGAUCUAAGUAAUUGCUUUUAUAUUUUAAAAUCCUUCUCCUAUGCCUAAGGGAGAAGUGAACAUUGUUUGGGCAUUUUUAAAUUGAUCAUUAAUUAAAUUAAUUCUAUUCAUCCACAUCUUUGAUGUUUUGUUUUUCCUUUUUGCUUAUUUCUGAAAAUGGUAAUCACAAAAAACAUAAAUAAGCAAUAUAAUUGUCCAUCUGCAUAAUAUUUGGUCACAAAUUCACUUCUCUAAAAUCAAAAUAUCAAAUCAUUAUGCAGGUUAGUUCCUAACCCCAUUGAAUACAGUGCUCCUUCUCCUUCUCCAAAUUUUGAAUUCCCUGUGUUUGAGGCUGAGGAGGAAAGUGAUAUAUAAGUGAGUGAAGAAUUGUCUCGUCUUCUUGAGCAAGAUGAAAAGAUUAUUCAGCCGUUCGAAGAGCAGAUUGAGAUAGUCAACUUGGGUUCCAAAGAUGAUGUGAAGGAAGUCAAGAUUGGGUCUCGAUUGUGUCCAGAUGCUAAGAAGGGGUUGAUUGAUCUUCUUCAAGAAUAUUCAGAUGUGUUUGCUUGGUCCUAUUAAGACAUGUCUGGGUUGGAUUCUGAUAUUGUGGAGCAUAGAUUGCCGUUGAAGCCAGAAUGUCCGUCAGUCAAGAAAAAGUUGAGAAGAACGCAUCCUGAUAUGGCUGUGAAGAUCAAAGAGGAAGUUCAGAAGCAGAUUGAUGAUGGUUUCCUUGUAACUGCUGAGUAUCCGCAAUGGGUGGCCAAUAUUGUGCCUAUGCCGAAGAAAGAUGGAAAAGUACGCAUGUGUGUUGAUUAUAGAGAUUUGAAUAAAGCCAGUCCGAAAGAUGAUUUCCCUUUGCCACACAUUGAUAUGUUGGAAAGACAAUACUGCUAAAUUCAAAGUCUUUUCGUUUAUGGAUGGAUUUUCCGGAUAUAAUCAUAUUAAGAUGGCACCCGAGGAUAUGGAGAAGACCACAUUCAUUACACCCUAGGGAACAUUCUGUUAUAUAUUGAUGCCUUUCGGUUUAAAGAAUGCUGGUGCAACUUACCAGAGAGCAAUUACUACUCUUUUUCAUGAUAUGAUGCAUAAAGAGAUAGAAGUUUAUGUCGAUGACAUGAUUGCUAAAUCAAUUGAUGAAGAGGAACAAGUUGAGCAUUGGUUGAAGUUAUUCCAGCGUUUUUAGGAAGUAUAAACUCCGCUUGAAUCCCAAUAAGUGUACUUUUGGUGUUCGUUCGGGUAAGCUGUUGGGCUUUAUUGUCAGCGAGAAGGGUAUUGAAGUUGAUCCUACCAAGGUCAAAGCAAUACAAGAGAUGCUUGCGUCCAAAACUGAGAAGCAAGCCAGAGGUUUUCUCGGGCGCUUGAUUUAUAUUUCCAGAUUCAUUUCCCACAUUGUCGCAUCCGCGAAAAAACAACCGGCGAGCUCAAAUAAAAACACAACACAGAGCCGCCACUGCGCGUUAUUUAUCCCAAGAUAGGGAAAGGAAACGCUCAGAGAAACCUGGAAAGGAAAUGGUCUUGCGACCAAAGAGAAAGGGUAAAGGGAGUGGAUUACGCAAAGGGGAAGGUAUUAGCACCCCUCAACGUCCGUCGUACUCGGGGAUCCACGUUAAAUAAAGAAUAGGUUGCUAAAACAUCCACAACACACAGCACACGGGAACAGCAGGUGGGUUAAGA